Molecule: long non-coding RNA, 156875 nt
Filed under: Gossypium barbadense (sea-island cotton)
Lineage: Eukaryota; Viridiplantae; Streptophyta; Magnoliopsida; Malvales; Malvaceae
Description: long non-coding RNA (GBAR_LNC018284)
Source: RNAcentral
UGUCGAGCAAAAUUGAGGAAUUACUACUAGAUCGAUCAUCUCUAAACAACAACAUUCUUCAAAGCAUUGGUGCAUUGGCUUCUCUUAAAAUUUUGUCUUUGAGUGGUUGUGGGCUGUCUGGGACAUUACCUACCCAAGGUAAAUUAAUAAUUAUGACAUAAUUAUUUAGACAAUCUCUUGAUUAAUUAUUUUUUAUCCUCCUAGAAUAUUUAAAUAAUUUGUACAAAUUUAUUUUACAGGAUGGUGUGAUUUACGGAAAUUUGAGGUGUUGGAUCUUAGUGAAAAUGCUCUUAAAGGAACCCUCCCUUCAUGUUUGGCUAACUUGUCAUCACUUCAUUAUUUGGAUAUUUCCGGUAAUCAAUUCGUUGGGAAAGGUGCCUCCACUGCCUUAGCCAAUCUCACUUUGCUUAGAUUCAUUUCUCUUUCACGAAACCUAUUCGAAGUUCCUUCCAUUUUCAUAUCAUUUGCCAACCAUUCACACCUCAAAGUACUCUCCAGCAAUCAAAACAAGUUAGUCGAAGAGCCUACCAUUCCAACAUGGGUCCCAAAGUUCCAACUAAAAGCCUUCCGUUUGUCAAAUUGCACAACAAAGGAACUCCACACUGAAAUUCCGAAAUUCCUCUAUUACCAAAAUAACCUGGGUAUUAUUGAUCUUUCAUAUAAUAAUUUUGGAGGGAAGGUUCCUUUUUGGUUGUUAGAGAACAAUACAAGAAUAGAAGCAUUUUUAAUGAAGGGUAACUCUUUUAUGGGUCAUCUCAAUCUUCCAUCUCAUCCGAAUCCAAACAUAUCCUUUGUUGAUAUAUCUGACAACAAAAUACAAGGUCCAAUUCCAGCAAACAUUUGUUCAAUCUUUCCACAACUAAAUGGGUUAAACCUAGCAGGCAAUUCCCUUCAAGGUAAUAUUCCUCCUUGUCUGGGUAGUUUGACCACUUCGAAUUUAUUAUUAGAUCUGUCACAUAAUCAGCUAUCUGGAGGAAUACCAGAAAUAUUAGCUCAAAGUGACUCGUUGAGGUUUCUUAGGCUAUCAAAUAAUCAUCUAAGUGGAAAGAUAACCCCAACGAUCUUUUGCUCAACUUCAUUACGAUUGCUAUAUUUAGAUGGCAAUAACUUUGAUGGAAAUAUACCUAGCAUUGAUAUCUCAACUUUCCUUUCAUAUUCCCUUGUUGAUAUGGAUUUAAGUAACAAUAAUUUGUCCGGAGAGCUCCCAAGAUGGAUAUUGAAUGUGUCAAAUUUAAUGGCAUUGGCAGUAUCUAACAAUCAGCUCAAGGGUCUCAUUCCGAUGGAAUUGUGCUAUUUGGAUUCCCUUAGAAUUUUGGACCUUUCAGAAAAUAAAUUUUCUGGCCCAAUACCAUCUUGCUUCGGCACACAAUUUAUCAUACAUCUCCAUUUGAGCAAAAAUAGAUUAAGUGGCACCUUGACAAAUGCAUUCUUUAAUAGCUCUUCCUUGGUGACUUUAGAUCUUAGUGAAAAUCAGUUGAGUGGAGAAAUUCCAUACCAGAUUGGAACUCUUUCUGCUUUGAGUGUUCUCCUUCUAAAAGCCAAUUAUUUUAUUGGAGAAAUUCCCAUUGAGAUAUGCAAAUUAUAUUCUUUAAGUAUCAUUGAUCUUUCUCAAAACAAGCUUUUUGGUCUGAUACCUUCUUGUUUGAGUCGUUUAACUCUUGAUCCAAAUGAUGAAAAAUCUUCAACAAAUAUCUAUGUGGAGGGCUUUGGAGGAAUCUUUGAGCCGGGUAAUUACUUUGGAAUGACUGAAUUUGAAUUUCUCACUUUAAGAGGAUACGAGUCAUUAGAUGUAGAUUUCGAAAUUGAGAAUCAAAUGGAAGAAAAGGUGGAUUAUACAACAAAAAGAGCAUCUUACACAUACAAGGGAAACAUUCUUAAAUACAUGUCGGGAAUUGAUUUAUCAUGCAAUAGAUUAACAGGUGAAAUCCCCAUAGAGAUUGGAAAUUUGAGUGAAAUCCGAUCACUAAACUUGUCGCACAACAAUUUGACUGGACAUAUACCGUCAACGUUCUCAAAGCUCAAGCAAAUUGAGAGUUUGGACCUGUCUCACAACAACUUAAUUGGAAGAAUCCCUGUUCAAUUAACGGAGUUGUACACCUUAGCAGUCUUCAAUGUGUCACACAACAACUUGUCAGGGAGUAUUCCGUCUCCAAAAGCUCAAUUUGGAACCUUUGAUGAAAGCAGUUAUGUGGAGAAUCCUUUUCUCUGCGGGCCUCCCCUGCAUAAAAAUUGCAGCGACCUUGAUUCACCCCCGACAACAGCACCAAAGAGCUCAAACGAGGAAGAAGAAAGUGGUUUGAUGGACAAGUAUGUUUUCUGGGUGACCUUUUUUGUUUCUUACGUGAUUGUGUUACUGGUUAUUGUUCUCAUCCUGUAUAUAAAUCCUUAUUGGCGACAAGCAUGGUUUUCUUUUGUUGAACACUGCAUCAAGACUUGUCAGUACUUUCUUCUGCGAUUUUCCAUCUUCAAAAGGAGUGGGUAGCCUUGUAUUUUGGUGGUUUACAUUUGUAUGUAAUUUUCAUCACUCUUUUUUUAUUUUUCAAAGUUUGAUUGGAUUAUCUGCUUCUAAGUUUUUAGAGCUAGAAUGCAAUAUAUCUGUUAUGGAAAGCAAUAUAUAAAGUUAUGCAUUUUCAAUUAAAACAUUUAAUAUUGCUUUAUAAUUUUUAGUGUUCUGAUAAGAUGAUGUUAAAUUCAACAUAUUGUAGCAUAUAUAUUAAUAAAACCUAUAUUCAUCUAUACAAAUUUUUUAGUCAACCAAACCAUUGAUGUGGUGGCAAAAACUUCACAUUGUUUUCAAGUCUUCAUUGACAUUAGGUUGAGGUUUCAAACCCUAGCGUAAAAGAGGGGGGAGAGGGGUUGUCUGAACCAAAACUUCAUUUCAACAGAUAUCCUUUACCCACUAAAUCAUAUGCUCAACUGAAACUUUUAUAUAUAUAUAUAUCAAACAUGAAUGAUAUAAAUAGUCUUUAAAUUUUUAAAUGAUAUAAAUAUAUAUAUAUUUUUAAAAUGAACAAAAAUUAUAAUAAUUAAUAUGUAGUUUCAUUAUUUUAUUUAAACUCAAAAUAAUAAUAUUUAAAAAUUGAGUUUACGUGAUAUUUAUUUACUUUAAAAUUAAUAAAAUGUAAAUAUAAACUUUAUUUUAUUUUAUUUAUAUUCAAAUUUAAUAAAUGUUUAUCUAAUUUAUUUAAAUUUAAAUAAAUUAAAUAAAUAAGCACACAAUUUUUUUUAGAGAAAGUGAUGACUCUUUUUUAAUGAUGAGAUGUUAGAAGAUUUACCAUAUGUGUAAUGUGGAGACAAUAACCCUAAUAUGUAACUUUUGCACAAUAACCUUAAUUUAUAAUUAGUGAAUCAUCAAUUAAAAAUUAAUUAAUUGAGUAUUUACACUUGUCCAACCAUAUUUUAUUUAAUAAGUGUCAUGGAUCAUAGGUCAAAUAAGUAUCACAAUAAUCACAGUAAUACCUGCAAAAAUUGAAUCCAAAUAAACAUAUCCAUAAAUUGUUAAUGAAAAUUUGUUCGCAGCGAGAACCUUAACUAAGAUUGGAAGAAUUUAUAUGUUUUUGUCUUUUUGCUAAAAUGAGUAUAAAACAUAUAAAAAAUAAAUUAUGAAUGUUCAUUUUUUUAAUAGUUCAAAAAAAUAUAUUAUAUAUAAUAUAUAUUAUUGUUUUGCAUUUGCUCCUCAAAGAAAAUGGAAACAAUCGUAAGCCUAUGGCAUCAUUAGAAACACCAUUAAUCUUGAUGUGUCGCAAAUCUCUAGAAAGUUAGCCAAAUGAGUAUUCAGAUCUUCAUCUUGCAACCUAUCAAACUGAACAUAUUGUUGUACCAUCUGAAUUGUGUUCGACUUUAGCUCAAAAUUAUUUACAGCAAUAGUCAGUCUGACAAUACUCGAUUCAACCCCAAUCAGAAUAGACUUAGCAUAAUCAUACAUAGUCCGAAGAGUAGGAGCUGCAGGAAGCUGUUGAUUAUUUUUAUGAUUAUCCAUCUCCACAUUAAUAUCCUUUUCCUCUUGAUCGUCUACUAAAAUCUAUUUAUCUUGUCUUUUGCUUUUCUAACCUCUCUAAGAUUUCUACGAGCAGUCUUUUCAACUUCACUAUAAAAAAUUAAUGUUUCUGACGAGUUUCCUCUAGUCAUAAACCAAAAGACUCUAUCAUAAUAAAAAAAUGAAAAAUUAGAAUAUUGUAAAAGUUAAAUUAAAAACAAAAAUAUCAAAAUAAAAAUAAAAAUAGCUAAAUUAAUAGAAAUAAAGUUUUCCUAAUAUUUUAGUCCCCUGGCAAUGGCGCCAAAAACAUGAUGCAGUCAUAAACCAACUAAAAAUCUGACUAAGGCAAGUGUACCUAUCAAUUAAUUGUAUAGUUACGAUGAGCAAAUAAAUCGUUCCCACAAAGACUAAAAGUAGUAAUUACUGUCUUUCUAUUAUUUAAUCGAUAAACUCGAGUAAUUGAUUAAAACUAAAAUUAUUUAAAUUAAUUAACAAUGAAUGUGACAAAUAAUAAAUCAGGAAAAUAAUUGAAUAAUAACCAAGAAGCAAAACAAUACCUAGGAAAAAAUUCACCUAGAUUUCAUCUGUCAUUAUCAAUCUAAAUUCCACAAUUUCUUUACUUAGUAUCUUAAUUCAUAGAAAUCCCUAAAUCAUGCUAAUAUCUCUCUUCAAGAAUAAGAGCAAUAACUUUAGGCUGGUUAAUUGAAAUUUCUUUCUAAUUAAAACCCUUAUUAUCGCAUUAAAUCGCUUUAUGGAUUUCCCAAUUACAUUUGACUCUAAUUCGGUGGAUUUAUAUCAUCCUAUUUCUAAGAUUGCAUGCAACUUCACUCAAUUACGCUAGAUCUACUCUUAAACAAGGUCUAUUCCUUCUCUGAUUUAAGCACAACAAACAUGGAUCAACAAUCUAGAAAUAUUAAACCAAGAGUAAAAUACACAUAAUUGAGAGCAAGAUCUAAGUAUUUAUUGUGUAAAAAUAGAAAUCAAAUAAUAUAAUUCAUCCUAAAGCUUAUCUCUCUAGGUAUUUGGAAAAUUAGUUCAUACUUGCAAAUAAAAACAUCCCAAAGACAAUAUAACCAAAAGAAAUAAAGAAGCUCGUGAUAAUCUCCUAAGAAAUCAACUGUGAGUCUUCAAUCUUGACUAAAAUUUGCUUCAGAAUCGGCUUCAAUGGUGUUUUCGAGUUGUUUUAUUGAGCAUUCUAUGACGGCUCUCUCCCCUCUUCUUAUAUUUGUCAUAUAUAGGUCUUAGAAUGCUCGAAAAACCUAAACAAAAGUGUUUUUCCGCAAGUUUGAAGUGUGACUCGUGAUUUCUACGUAGUCUCGCACAUGACCAUGUAGAAGCUCGUGUGGCCACACGGUCGUGUGUCCAGCCCAUGUGGCUCCUGAAACUUGCUCCAAUUUUCACUUAUUUUUCACUCUUUUUGCUCUAAAAUGCUACUAAGUAUAGAAACAUGAAUUUAAAGGAUUAGGAGCAUAAAAUUCACCAUUUUAAUUCGAAUAAUAAUCCAAAAAUGCAUUAAGAAUGAGGCUAAAACAUGUUACUUUUGGCAUUUAUUAAUUUUGCCAACACCCAAAAUAGUUGCUUAAAGGUACAAAUUUAAACAACCCAAAAAAGGGUCAGUAUAAUCCAAAAAGCGUUGUGUUAGGCUUUUCAUAUGAUAACACUUUUAUAUAGUUGGGAAAGGUAUAACAAAAGUCGGCAUAGUGUUGGAUAAAACUGAUUCUUAUUUAAGCGUUGCCUUAGGCAUGCAUAUCCCAACCUUUAUACAAAGAGUUGGCCAAAGCGUAUGUUAACAAGUCUAUCCUAACACUUAGGAAAGUGUCAGCAUAAUGUUGGACAAACUCGAAUCUUAUUUAAGUGUUGCCUUAGGCAUGCAUAUCUCAAACCUUAUACAAAGAGUUGGCCAAAGCAUACGUCGACAAGUCUAGUUAUUAGCUCAAUAGAUCAAACAGGAAUUGCUAAGAGGGGUGAAGUGGCUUUUAAAAAAAUGUGAAAGCUAGAAAGAAAAUUGAAAGAUGAACAUAAUAAUUUAGAAUGGUUUAGCCCCAAUUGCCUACCCCACUACCUUGACUUUCCACAACUAAGGAUUUUCCAAAAUUCACUAAAUUGAUAACCUUUAAGGAUAAGGUUUAACAUUACAACUCUAUUAAGAUUUCUGUAACACCCCAAACCCGGCUAGACGUUAUAACCGAAUCUGGCGAUGUCACAUGGAAUGGGAUUUGAAACCUCGUUGUUACGAUGAAAACAUUCCAUGCUAUUAUCUUUAGUAAACCUUUGUUAGAACUUAGGAAGUCGUCUUUAUUCAUUUAAAACAUUUGUUUUGAAACAUGCCUCGUUGUGGAAGCUUUAAUAAAACAGUCUAUGUGAUCAUGCGUUUAGAAAAUAAUUUAACUUUUUGAAAACGGAAUUUCCUAAGACCCGCAGGUAUAAAUCCAUAAAGUAAAAUAAAUAAAUAAAAACCCAAAUUUAAAACCAAAAUCCUAGAAGGUCCUUAAAUUACAUCCCAAAUAAUCAAUAAUAAUCAAAUCAUAAAUCGUAAAUUGAAAACCAUGAAGUCGAAAAAUUACGGUGGUUACCGCUAAGUCCUCCGUCGCACCGAUCCAUCUAAGUCUAGGGAUUAACUAUGCACAUUAAACAAAAAAUGUGAGUUUACGUAAACUCAGUGUGUAGUCCCGUAGAAACAAACAAACAAUCAGUAUUCACAGUGCACAGUUGAACAGUCUUGGGCCUAAGCCCUUUUCAGUAUCAGUGACAGUUUGGGCCUUAGCCCAUCUCAGUAUAGUGUCAAAAAUGCAGUAGGUCCUUAACCCAUCACAGUAUUAGUAGCAGUAACAAUUAUGCAGUAGCAAAAUCCUACCCAACCAGCCUCUACACACCAUCUUCGUCUAACCCUACAUUCUAUGUGGGGAUAUAAUCAACCUACCCAUCCCUUUUUAAUAAUAACCCAUGCUAGCUAAAUAUUCUAUGUUUUCACUAUUUACUUAUAUGUUCAUUUAAAGCUGUCUACUUGAGUCAUUGUCACUAAAUUAUUUACAUCUUAAGCUACAGAAUUCCAAAUUAAGAUCUGCUUGAUGUUUUCAAAACUGGACUCAGAUAUCUUUCUACCAUAAAUUUUCAAAAUUUAUAGCUUAUCAAAUAAGUACAGUAAAAUCUUCAAAGUUAUCCCUAUUCUGCCAUUUGACAGCUUCAACCUUUUCCUUACUAAAAAUUAUUAAUCUCUUAGUACGAAAUUUGAAUGAUGUUUCCAUUUGUUUCUCUUGAAAGUAGACUUAUUAAAGAUUUAAAUGUAUAAAUUUAAGCCCCUAAUUAUUUGUUUACAAUUUUUGAUAAUUUUCUAAAAUCAGAACAGGGGAACAAGAAAUCAUUCUGACCUUGUCUCAGAAAAUUUAUUAUAUCUCAUAAUUUACAAUUCUAUUGCUUACACUGUUUCUUCGAUGAAAAACUAGUCUCAAUAAAAUUUAAUUUAAUAUUUUAUUCAACCCUUAACUCAAUUUUCACUAUUUUUGAUGAUUUUUCAAAGUUAAACUACUGCUACUGUCUAAAACUAUUUUUGUGCAAAAUGUUGAUUUCCAAGGUUAUAACACCCUUAUUUCCUUUCUCUACAAUUUUUUUCGCAUCAUUUUCUCUUAUGUCUCGACAGCAAGCGAUUUUGACUUUUUGCUGAAUCCCCUUUUCUGCGUUUCGGGUACACACCUGGUUUCGUUAGAUGCUAAAAUAGUCCCCGAGCACUCCAAAGCCUAUAAUUGAACAAAUAACAUCAAUUUAAUCUCACAUAACGUGAUCCCAAAUCAAACUCAUAUCGAGGUUUUAACCCAUAAGCGACUAAACCUUACCUUCAACUGAUAAUAGUAGUUCCCACACAAACUAAGACUCCGAUUGGUGAUUACAAGCCCUUGAAUCAUCCCCUAAUAGGCAGAAACAAAACACUUUAGAAGAAAGUUAACAAAUAGAGACAAAUCACUUAUCUAAAACUUGUCGAACGAUCGCAGACAAACAUGGAGCGACACGAGGCAGAGUGGGAAAAAAAUCAAGAAGAUGAAGGGUGAAAGAGAGCAGAAAUUUGGCAAUAAUGAAGAGAAAAACAGCAAAAGGGUGGAGGGAUUUUGGGGAAAGUAAAAAAAAAGAAAAAAAAAAUUAACAGAAUAUUUGAUAACCACCCCAAUCCCUUAUUUCUCUCCAUCAAACUCCCCACAAAUCCACUACUCAGAUUUUUAGUCCAUCUCAAACUCUCUUGGACACAUGAGCAAAAAUAAUGCCUAUGCUAAGAUUCAAACACAAGACCUCUUUCACACCAACACUCUACUUAUCCACCAAACCAGCAAGCUAAUUUUGUUAAUUAUUUGCCAACUUUUACUUAAAAGUCUACUGACCAAAUAUAGGACUUAUUCAUAAAAAUACCAAAAUUUGCCCAAGUUCUGGCUUGAACUUGGGACCUCCCAAACACACCUAAAAUACUUAACCACUGAAGUAGAUACACAAUUGUGUCACACAUUCACAAUACCCAAAAUUAAAAUUUUUAGGUGUUACAGUGCUUCUUUUACUGAAUUAAACUAUAACCUUACUAACCUUAUAAAAUGCAUAAAAAACUAAUAAAUCACUUGAUUACAAACUCAUUAAGUAUAGAAUCAAGCUUAAUUUGCCACAACGAAUUGUGGUUAAUCAAUUGUUAAUAUGAAAUUUAUUUUUUUAGAACACCAAAUUCUUUCAACCGCAUUUUGAAGCAGUGGUGGAUCCUAGGACAAAGUUUGGAGGGGAGGCUAGUAAAAUUUUUAGGAAUUAUAAUAUAUAUAUUUGCCAUAACCAUCUAAUACUCAUACUUGUUUAUGCUUAUAAUAUAAUUUUUGUAACUAGUAUAAAAAUAAAUUUUUAAAAUGGGAUUUGAGUGUAAUUACGUAUGUAAUCAUUUUAAUUCUCAGUCCCCUAAGAAUUAAAAAGUGUAAUUGAGUGCUCUAAUUACAGCCAAUUCGUGGGACUCACCAAUCAAUGGUUACCCAAACAUGUCAUCUUUGUGUAAUUACUAGCAAUUACACCCAAAUUCAAUUACUAGGUGAUUUUCCAAACACUGUGUAAUAUGUCGCGACAUCUAAGCCCUUUUGUUUUGUACUUUUUUUAACUUAAUUUUUAAGAGUCCAAGAAAAGUAAAUUACUUAUUUGGUAACACUUAUAUUUAGUCAAGCUAAAAAUAGCUUAAUAAAUUGAUGUUAUUUACUAUAUUUGUCAAACCAUUUUAAAACUAAUUUUGGCUAAGUCAAAAUCACUUUUUAUUCAACUUACCUUUACUAUUUUUAGCCAAUUGAAGUCUUAUAAAUACCUUGUUCAUUUUCAUAAUAUACACACUUGCUCAUCCUUUCCAUCCUUUUAAGAUUGCUAAGUAUUUUUUUGUUGUGAUCUAUUAUUGAUUCCUACUCCCUUUUUAUAAUGAAAGAACUUAUUAAUACCUUAAUAUUUUACUAUUGGUUCUUUCUCACUUUUGUUUUAUUUUCAUCACUUUUAAAAUGUUAUUGUAGCGACCUAAAACUUUCUGGGCACGGGCGCUAGUCGAAGUAAUUAUUGAAGGUUUGAAAACAGUGUCUCGAUUUUAUUCGAAAAAGGGAGUCGCCACCGAUCUUUUUUUUUAGGUGUGAUCGGACACCUACAAAAUUCCCUUUUUAGAAGAAAAAUUUAUUUUUAAGCUUUUCUAAAAAGAGGUAAUUUUAGGUCCACGUAAAAAUCCAGAGAAAAUUAGGGUUCGGGAGUCGGUUACGCGCGAGGAAGGUAUUAGCACCCUCGCGACGCCCAAAAUUGGUAUCUCGUUAAACGCAUGUUGUCUUAACUUUCAAAAAUACGAGUUCCAUUUAAUAUUUAGUCGUGAUCCGAUUGAAACACGAGAAUUUUGAAACACAACAACCCCUUUUUUUUGAAAACACGAAAUUUUUUUAAAACGCAAGAAUUUUAGAAACACGAAAUUUUUCUUUAAAAAAACACGAAAAUUUUGAAACACGAGAAUUUUUUCAAAACACGAAUUUUCUUUUUGAAACACGAAAAUUUUGAAAACACAAAGUUUUAUUUUGAAAACACAAAAGAUUUGAUAAAUUACGAAACAUGAGAUUUUUUUUGAAACACGGAAAUUUAUGAAACACGGUCAAUUUUUGAAAACACGAAAAUUUUUGAAAGACGGGAUUUUUUUUUGAAAACACGAAAAUUUAUAAAACACGGAAAUUUUUUCUAAAAACAAGAAAAUUUUCGAAAAACGAGAAUUUUUGAAAACACAGGAAAUUUUUGAAAACAUGAAAUUUUUUGUUACACUAGAAUUUUGAAAACACGAAGAUUUUUGAAACAUGAGGAUUUUUGAAAACACGAAGCUUUUUGAAACAUGAGAAUUUUUUGAGAACAUGAAAACAUGAAAAUUUGUCAAACACGGGAAUUUUUUGAAAACACGAUAACAUCAAAGAGUAGUCAAGAGAGUUUUUUGAAACACGGAAUUUUUUUUGAAAAAAAGAAACACAAAUAUAUUUUUUUGAAACACGAGAAAUUUUUUGAAAAAAAGAAACACGAAUAUAUUUUUUUGAAACACGAGAAAUUUUAUUAUUAUUAUUUUGAAACACGAGAAAUUUUGAAGACAUGAAAAUUUUUGAAACACGAUUUUUUUAAUAAUACCAUAUUUAACACGAAUCGAUGAUAUUCACCCCGAUAUGGUGAUGAAAUCGUCGUAUUAGUGUCAAAACAAAUCAAAUUAAUAUUUAAUCAGGAUUCUAAUAAAACACGAGGAUUUUUAUUAAAACACGAGGAAUUUUGAAUAUUUUCGAUUUUUAGAAGGGCGUCCCGUAUUUAACACGAGCCAUCGAUAUUCACCCAACAUAGCGAUGAAUUCAACGGCUUGAUGCUAAAUCGGUUCGUUGCCUUAUGCAUUAAAAUAUUUUUUCUAUAAAAAAAAUGCAAAUAAAAUUACAUAUAAUAAUAUUUCUAAACUAUUAAAAAACUAAUUUAAUUGUAAUGGGGAAAUAUUUAAAUAAAUGGACUUAAUUAGAGUGGGUUUAAAAAAUUACCAAAAGCCCAAAGUUAUGGGCUUGAAUUUUGGGCCUCCCUUUUCUUUUUUUUCUUUCUCUUUCUUUCCUGGGCGUUGGGCUGCCGGACUGGGCCGAGUCUGCUGGCCCGCUGGUUGUUGAAACAGGCCUGCUACCGCUGCUGGAUCGAGUACAGGCCUUCGUGCGGGUCGGGUCUGCCUCCUGGACUGGGUCGUGGCCUGCUGUCACUGCUGGGCUGCUCUGCUGCGCGUGGGCCUGGGCUGCUGCUUAGCUGCUGGAGUGGCCUGCUGUUGGCCUGCCCAAGAUGGCCUAUUGCUUGCUGGGCCGGUCUGCCACUGCUGCUGGUGUGGGUGGCCUGCUGCUGGCUUGUUGCUGGCUGCUGGCUGGGUUGGAUCCGGGUCAUCGGGUCGGGUUGGCCCGGCUGUUAUUUUUUUUCUUCUAUUUUCUUCUUUCUUCUUUCUUUUUUUCUUUUUUUCCUCAUUUCUUUUUCUUUCCUUUUUCUUUUUCUUUCUUUUCUUCUUCCUUUCAAACCCUAGCCACCGUCUUUUGCUUGGUGGCGCGACAGUGCCGGCGCUUCUCCCUUCUCCCUUCUCCCUUCUCCUCCUCUCUCUUCUUUCUCUCUUUUUCUUUUUCUUCUCUUCUUCCUCUCUUCCUUACUUCUUUACUGUUUGGGUUGCUGUUUUUUUUUGUUUUCUCUUUGCUUGUUUGUAUAGGUGCGACGGUGGUGGUGGUGUCACAACGGCGGUGCGACGACGGUGGUUGCGGGAGGAUGGUGGUGGAGGCUUUCGGCUUGCUGCUAUUUUUUUGUUUUUGAAUUUUUUCUGCUCUUUUUCUUUUGGUUGCCGAAAAACCUUUUCUUUUUGUUUCGGUUUCCCUUGGCUUUCUAGGUGGCGGUGCGGUGGUUGCGGUGGCGGGGUAGUGGCGCGACGGUGGCGAUGGCUUUUGGGCUGCUGUUUUUUGGAUUUUUUUGAGUUUUUCUCUGCUCUUUUUCUAUUUUUUUUUGGUUGCUAUCCGACCCCCUUCCUUCUCUUUUGAUUUUCUUUUUAAUCUCUUCAUUUUUUAUCCUCUUUCUUCUUGUUUUCAGAUGGCAUGGAGGUGAGGAGCAUGGCUGAUUGGCGGUGUCAGGCGUAGGGUGUGGUGCACGCCCAAAUGCUGGUUGGGGGGCAGUCUUGUCAUUCCCAGAAGGACUGAAUUGUAGAGUGUGCAAAGUUUUUAGGGCAAAAAUGUGAUUUUAGGAAAAUAUAGGGACAAAAUGUAAUUUCUAGAAAGUUUAGGGGCCUGACUGUAAUUUAUAAAAUAUUAGGGGUCAAGAUGUAAAUUUAGACAAAGUUAGGGGUCAAAAAAUAAUUUUUGAAAAGUUUGAGGGCCAAAAUGUAAUUUUUAUUUUUUGUAUUUUUAUUUUUUUCAAAAUUUUAUUAUGACUAUUUUAUUAAUAUUUAAAACAAAAAUUAAAAACGGACUAAAGUAAUUCCAAAAUUAAAUCCUAAUGGGCUCGAUCAUUGGGCCCAUACGAGACCGACCCGGCCUAAAAUUCAAACCGGGCAAAAUUCAGUGAUUACAGCUGCCCCUCUUUGCUCAUCGCUGUAAAACAGGGAUAGAGCAAAGACUUAAAAGCACUGAAUUUUGCUCGAUUGUCUAAUUUUUUAUAUUUUUUGAAAGCCUGAAAUUGAAAAAAAAAAGCUUGGUGUGCGAUCCGAAGUUCAACUCACUUUUCAGAUUAUAAGUUGACCUUUGAAAAAUAAAAAAUAAAAAUACCUCAGCUUGACUCGAGGCUCAACUCACCUCUAGGAUUAUGAGUUAAUAAUUUUUUUUUUUGAAAACAUAAAUUGAAAAUACCACAGCGUGACCUGAGGCUUAACUCACCUCUCGCAUUAUGAGUUGAUUUUUGAAAAACGAAAAAUUGAAAAAUACCUCGGCAUGUGACCCGAGGCUCAACUCACCUCUCGUAAUAUGAGUUGAUUUUUUUUGAAAAACAGAAAUUUAAAAUACCUUAGCGUGCGACCUGAGGCCCAACUCACCUCUCGCAAUAUGAGUUGAUUUUUGAAAAACAGAAAUUGAAAAUACCUCAGGAUGACCCGAGGCUCAACUCACCUCUCGUAUUGUGAGUUGAUUUUUGAAAAAAAGAAAAUUUAAAAGAAAUACCUCGGCGUGACCCGAGACUCAACUCACCUCUCGCAAUAUGAGUUGAUUUUUUUGAAAAACAGUAACUUAAAAAUACCUCAGCGUGACCCGAGGCUCAACUCACCUCUCGUAUUAUGAGUUGAUUUUUGAAAAACAAAAAUUAAAAAAUAUAAUUCUUGAAAGAAACAGGGUUUCAAAACAUCAGGUGAAACUAAAGCCUUCUUCUUCGUUGAUUCUGUGCAACUUUCUCUCAGUAUUCCCUGCUCUACUAAGAUACCUGUAUAUGUCAUGUAUGAUGUUAUUAUGAUAUGCACGUGUUUGACCUAAAUGCUUUUAUGCCUACAUAAUCAUGCCAUGAGCCCUGGGCUGUUUGUCUCAUGCCUCCUUUUCGUGAGGGACUGCAUUCAUUGCCUCAAUCAUUGACUUCUCUCUUCGGUUUUGUACUCAUCUUCAAGUUUGUCGGGUGACCCACAUGUCCAUAUUUCCCCUUCUUGCCCCUUUUGUUGAACUUUGUUCCUGCUUUGGGGUCCUUGUACUUAUCAAAUUCUCAUCCAGGUAAUGCUCAACAUUCAUUUUGUUUAGAGUAUGUCAUCUUACUAUUUAUCAUUUAAAUGAAUCAAACACAAGAUGCAUAAAUAAAAUGGCAAAGUAGGCAUGAAAGAAAUACCUCACAUCCAUUUCAUUUUCAAAACCAUCAAACAAAGAAAAUUGACAAGGAAAAAGUUCAAAGAAAGCAUCAUAUAGAAAGGAAAGUGAAUUCAAUGGCCACAAAUGCUCUAGAUAUCCAACGUAUGAACUUCUCCACGUUUCUUCAUCCUGGAUCCUUUCGAGCACGGCUUCUUGUGUAGAAGAUUUCGAGCUUCUGAGAAUGCUUCAAAUAUUGCGACUUUGUCAUUCAACUCUCCGUUCAAGUCACUUUGCUCCUUUAAGCUCGAGCCCACUUCAUUAGGACGCCCUUUCAGGUUUCCAUCCUAAUUCUUUUUGUUUAUCAAAACGCCCUUUUCAGGUUUUCAUCUUGAUUUUCUUUUUCUUUUCUUUUUUCUUUUUUUGUUUUUGUUUUUGUUUUUUUUUGUUCUUUUUGUUCUUUUUGUUCUUUUAUUUUUUUAUUUUUUUUUUGUUUUUUUAGGCAUAAUAUUUCUUUACAGCAUCUGAGUUCACUGGAUUAGGUAACUCUUUCCCGUCCAUCUCAGUGAGAAUCAGAGCCCCUCCUGAGAAUGCCCUCUUUACAACGUAUGGUCCUUCCCAAUUUGGUGACCAUUUUCCUCGAAAGUCCUUCUGUAUUGGGAGAAUCUUUCUCAGUACGAGCUCUCCUUCGCGAAAUUCUCUUGGCCGCACCUUUUUAUCAUGGGCCGUAAUCAUUCUCUUCUGGUACAUCUGUCCAUGACAAAUUACCUUCAAGCGUUUCCCUUCAAUAAGGUUUAGCUGAUCAUAUCGAGCUCGAACCCACUCUGAUUCCUCUAACCUUGUCUCCAUCAAGAUGCGCAGGGAUGGGAUCUCUACUUCGAUAGGCAGAACGGCUUCCAUUCCAUAGACUAGAGAAAAAGGAGUUGCCCCCGUAGACGUCCGUACCGAGGUGCGAUAUGCGUACAAAGCGAAUGGUAGCUUAUCGUGCCAGUCUUUAUAUGUCUCAGUCAUCUUCCCAAUAAUCCUCUUAAUGUUCUUAUUAGCGGCUUCUACUGCUCCGUUCAUCUUUGGGCAAUAGGGCGAAGAAUUAUGAUGUUUUAUCUGGAAUUGCUCACAUACUUCUUUCAUCAUCUUAUUGUUCAAAUUUAAAGCAUUAUCUGAAAUGAUUCUUUCAGGCAGACCAUAUCGGCAUAUAAUCUCCUUUUUUAAGAACCUACAGACUGUAGCCUUUGUCACAUUAGCAAACGAAGUGGCUUCUACCCAUUUUGUGAAGUAGUCUAUAACCACAAAGAUGAAUCGAUGCCCAUUGAAAGCUUUCGGGGAAAUUGGCCCUAUAACAUCCAUGCCCCACAUAGAAAAAGGCCACGGAGAAGUCAUGACAUGAAGGGGUGACGGAGCUGCAUGAAUUUUGUCGCCAUAAAUUUGACAUUUGUGGCACUUUCGUGCGUAACCAAUGCAAUCCCUUUCCAUCGUCAGCCAAUAAUAACCAAGUCUCAUAAUCUGCCUGGCCAUGGUGAAACCACUGGCAUGUGUUCCACAAAUUCCUUCAUGAACCUCUUCAAGUAUCUUUCUAGCUUCAACAGCGUCCACGCACCUCAGGAGCACUUGAUCUUUUCCCCUUUUGUAUAGAAUAUCCCCGUCAAGAACAAAUCCAAUCGCCAUUCUCCUGAUUGUUCUUUUGUCAUUCUCGUUUGCUUGCUCGGGGUACCUUUGAUUCUUGAUAUACUCCAAGAUAUCAUGGAACCAUGGUCGUCCAUCUGACUCCUCCUCAAUACUAAAGCAGUGUGCGGGGGUCUCAUAUAUACUCAUUUGGAUGGGCAUUAUCUCAUUUUCUCUGUUUGCCUUGAACAUCGAAGCCAAGGUGGCUAGGGCAUCAGCCAGUUGGUUCUCCUCUCGUGGAAAGUAGUUAAAAGUCACUUUAUAGAACUCCUUGAUCAGCUCUGCAACGAGAUCAUGAUAUUUGACUAAUUUUGGAUCUCUCACUUCCCAAUCUCCACGAAUUUGAUAAAUGACUAAUGCUGAGUCCCCGUGUACCUCUAAAAUUUUGAUUUUUCACUUGAUAGCUGCACGAAGUCCCAUGAUGCAAGCCUCAUAUUCCGCUAUAUUAUUUGUACAGAAGAAAUUCAAUCUGGCAGUAAGCGGGUAAUGGUCCCCUUCAGGUGACACUAAGACUACUCCUAUCCCAUGCCCCAAUACAUUUGAUGCACCAUCAAAGCUCAUCUUCCAUGACUUUCCUUUUGAUGACUCGCCCUCUUUUUCUGAAAUACACAUCAAAUCUUCAUCUGGGAACUCAAAUCUCAAAGGCUCGUAUUCCUCCAUUGUUCGACUUGCCAAGAAGUCAGCUAUUGCGCUUCCUUUUAUCGACUUUUGGCUCACAUAUACAAUGUCAUACUCAGUCAAUAGGAUUUGCCAUCGGGCCUUUCUCCCUGAGAGUGCAGGUGACUUCAUCAUGUACUUUAUUGGGUCCAGUUUUGAAAUUAACCAUGUCGUGUGAUACAGCAUGUAUUUUCUGAGCCUUCGAACUGUCCAAAUCAAUGCACAACAAAACUUCUCAAUUGACAGGUACUUUGCCUCAUAUUCUGUGAACUUCUUGCUGAGGUAGUAAAUUGCCUUCUCUCUUUUCCCUGACUCAUCAUGUUGUCCCAGUACGCAACCCAUUGAGUUCUCAAACACGGUCAGGUACAAUAUUAAGGGUUUUCCAGGGGUCGGCGGUACUAGCACAGGAGAAUUAGAUAGAUACUGUUUUAUCUUGUCGAAGGCCACUUGGCACUCCUCGUUCCAUUCUCCCGGAUUACGUUUUCAAAGGAGUCGAAAAAUUGGGUCACACUGAUUGGUAAGUUGAGCAAUGAAUCGAGCAAUGUAAUUCAACCUUCCUAAAAAACCUCUGACUUCCUUUUGUGUACGCGGGGGAGGCAAUUCUUGUAUAGCUUUUAUCUUAUCUGGAUCAACCUCGAUACCUCUUUCACUAACAAUGAAACCUAGCAGUUUUCCUGAGGUAGCCCCAAAUGUACAUUUGGCCGGGUUAAGCUUCAACUGAAACUUUCUUAAUCUUUCAAACAACUUCCUAAGACUCCCAACAUGCUCUCUUUCUUCCCGAGAUUUGGCAAUCAUAUCAUCGACAUAAACUUCUAUUUCUUUGUGCAUCAUAUCAUGGAAUAACGUCACCAUGGCUCUCUGAUAUGUUGCCCCAGCAUUCUUUAAUCCGAACGGCAUUACCUUGUAGCAGAAGGUUCCCCACAUUGUUAUGAAUGUAGUUUUCUCCAUAUCUUCGGGAGCCAUCUUUAUCUGAUUAUAUCCUGAGAAACCAUCCAUGAAAGAAAACAGAGAAUGCUUUGCCGUAUUAUCCACCAAAGUGUCGAUGUGCGGUAAAGGAAAGUUAUCUUUAGGGCUUGCUUAAUUCAGAUCAUGAUAAUCCACGCACAUUCGCACCUUGCCAUCUUUCUUCGGCACUGGGACUAUAUUAGCUACCCAUUCUGGAUACUUUGAGACUUGUAGGAAGCCAGCGUCAAAUUGUUUCUUGACUUCUUCUUUUAUCUUUAACAGCAUUUCGGGUCUCAUCCUUCUUAAUUUCUGCUGAACGGGCUUGCAUUCUGGUUUCAGUGAGAGCUUGUGGACCACAAUAUCCGUGUUUAAUCCUGGCAUAUCUUGAUAAGACCAGGCAAACACAUCCUUGUAUUCAUGGAGCAAGGCGAUCAAAUCUUGCCUUGUGUUUUUUGAAAUCGAAGUCCCAAUCUUCACUUCUUGUUUCUCUUCUUCAUUCCCCAAGUUCACUACCUCAACAGAUUAUUGAUGGGGUAGGAUUUGUUUCUCUUCUUGUUCCACCAUUCUCAGUAAGUCAGGAGAUGAGACACAAUCUUCAACAUUUUCGUCAGCUUCGAAUUCUCCUAAACAAAUAACCUUCUCAAAAUUGAUUUCAGGAUUCAUAACGGGAUUAUUCAUGCCAUUGAUAUCUGAACACCUGAAAGGUGAAUGGAAAAAGGAUAUAGAAGAGUAUUGAGGUAUUGUAAUCAACACACAAUGAUAUGAGAUGAUAUGAGACAUAUGCCAGAAAAGGAUAUGAACAGAAGGAGUAGUCGCAAAGUUAAUGAAAAGAAUAUGACAAUAUAAAACAAAAUGCAUCUUCAUUAAUGUUCAUUGAAAUGAUAAAGAGCAAACAUAAGCUCUUACAAAAGGAACCCUACUGUUUAAGGACACACAAAAUGAAGGGUUAACAUUGAGCAUUACUCUGAAGGGGACUUAAAAACUACAAGGAGGUCCUCAGCAGUCCAGUUGUUCAAAACAUAUCCUGGAGGACAAUGGCGUAUCAUUGAAGCAUUCUUAAUUUCAUCAUUCUCAUUGUCAAUAGCAUUUAGGCUGAGAUUCUGAAGACCCUUUUCAAUCAAUAAUGUGGCUUGCAAAUUGUUCUGCCCUGGGUACAUCACUCCUGCUGAUGUAAAUGUUCUCGACAAAGGAGGAUACGCCAACGGCCCCCAUUCUAAUUCCUGGCCCGAAGCUCUUGCGAUUCUUCUUUCUCGAUUUUUCUGAAAUUGUUUUUAUCUUUGAUGUACAUCUGGCUUGAACCCCAAACUGUAUCGACCCUUAUGGUGCGUUGGUUUCAAAGCUCUAACCAUCCUUUGUUGAUAUUUUCCCAAACCUUUCCUCGCUCGAGCUCCUUUUCCCACAGUCAGCUUAAGUCCCAUCUUGGUAUUCCUCGACAGUUUGGGAAUGGGGAUCUUAUUCCCUUCAGUAACAAAUGCAGCAUUGAUAAAUUUCAAGAAGCGAAAAGAACAUUCUACAGCAUCUUCGCUUAUUUCGAUGUAGGGUGCAUCAGUAGAGAUAGAUGCGACGAUGUCUUCCUCGCCACCAACAGUAAUCAAACGACUAUCCAUGAUGAACUUUACUUUCUGAUGGAGAGAUGAAGGAACUGCCCCAGCAGAAUGGAUCCAAGGUCUUCCUAACAGGCAAUUGUAUGAAGGUGUGAUGUCCAUGACCUGAAACUCGAUAUCGUAUGCACAUGGCCCCACUUUUAAAGGAAUUUCGAUAUUUCCCAUGACCUCUCGCCGUGUCCCAUCAAAUGCCCUUACUAUAGAAUGACAAGGCCUCAGAUAGGACAUAUCAACCGGCAUCCUAGAAAGCGUGGCCAAAGGCAUAACAUUGAGUGCAGAUCCAUUGUCGAUGAGCACAUUUGGUAAUAUGUAACCUUUGCAAUUGGUUGUGAUGUGCAAUGCUUUUAUGGAGCCCCUUCCAUUUGGCGGUAUUUCGUCGUCACUAAAGGAGAUGAAAUUAUCUGCAUUUAGAUUAUUUGCCCACCUAUCAAGCUUUUCCACAGAUACAUUGUUCGCCACAUAAGCUUGAUUUAACACUUUUAACAAGGCAUUCCGAUGUGGCUCUGAAUUCAACAAUAGAGACAGUACCGAGAUACGGGCUGGCUGCUUGUUUAAUUGUUCUACAAUGCUAUAUUCACUGUGCUUAAUGAACUUUAAGAACUCACAUGCUUCCUCCUCAUUCACAGCCUUUUUAACUUCUUCCUCGGGUGGUAUUUCAACAUCAUCCUCAGCCUCAUACAUUGGUGCUUUUCUUUUUUGGCUCGGACCAGCAACCUUCUUCUUUGGCUCAACCGUCUCGGGAGAAUAACAUCUUUCGCUACGAGUAAAAUGUCCUACUCCGCUAACACCUUCACUCACAACCUUGGACUUUUCACCCUCAGGUACAAUGAUAUUGACAUCAUAAUUCUAAGGCACCGCCUUGUUGUCCUUAUAAGGGAAAGGAGCAGGUACUUCAAUUAUCAAACUUGGUUUAACUUCUCGACUAACUUCUUCCUUCUUUGUCCCGUAAUAAAUCACCAAAGGUCUAUCGACGCUAUAAAGGGAAGCCAUUGAUUGAUUAUUAGAGGCACAUAUUUCUCCUUCUUCGGCCCCCUCCACCCUAUCAAAGACCUUGACCUCUUUGUUAUCCAUCAUGUCUUGAAGUAAUUUCCUAAAUUCCUUACAAGAUUGGAUGUCAUGCCCUUGGACGCCAUGAAAAUCACAGAAACUCUGGUCUUUUGUACUUUCUUCUUUAAGAAUCUUACUAGACGGACAGAGCAAGCCAUUUUCAAUCAUCAUCUCCCAUACCUUCCGUAAAGGUGUCUUUACUUCGGUAACACAACCUUUGGCUUGACAAUUGUCUUCAUUUGUCACCGCAUUUACAUUCCCGUCAGUAUGGUUAGGAAGAGGAUUUCCUGUCACAUUGCUAACAUCGUCGAACCGUAGAACACCGGCAUCAAUAAGACCUUAAACCCUCCUUUUAAAAGCAAGACAGUUUUCUGUAGAAUGUCCCUGAUUCCCAGCGUGAUACAUGCAAUUAGCGUUAGGAUCAUACCACUUCGGGUAUGGAGGCUUCAGGGGUGCCAUGUAAUGUGGGGAUAUUAAUUGUUUUUCCAACAGCUUUGGGUAUAAUUCUCCAUAUGAUACAGGAAUUAGAGUAAACUGAGGUCUUUCAAGAUUGGGUCUUGCCGGUCUUUGUUCAUUUUUGGGUUGGCUUUGUACAGGUAUGGUGUUUGGCGGGAACACGGUGAAUGGUCUUUGGUUAUUCACAGCAUAAACGGGGUAAGAUAGGGGUGCUUGAUAGUAAGGACUUUGAGGAGGAAAGUAGAAGUUUGAAGGUGGGCGGUAAUGAGGUCGUGGUUGGGUGAGGUACGGAUUAGGGGUACAUUGGCUUUCAGUCCCAACCAUAUGGGCCUCUGCCUCCUUUUUCUUUGCGGGUACUGUCCUCUUCGAACUCUCAGGACCUUCCAUUCUCCCACUCUUGACGGCGUUUUCGAUAAGUUCCCCGGAUAUUACAAUAUCUGCAAAGUCCUUUGUGGCACUUCCCACCAACUUAUCGUAAAAUGGCGCUUUUAGAGUGUUGAUGAAGAGGACCGUUAUCUCUGUCUUAGUUAACGGAGGCUCCACUUGAGCCGAGAUAUCCCUCCAUCUUUACGCAUAUUACCGAAAAGUCUCUGUCGGCUUCUUUUCCAUCAUUUGUAAGGUUAGUCGAUCAGGCACCAUAUCUGUUACAUGCCUAUAUUGCUCACAGAAUGCUGAAGCCAAAUCCUUCCAUGAUCGGAUUCUCUCUCUACUGAGUUGAUUAUACCAUCGAAGGGUUGAGCCAAUCAAACUAUCUUGAAAGUAAUGCACCAACAAUUUAUCAUCGUUUACAUAACCAGUCAUCUUUCGGCAAAACAUGAUCAGAUGCGCCUUUGGACAUCUUGUUCCGUCAAAUUUCUCAAAAUCAGGUGCCUUAAAUUUUGGUGGUAGGACCAAAUCAGGUACCAAACUGAGCUCUUUGGCACUCAAAGCAGAGAAAACUUCAGCGCCUUCUACUGCCUUGAUCCUCUAUUCCAGGACUCUAUACUUAUCCUGAGCGUUAUUGUCAUCAAUUCUCAGCCUUGCUACUUCUACAGGAUCAUCUAGGUCUGGAACAAUUGGAUCUGAAGGAUUAGCCCCAGGGUUCGAUACAAACAUUCCUUGUCCUAAAUGAGCAGAUGGAGCAGGAUGUUGUUCCAGGCCUGUAGGUUCCCUUUGGGGGUAUCCUCUUUGCAUUGCGUGGACAUGAGGUGGAGUAAAUCCCGGGGGAUAAAGUGGGUCUUGAUUAGCUCUUGACUGAGGCGGUUCUACGACAUUAGGGCUCUGUAUAGGUCCCUUUCCUUUGACCAAAGCCGUCAUCAUUUCUAUCAUUUUAGCCAUUUGAUCCCUUUGCUCGAGCAAUUCUUCUCGAGAUCUCACCAUCAAAUCUCUUGCCUCUUGCUGCGACUUGGCCAGUUGCUCCUGCAACUCUCUUUGGGUUCUUUCCAUCCUUUCCAUCCUUUCAUUGAGUUCAGCAUCCAUAGCUCUAGCUCUUAAGCGCGUCCUAUAAGAGUGACGUGAUUCCAGACUCGUAGUGUAGUAACUGUGGAUUAGAUGGUUUUACCCUUAGCGAAUGAUUAAGGUGAUAUGAGAAUACAAUGAAUAAAUGAAUGAGUAACUAAUGAAUGUUAAUCAUGCGUAAAUAUGCAAAAAAGGGUGUUGAUUCCAAAAUGGCCCCAUACUUGGGCGUUUCAUUUAUCAAAAGAGUCCGUUACAAAAAGUUUUGCCAUCCUAGUUCAACAAUUACACGAAUUUCCUAGCCACAUCGCCUUGCUUCUUCAUACGUUCCAAGAACUCUGAUAUGCUUGAUCUUUGGCUAGGAGGGUAUUGGCAACUGAGAACUUCCGCUUCAUCUGAUAAUUGUACUAUUUGUGCAGCCGCCUUACGAAUUUCAUUGAUCAACCUACCGAGAUGCAUAUCCUUUUCUUGGAGGGCUCUUUCAUAAGCACGAAUGUCUCUGUCAUGCUGAUCAUUCUUCUCUUCUAAAGCUCUCAAGAGGUCAUCCAGAUGUUGCUGAUGAGCUUGCAGUGUACUCUCUAGACUUCAGAUUUUUCCUUUUAGCCCUUGAUGCUCAGACUGACUAGCCGUUAGUUCUGCAGUCACAGUUUCGUAUUCAACGUUCUUCUUCCUCAACUCUAUCAUAGCACAUGCAGCUCUUUCCUCUUCUUUCUUUGCUUUGGCUUUCCAGAAUUCCAUCCCACCUUUGAUAUUACUUAGUUCCUCUUUCCAUUCUGCUGAUGCUUUGCCCAAUCCACUAUUUCUUAUAGUGCCCCUUAAUUUCUUGUUUUCCAAAUGAAGGUCCCUUAAAUUCUUUCUCGUAACUUGAACUUCUUUUUGGACUUUUUCGGCUCUGGAUUUUUCAAUUUCGACAUCAAUCUUCAGCUGGUAGUUCUCCUCCUGAAGAGAUUAAUAUCUCGCAACAUUUUGGCCUUUUCACGUUCAAAUUCAUGUCUUGCAAUUUCUAGCUCGGAUGGGGUUUUCUCUGAGAACGGAUUCUGGCAAGCUUCAUUAAUUGGUGGGGUUACUUGACUCUUCACUCGUUGUUGCCUCCAUAGGUCAUAGUCUACAGUGAUAGUAUCAGCAUAUAGAGCCAAUUCCAUUAGGUAGAUUCGCCUCCAAGAAUUCGCAGUAUCUCAAACCUUUUUCAUGUAACCCUCACCCAUAAAGGCAAACUCCGAUUGUGCCAAUCCAUCGGUAACUGGUACAAACUGUCGCGAAGCGAACUGUCUUUAAACCAACAAUGGAGCAUAUCCAACUCCUCCCCAUAAUCCUAAUAAAGGUAUCCAGUCUUGGUUUCCACACUUGUAUAACAAGACAGAGGGACGAAUCCAAGGUGCUCUCCAAGUUAUAUCUUCGACACGGAGGUUCUGAAAGACCGAGACCCAGUGUUGUUCAGUGACAUCUUUCGGCCAAUCUUUUCCAAGGUGUGCUUCCAACGGGGCGAAUGUCUUUGAAAACAUGUGGAAAGGCGUACGCUCCACCCUCCAAAAAUGGCUAAAGAUCCAAACAUUCAGUAACUGAGCGCAUUCGAUAAAACGUCCUUCCCCUUUUCUCCUACAAGCAUUUAGAGAUCUAAAAGUCUCAGCCAAGAUGGCUGGGACCGGGUUAACUCUUUGCCUCAACUUUUCGAAGAAAUCCACAACCGCAACUUCAAUAUGCCCAAGAACCUUCGGGAAGACGACCAGUCCGUAAACAGCCAAGGCAAACAAAUCUACUCUUUUUAACACAUCUGGAUGAUUCUGAACUAACUCCCGCAGAGAAAACCACGGGACACAACUGACUUCAUUCUUCUUCUUUAUCUGUUUUUCAGCCCAUGUAUCAGUCAUUCCCGUCAACUUCAUUAGCUUUUUCUUGAAGGUCAUUGGUUUAGGCUCCUUCACAUAUAUCUUGUUGAGUUGCACAUUAUCGAUGCGAAGCAAAGCGGCAUACUCUUCUAUGGUCGGAGUCAUAUCUUCCUGAUUGAAAGUGAAACACUGAUAGGCUGGGUCCCAGAAUCGAACCAUGGCUUGGAUCAACUGCUCGUUCACAUCGAUUGCUAUCAAGUGAGCUAUAUCCCCAUACUUUUCAGUGGAGAUGCUUCUAGUAUCUGAGUCCCACUGCUUCCAAAUCCUAGUCAAGUCUUCGAGAUCAUUUUGACGAGCAUUCAAAGUCACACGCUCGGGAAGAUCAGAGGUGUAUCCUUCCUUCAAACUGUCCCCUUUCACUUUUUGAGUUCUCAAAGACCAAUCUCGGACUACAGCAUUUUUCUCGGUUACUCGUGUAAUUGACUCCUCCAUCAGAAACCCGUUUUUGGCAACCAAUAUUUAACCAACACCUUCCUAAUGAGAUGUCUACGAUGCAUGAUGGAAAAUAAGAUGAAAAACAAAUAACCUUGGUUAGAGAUCACAACAGAUAUAAACAAAAGAAAAAUGAAAAAUAAAGACUAUGGAAAAUUUAACAAAUUAAGCUAUUCAAUCAUGCAAUUUGGUGGAACAGACCCACAUUUUUUUUUGCCCCAACAUGCUUUACAAGAAACCUACCCCACAUACCAUCAGACCAUCUAUCCGACCCAAUUUAUUGAAUAGACUCAAUUUAUCUGCAAAUAAGUGUAAAUGUAAAAGAAAUAAAAGGUAAGAGGCGUUUCUCCCGUGCACUUAUUUUGGUAACUAUCAAACGGACAGAGGUUCUGUAUGGCUCUACUCGGGUGGCCUAUACGGUUCACUAUAUGUAGUUUCGGUUUUAGAAAGGUACUCGAAUUGUCCAUACUAUCACCUACUAAGGUUAGUACAGAGCUUCGGUUAUCGCCCGUCAGGGCUCGCGAGCUCAAUUCGAGGGAUUACAUUUACUUAUGCCUAUGCGGAGGGACAAGUUAACUCACGAAAGCAUAAGUCAUAUGUAACCCGAAAGUAAUUACUAGCCUGUGCGGAGGGACGAGUUAACUCACGAAGGCGUAGCGUUUACUUCCACUUAAACGGACAGAGCCCGGGUAGAGAGCUCAUGUUAUGCAAAAAAUGCAAGUGCACUGUGUGUGGAGAGAAACUCACAAACCUUUUUAUUUUUACUUUUACUAAAAAAAACAAACUAAAACCAUAAAACUUAAAGCUGAAAAAAACACGAAAAUAAAAAAGGUUAGAAAAAUAUUAAUUUCAAAACUGAAUACGGAUGCAUGAUUUUUUUCAAAACAAAAUUCAAGGAUCACGAUUAAAAAUUAAUUUGAACAAGAAAAUUUGAAAAUUUUGACAACACACGUUUAACAUCAGACUCGACUCUCAAAAAAAACUCCCCAGCGGAAUCGCCAGCUGGAGCGACCUAAAAAUUUCUGGGCACGGGCGCUAGUCGAAGUAAUUAUUUAAGGUUUGAAAACAGUGUCUCGAUUUUAUUCGAAAAAGGGAGUCGCCACCGAUCUUUUUUUUUAGGUGUGAUCGGACACCUACAAAAUUCUCUUUUUAGAAGAAAAAUUUAUUUUUAAGCUUUUCUAAAAAGAGGUAAUUUUAGGUCCACGUAAAAAUCAAGAGAAAAUUAGGGUUCUGGAGUCGGUUACGCGCGAGGAAGGUAUUAGCACCCUCGCGACGCCCAAAAUUGGUAUCUCGUUAAAUGCAUGUUGUCUUAACUUUCAAAAAUACGAGUUCCAUUUAAUAUUUAGUCAUGAUCCGAUUGAAACACGAGAAUUUUGAAACACAACAACCCCUUUUUUUUUUUUGAAAACACGAAAUUUUUUUAAAACGCAAGAAUUUUAGAAACACAAAAAUUUUCUUUAAAAAAACACGAAAAUUUUGAAACAUGAGAAUUUUUUCAAAACACAAAUUUUCUUUUUGAAACACGAAAAUUUUGAAAACACAAAAAAUUUGAUAAAUUACGAAACAUGAGAUUUUUUUGAAACACGGAAAUUUAUGAAACACGGUCAAUUUUUGAAAACACAAAAAUUUUUGAAAGACGGGUUUUUUUUUUGAAAACACGAAAAUUUAUAAAACACGGAAAUUUUUUCUGAAAACAAGAAAAUUUUCGAAAAACGAGAAUUUUUGAAAACACAAGAAAUUUUUGAAAACAUGAAAUUUUUUGUUAAACUAGAAUUUUGAAAACACGAAGAUUUUUGAAACAUGAGGAUUUUUGAAAACACGAAGCUUUUUGAAACAUGAGAAUUUUUUGAGAACAUGAAAACAUGAAAAUUUGUCAAACACGGGAAUUUUUUGAAAACACGAUAACAUCAAAGAGUAUUCAAGAGAGUUUUUUGAAACACGGAAUUUUUUUUUGGAAAAAAGAAACACGAAUAUAUUUUUUUGAAACACAGGAAAUUUUUUGAAAAAAAGAAACACGAAUAUAUUUUUUUGAAACACGGGAAAUUUUAUUAUUAUUAUUUUGAAACACGAGAAAUUUUGAAGACAUGAAAAUUUUUGAAACACAAUUUUUUUAAUAAUACCAUAUUUAAUACGAAUCGAUGAUAUUCACCCCGAUAUGGCGAUGAAAUCGUCGUAUUAGUGUCAAAACAAAUCAAAUUAAUAUUUAAUCGGGAUUCUAAUAAAACACGAGGAUUUUUAUUAAAACACGAGGAAUUUUGAAUAUUUUCUAUUUUUAGAAGGGCGUCCCGUAUUUAACACGAGCCAUCAAUAUUCACCCAACAUAGAGAUGAAUUCAACGGCUUGAUGCUAAAUCGGUUCGUUGCCUUAUGCAUUAAAAUAUUUUUCUAUAAAAAAAUGCAAAUAAAAUUACAUAUAAUAAUAUUUCUAAACUAUUAAAAAACUAAUUUAAUUGUAAUGGGGAAAUAUUUAAAUAAAUGGACUUAAUUAGAGUGGGUUUAAAAAAUUACCAAAAGCCCAAAGUUAUGGGCUUGAAUUUUGGGCCUCCCUUUUUCUUUUUUUUUCUCUUUCUUUCCUGGGCUUUGGGCUGCCGGACUGGGCCGAGUCUGCUGGCCCGCUGGUUGCUGGAACAGGCUUGCUACCGCUGCUGGAUCGGGUACAGGCCUUCGUGCGGGUCGGGUCUACCUCCUGGACUGGGUCGUGGCCUGCUGUCACUGUUGGGCUGCUCUGCUGCGCGUGGGCCUGGGCUGCUGCUUAGCUGCUGGAGUGGCCUGCUGUUGGCCUGCCCAAGAUGGCCUAUUGCUUGCUGGGCCGGUCUGCCACUACUGCUGGUGUGGGUGGCCUGCUGCUGGCUUGUUGCUGGCUGCUGGCUGGGUCAGAUCCGGGUCGUCGGGUCGGGUUGGCCCGGCUGUUAUUUUUUUCUUCUAUUUUCUUCUUUCUUCUUUCUUCUUUUCUUUUUUCCUCCUUUUUUUUCUUUCCUUUUUCUUUUUCUUUCUUUUCUUCUUCCUUUCAAACCCUAGCCGCCGUCUUUUGCUUGGUGGCGCGACGGUGCCGGCGCUUCUCCCUUCUCCCUUCUCCUACUCUCUCUUCUUUCUCUCCUUUUCUUUUUCUUCUCUUCUUCCUCUCUUCCUUACUUCUUUACUGUUUGGGUUGCUGUUUUUUUUUGUUUUCUCUUUGCUUGUUUGUAUAGGUGCGACGGUGGUGGUGGUGUCACAACGGCGGUACGACGACGGUGGUUGCGGGAGGAUGGUGGUGGAGGCUUUCAGCUUGCUGCUAUUUUUUUAUUUUUGAAUUUUCUCUGCUCUUUUUCUUUUGGUUGCCGAAAAACCUUUUCUUUUUGUUUCGGUUUCCCUUGGCUUUCUAGGUGGCGGUGCGGUGGUUGCGGUGGCGGGGUAGUGGCACGACGGUGGCGAUGGCUUUUGGGCUGCUGUUGUUUGGAUUUUUUUGAGUUUUUCUCUACUCUUUUUUUAUUUUUUUUUGGUUGCUAUCCGACCCCCUUCCCUCUCUUUUGAUUUUCUUUUUAAUCUCUUCAUUUUUUUGUCCUCUUUCUUCUUGUUUUCAGAUGGCAUGGAGGUGGGGAGCAUGGCUGAUUGGCGGUGUCAGGCGUAGGGUGCGGUGCACGCCCGGAUGCUGGUUGGGGAGCAGUCUUGUCAUGCCCAGAAGGACUGAAUUGUAGAGUGUGCAAAGUUUUUGGGGCAAAAAUGUGAUUUUAGGAAAAUAUAGGGCCAAAAUGUAAUUUCUAGAAAGUUUAGGGGCCAACUAUAAUUUACAAAAUAUUAGGGGUCAAGAUGUAAAUUUAGAAAAAGUUGGGGGUCAAAAAAUAAUUUUUGAAAAGUUUGGAGGCCAAAAUGUAAUUUUUAUUUUUUGUAUUUUUUUUAUUUUUAUUUUUUUUUCAAAAUUUUAUUAUGACUAUUUUAUUAAUAUUUAAAACAAAAAUUAAAAACGGACUAAAGCAAUUCCAAAAUUAAAUCCUAAUGGGCUCGAUCAGUGGGCCCAUACGAGACCGACCCGGCCCAAAAUUCAAACCGGGCAAAAUUCAGUGAUUACAGUUAUUUUAUUAUCUUAAUUAUUUUUCAAAAUUAAUAGAAUUUUAUUAUAAAUUAGGGCAGUUCUCAUUUAAUUAAAAAGUUUAUAUAUAUUAAAAUUAUAAAAAUAUAUUAUUUAGUAAAUUAAAAAAUAAACAAAUACAUAGUUUAAUUAACAGUAAUAUUGUAUUUUCUCCAUUAUGUGGUAUUUUCCCUAUAAAUACAUAGUUUUAGGUUUAUACCUAGAGUUAGCCACCUUAGUAUUAUUUUGCUUUAGUGUUUUCUUUUGUCCAUGAAUUUCUAAAUCAUCUUUUCUAGUCAAAGGGAUUUUGAACUUUGAUUGUAAUAGUUUGUAAGAUCUAAUUGCUCUUCAUCUAUUCUUUGUUCUUUAGCGCUUGCAUGUGUUCUAUUUUAAUUACAAAUAUUCAAGUUUGUUGGAUAUUGGUACCAUAUUCAAUUGCUUAGAACAUAGUGACAAAUAACAUGAUUACAUAUAAACUAUGUAUGCAAUUCAUGUUAUGUGGAUACCCGAUUUAAUCUAAAUGAACCCCGUUGGUGUGUGUUAGUUGGUCAGAAAUAGGUUUCUCUCAUUCUUAAUACUACCUAUAAUUAAGCUAAAUCCUAGGCACGAAGUUAUAGGGCCUCUUGGUUAUCGAAAGGUAAUGAGAGAUUGUUUAUAUGGUUCUUAAUGCUAGGUGCGACAUGGGCAACUAUAACUAAUUUAUUAAAAACACUAAAAUUAUAUUUGCAUCAUUGAUCAAACUCAUGAAUCAAAAUUGAGAUUUUACCUUAGUUAGACUCUCAUUAUAUUGAUUUUGCUAUAUUUUAUUUUGCAAUCUUUUUCUUUUACAAAGUUUUAAUUUUAAUUUUAAAAAUCCUUAUUUUUAUUUUACUUGUUUUUUUAAAGAAUUAGAACAAUCACUAGUCUUUGUGGAUAUGGCUCUACUCACAGUCAUCUACAAAUUUAUUUUUUUAGUAAGAAUUUAUUUUUCUAGGUCACAACAACCAUACAACUUUUGACACCAUUGUUGGGGAUUGGUGUCAAUAAUUUUAUUUCCUUUUAAAUUCAAAUAAGAAUUUUCAAGAAGAGUGAAUGAGGUAAAUAUUUCUUUUUCCUAAUAAUCAUUGAGACCAAACGAUAACAUUAAUGAUGACCUUGAUAUUUGUGGGUGUCGAAAUAUCCCUUAAAAAAAUGUAUUUCAAAUUUUAACUUUCCUGAAAACAUAUAUUAUAAAUAAUAAAAUAUCUAAUAACAUAGUAAAAAAAAUCCAAGUUUUGGUUCCCCUAUAAUCGAUGGCCCAGUUUGCCUUUAACGAGCACUACACCAAAACAGGCUUUUAGCGGCGUUUGAAUAAAAAAUGCCUCUAAAGAUCGAGCAUUAGCGACUCUUUUCGGAAAACGCCGCUAAAUAUCGAACUUUAACAUCGCUUUAUGGAAAACGCCGCUAAAUAUAAGCAUUAGCGGCGUUUUCUAAAAAGCGCCGCAAAAAACCUAUGCUUUCGGGGUUUUAGCGGCGUUUUUAAUGAAGCGCUGCUAAUGCUCAGGGCUUUAGCGGCAUGUUUUGGGAAGCGCCGCUAAUGCUUAGGGCUUUAGCGGCGUUUUUGAGAAAGCGCCGCUAAUACUCUAUUUUUAGCGGCGUUUUCUAAAAUGCGCUGCUAAUGCUCAGGGAUUUAAAAUAAUCUAAAAUAUUUUUUAAAAAUGGAAAAAUUAAAAUACUAUAAGUUCUUUUAAACAGAAUAUAUGGCAUAACCUAUAAUAUGGAAUAAAAGGCGGCAUCACGUGUUAAUUUAAUUUAAUUAUUAUUUAAAAAUUUAUAUAAAUAAAAUAGACAUAAUGAUUUAUUUAUCCUUCUAACUUUACAAAAAAACCAUUACAACCCUUUAUUUAAUUUUUAUCUUUUUAACCCUUAAAUUUAUAUUAUUUAUUAAAUCAGCUCAAAAUAGAUGGGAAAAUUAUUCUUUAUUAACUUUACUAAACAUGGAAGCCAAAGGCCCUGAAAUGAAAACAAUUUUCACCAAAGCGUUUUUAUAACUUAUACACUUUUAAAUUAAUAAUGAUAAAAUUACAUGUUAACCCCCUAAAAAUGAUAAAAAUUUUAUUUAAUCCUUAUAAAAAUAUAAUUAAAAUGGUAAAAUUACAUUUUUAACUAUCCUAAAAUAUACAAUUUAAUUCCAUCUCCUCCAAAAAAUAAAAAUAAAAGAAAAACAUUACCGUUAACCCAGUUCAUAGGAGGCUGAAAGUGAUACCCGGUUCGAUGAAGUUGUUUUACAGUAAAUGCAGUUUUAGAUUAUAAAUGUGGAUGAAUCUUAUGAAAUGCUUCAACGAUGCCAUUCUUACUUAUUAUCUCACAAAAACACCCAAUUAUUAAAUAAACUAACAAAAUAUUUUUUGUAAACUCCAUUGAAAUUUCGAAAGCCGAAUGUUGAAACAGGAUGGUGAUUCAUUUAUAUAGGACUGAAAUUUAACAAUUUCAAAAAAAAAAUAUAUAUUUUAAAAUGUUUAGAUAAAAUAGUUUUUUAUUUGAAUUUACCAGUAAUUUAUAAUAUCAACAUUAAAUCUACAAUUCUUGAUUUUCUUUUUUUAAAAUAAUUAAAAUUUUAUUCUUAUAGUAUUUAAAUAAUUAGGGAUUAUGAAUUGUGGUUUAUGGUUUAAGGGUUGGGGUUUAAGGUUUAGGGGUUAGGGGUUAGGGGUUUAGGGGUUAGUGCUUGCUGAUUUUUUUUAUUGAUCUUCUACCCCUUGUACCUGGAUCCGACCUGACCUGGAUUGUUCCUUGUGUUCUUUUUCUGCUUUCUCAGCAGGGAGAUCCCAUUCUGCAGACAAAGAAGAACACAAAAGAUCAAAGGUAAUUUUAUUUCAAUUUGAUCCAUUUUUCUUGGUUAUCUUUUCCGUGUUUUUUUAUUUGUAAUUUGUUAUGUUUUCUGGGUUUUGCUUAUAAUGUCUGCAUUAAUAUUCAUUUCACAUUUUUUGUUUGUAUUUGCUUUUGUUUCUUUUUCCCAUCACAAUCAAAGUUCUAAACUAAUUUUUUCCCUGUAAUUUCAUUUUUAGAUUCAAAGUUUCUUUUUUUUUUUAAAUUUUUUUAUUAAUAGCAUUGACUUUUAAUAUUUAUUUUGAUAGUUUUUUUGGGGGAAGUGUGGGGGGGGGGGUCAGCAUAUUUGCUUUUGAACAUAAGAUUGAUUCUGCCUGUGUUGUGUAUUUGCCAAAUUCCAGUCCUGGAUUCAAAGUUUGUAUGUGUUUCUUACCAUUUUCUAAGAAAUAAAAAAUAUGUUAUUAAUAUUGUCUUUGUUAAGUCUUUUUCACAUAAUAUUCUUUGAAGUUUGAACAUUGUUUUGCUCCUUUUCAUUAUGGAAAAACAAAUCUUUUUUUUCCAAUUUAGUCUUUGUUUUUAAUUAUUUUAUAUAAUUAAAUUACUCAAAGUUUAUUUCCCUUUUUUUGAUCCAAACUUUUCUUUUGUACAAAAUUACUCUCUUUCUUAACUUUUUAUAUUAUAUAUAUGUUUUAUAAUAUUAGCUUUAGCUCUCAGUUUUCACUUUCACAUUGAGUUAUUUGAGCAUUUUUCAUAUUUCUUGCUAAUGUGGGACAGAUUUCAUUUUCUUAAAAGGAAAAAAAUUAUGUUGUUUUUGUUGCCUCAAUCCUCUUUAUUUGUCUCUUUAACCUCAUUGGAUAUGGAGUCUAUGUUGUCUUUUCUUUUCAGUUUUUCCAUUUUAGAUUUAUAGGUAAACUUCAAAGUGGUUCUUCUUCAAGUUAAAACAGUGGGGUUUUUUACAUUGAUCAUCUUAAGUUUUCAGAAAAUAUUUUUCCUGUUGAUUUGGAUUUUUUAAGGUUAUUUUUGUCUUUCCUUCCUAAAAUACUUUUUUUUGGAUGAUUUAAUGAAUAUGGCAGGAUUAAGCUUUAGAAAUCCAUGAUUAACUGAGGACUCUAUAUUGGGUCCUCAGUUCAGUUGUUUAAAAUCUAUAUAUUUUUUUAUAAUAUGCUAUGUUAUUCGGACUUGGAUAUGUCCUUGGAGGAUCAUAUCCCGGUACUUUUGUUUGCAUAUGUGCUGGACACAGAUGCUUUAAAUAAAAUGAAGAGUGCUUGCUGUCAACUAGGAGUUUUGAUGAUUAUGAUCAUGAUUGUUUCAUAUAUAUAUAUAUAUAUGCUCUAUUUUUCACCUAUAGUAACAUUAAUUUUGUAAAGAUAUUUUCUUCAAUUCUGAAACUGCUUUAAUAUCUCUUAUCUUAAAAGUUUUGUUUAUCUUGGUAAACUUAAUUUUGCAGCUGCUACUGGAUUUUUUGAGCUUCUCUGCUUCUAGCUUUUCAUCUAUGGCCAGAUACUCAGUUGUGACUGAUAAGGUCUCAAUAGAGGUUGUUGAAGAAUUCAUUCUAGUACAGUUGAAUCUGACAAAAGGCACAAUAUCUGAAAUUAAGGUACCUAAUUCUUUUUUUUCCUUCUUAGCCAUUAAUCAUUAUUGAGUGUUGACAUGGGGGAUCUAUGCUACUAUAUCUAUGUUACUCUAACUCAUCAUUUUUUCUGAAGUGCUCAUGUUUGACACUUGUGUUUGAUGCAUAUUUGGACAUGGAUACAUGAACAUGAUCCUCCAAAUAUAUGAAAAUCCUUAAAAAAGUUGAGCAUACCUAUGUGGGAUAUAUACCUUAUCUGAAAAUAAAGGUUAUGCCUUUUUAAAAACCUGUUUAAUACAUUAUAUAAAUUUCUUCUUAAAAGUUUGUUAGGGCUGAAGCAUGCAUUAGUCUACUAUAAUUUGCUGCAUAAAUGGAAAUUAGCUAGGUGUCCACUGCACAACCUUCAAUUAGACUUUACAUAAAAAAAUUCAUUAUUCAAGGCAAACUGCCUGGCUUGCUGAAAAAUGAUAGUUACAAACUGCCUUCAUUUCUCCCAUAAAGAUCUGCCGAAAUAUGUUUCAUCUAACAAGAUUUUGAUUGACAGCACAUUCAUUUGACAGGAUAAUUUGGAAACCCUGUUGCAAGAGGACAUUCAGGCUGAUCUAGUCUGCUGCUUGCAGCAUUUGCAGGUAUUUUGUGUAGUUUAAGUUGUGAACAUUGGGUUUUGAUUUGUCAUGUGAACAAAUAUGAUGAAUCUGAAGUGCAUUUCUAUUCUUCUAUUUGCAGUUAAGAUUUGAAAUUGAAGACAAAGCAAGGAGACCUCUAAGUAAUGUGUCAUUUUUGUUGAAACCAGGGGGUUAUUUUUUCGGUAUUACUCCUGAAAAAGUGAUUGCCAAAAACUGUUGUUUCUGGAUUUAUGUAUUUUCCUUUUUUUUUCUUGUGAUUACUGCUGCACCUGUUUCUGGGAGGUGAUUGUGUAAACAUUUUAGUGUGCUUUAAUUAUUGUAAGAAUAUUAAAUUUUAACAUUGUUAAUUUUAAUAUUAUUGUAAGAAUAUUUUGAAUUAUAAUUCAGUUAUCAAUUAAUAUCAUAUAUCUUUCAUUGAAUUUGAAGUAUCAUUUAAAUUUACUGUUUUUGGUUGGAUUUUAUGUUACAAGAAGAUUUGUAUAUGGAUGAAAAUCGGCAAAUUUGUCAAAAUUAGUGGCGUUUUCCCAUAAACGCCGCUAAAGUACGUACUUUUAGUAGCGUUUGUGAUGAAAGCGCCGUUAAAGAUAAUGUUCUCUAGCGGCGUUUGUGGGUCAAGCGUCGCUAAAGGUCAUGUUCUUUAGCGGCGUUUGUGUGUAAAGCGCCGCUAAAGCUCAUGUUCUUUAGCAGCGUUUGUGGGUAAAGCGCCAUUAAAGGACAUGUUCUUUAGCGGCGUUUGUAGCUAAAGCGCCGCUAAAGGUUAUGUUCUUUAGUGCGUUUGUGGCUAAAGCGCCGCUAAAGAUUAAGUUCUUUAGCGGUGUUUUUUUCACAUAAACGCCGCAAAAGUUAGCGACGUUCUCAAUAGCGGCAUUUUUUGCGGCGCUUUUGUGUAGUGGAGGAUGAUGAGGAAAGUCUUGACGAUGUUGUGGAUAGCUCGGUUCAAGUUUAGGGUGCUUCUAAUAGUGCUAAUGUUUCUUCUAUUGUUCCAUCGACUGGGAAUCCUUCUUCUAUUAGUGUAGCUGCUGAUACAGUUACCUCUACUUCAAUAAGAGAUGAGACAAUACAGAUUGCCUGGGUCAUGUUUAGUCUUUUUGUAAAACUUUGGUAUUUAAUGCAAACUUUAUCCCUUAUUUGGAUUCCGUGUUUAUGUUAUGCAUCCUUGCAUUUCUUUAUCAACUUAUUGUAUUGAUCUUGUGUAGCUUUAUCAAGCUUUUAUUUUUACUACUUGGAAGAUGUAGGGAAUUUUAUUCUUUCCUUAUUUGUUGUAUUGUGCUUUUAGAUUAACUUAGUGAGAAGUACCCUUGGCUAAGUCUUUCAGAAGGCUAGUAGUUUUAUUUGCUAUUAAUUUAACGGGCAGUAUCCUUGGAGGGUCUGUGCUAAAUUAAUGGGCAGUAUCCUUUUUUAGUUGCAAUGUGACACCUCACACUCGAUUCGGACGACGAAUUUAUAUAUAAAACAUCACAUUCAUUAUCGAAACAACUCAAACAAACAAGAAACUGACGUCAAAGCCAAAUCAAGAAGCAUAGCACAUAAUUCAUAAUUUCCAAAACGCUAAUAAUUAAUUUGUAACUUUUUUUAAUAUAGUUAAUUUAAUGACUAAUGCCGUAAUUAGUCUCACUUAAAAAGAGCCCACCAUUUGACUUGACGCAGAGGUCAAGAGAUAUCUCUAAAAAUGGGAAGCAAUAUAUGAUGUUUAUGGUUGAUAUUGUUCUAUGUGAGGUGUUCAAAUGGUUGAUUGAUCAGUUAACUAAAUCGAACUAGUAUUAAUUGAAUUAAUCUAACUUUUUAAUCUUUAACUGUUAAUUAAAUCGAUUUUUUUUCAAAAAGAUUAACCGAACAAAAAAUAUUUCAAUUAAUUCAAUUGGUUAACCAAAAUUUAUAUAUAUUUUUUGUUUAAAAUGAAUAUAAAACAUAUAAAAAAAUUGAUAAUGUUCAUUUGACUGAAUUAACCUAAUUAAUCAAAUUAGUAAUAGCCUAAUACAUAUGACAUAUAAUAUUAUUUAUUAAGUUCAGUUAAUUCGGUUAAUUACUCGAUUUCGAACUGAAUUAACCAUUAACUGAAAUUCCAAAAAUCAUUUAAUCGAUUUUUAACCAAAUUAAAUCAGUUAACUGAUCAAUUAACCGAAUUAAAUCAAUUUAAUCAAUUAAUUUAAUUUUAACCGAAACUUAAACACCUUUUUUAACUCUAUGAAUGCCAAAAUCCAUAUAUAGACUUAUUUCGGAUGUUAGAAUUUUCCACCAAAAACCAAGUCUUUGUGGAAUUAAAGUUUUGUUGCUAAGACCCACUGGAUUUUUCAUAACCACUAUAAUUAGAUUAGAACUAUCUCUCCGCGUAUGCUCGAGUUUAAAAUUUUUUAAUUAAAUUUUAUUAAUCUAUUUUUUAAUUAUUAUAAUAUUAACAUAGAAAUUAAAAUUGUGAUUAUUGUUUAUAAUAGAAUAUAAAGUCUUAAAUUAUAAUGAUAAAAUCAUGGAGAAGAUAUUUUAAUUUAAAAAAUGUAUAAAAUUUAUAUAUUAUCUCUUCAAUAAUUUAAAUUAUAAUGAUAAUUUUUAUAUAUUAAAAUUAAUAUAUUAUCUCUUUUACAAUUACAUAAAAAAUUAUAUUAAUAUAUAAAAAUGAUAAAUUAAAAGAAAUUCUCUUUUAAUUGUUUGCCAUUAGAUAUCUAGUGAACUGAUGCCACUAAUUUAACUCUCAAAAAAUGGAAGUUUGAGAAAGCUAAAGGUUGUUAAAUUAGACAAAAAGAAACAAGAAGCCAUGCCAAUAAUUCCGUUAACAAUUUAACCGGACCAAAGUAGAACUAAAUGAUAACAUUAAUGAUGAAAUUAAAAGUUUUUUGUAGUUCAAUGACAAAACAAAAAUACGCUAAUAAUUGAGCCAUUCAUUGUGCAAUUUAGACUUAAUUUAUUUUUGGAAGAAAUUGUAUUUAUGUGAUAAUAAUAAAUUUUAAAAAAAUAUUUAUUUUGUCAAAAAUUUGUAAUUAUAAUCAUUUAAAUAUAUAUAAAAAAGUAUCCAACAAAUAUAUCAAAUUAUUGCAAUAAAAGGAUGAAGAAAUCAUAAUAUAACAAGACACCAAUUAGAAAUAACUUCAUUUCAAAUAUAAAUGAAAUUUAAUAAUGAAACAAAUUUUAUUAAAGGCAAGGACUAAAUUAAAAAAAUUAAAAUCAAUUAUAGACUAAGGGUGAGUUUGGAUGGGCGGUGUGUUUACCUGUGGUUAGAGUAAAAACAGCGGUGGUGGUGAGAUUAGAUACUGUAGCGAUACUGUAGCGUGAGACAAAAAAUAAGUUAAACGCACCGCACCGCACCCAAUCGCCCAUCCAAACUCACUCUAAGAUAUGAAUAUAUAAAUAGUGAAAAGCGUAAUCAUAAACUUUUAAAAUAAAAAUAUUCUAGAAAGCAAUUAUUUCUAAAAAGUAAAAAUCAUCCACCCUCUUUUGUUUAUUAUACUUUUAUAUUGAAUAUACUAUGUCUUUUUACUUGCUGAAAAGGUUACAAAGUUAUCAUAAAUUUCCUAAAAUCUUAUAGCACUUUUCCAAAGAUCCAAUACAGCAUGAUACAAUAGCUGAAUUAUACCAUUAAUUAUUAAAUUAUAGAUAAUCAAACAAGAUUAUAAUUUAGUCAUUAAUAUUUUCAAAAUUAUUUUUAUGGUCACCUGAUUAAGUGGCACUUUUUUUUGUUAGUAUGAUAAUAAUUUUAUUCUUUGAUUUUUCUAUUAAUUUGACUCUGAUUCUAAAUAAAAAUUAUAAAUAAAUAAAUAAAAAGACAAUUUCAAAAAUAGUGGUAAUCAAAUUGUAACGUUUUUAGUUUAAUGUCAAAAACAAAAAUUUAUCUAUAAUUAAUUUAACGCAUAUAUACCCUUUAUUUUUUGAAAGGAAAUCUUACUUAAAAAUAUCCCACCACUUGACUUACACACAAGUCAAGUAAGGAAAGCAAUAUUUGAUGUUUACUGUUGAUAUUAUUUUAUGAAUGCCAAAAUCCAUAUAUAGACUUAUUUCGAGUGUUUGAAUUUUCCACCAAAAACGAAGUCGCUGUUGAAUUAAAAUUUUGGUGCUAAGACCCACUGGAUUUUUCACAACCACUUUUAUUAGACGAUAAUUAUCUCUUCACGUAUGCUGGGGUUUAAAAAUUUUUAAUUAAUAAAUAAACAGAGAUAAUAAAGAACAAAGAAUAUGAGAGUUAACAAAAGAGAGUGUGUGUUUUAUUGAUCAAUCAGAAUAUUUACAAAACUUUUUCAAAAUCUUUAUUUAUAGGUAUAAAAAGUAUAAAUGAAGUAGAGAUCUCCGGAUGACUAUUAAAAUUUAAAGUACAUCAAAACUUUUCUCGGUUUUAAUGGAUAUCCGUUUAAUAAUAUAUCCAAAACAUUUAUUUAUUUUUAAAAAAUAUUAUAAUAUUAACAUAGAAAUUAUAUUUGUGAUUAUUGUUUAUAAUAUAAUAUAAUAUAAAUGAUAACAUCAUGGAUAAAAAUAUUUUAAUUUAAAAAUUGUAUAAAAUUUAUAUAUUAUCUCUUCAAUAAUUUAAAUUAUAAUGAUAAUUUUUAUAUAUUAAAUUUAAUAUAUUUAAUCUUCCUUUAAACGAAACAAAUUACUUGUUGAGUUAUUGUAUUUAUUCUAUGAAUUAAUUUUAAAUUUUAUUUGUUAAUCUUCACAAAAUUAUUAGACACUUUGAGCAGUUUAGAAAAUCAUUUAAAAGUAGAGAAAUUCUAUUGAAGAAUGAUAUUUUUGAUUAUUGAAAAUAUUUGCUUAUUGAAGAAUGAUAUUUUUGAUUAUUGAAAAUAUCUGCUUAUUAUCAGACGGAUGAUAUUUUAAAAACUCAAACUAAUAAAACAAUAAUUUGAAACAGUGAAGAAACUUAUAGAAAGGGUGUAGCAAGAGAGCUAGAGGGUUGACACCAGAAGUCAAGAGAUAUCUCCAUAAUGGUCACUUGUGUUGAGUGGUCUGGGGUGAUUGAAUUUUGUACAUUGAAAACGAAGGUAGAGGACAAUUGCUUUCUUGUCACUAUUGCUACAAAUGCCAUUGAAUUUCCACAAGAAAUUUAUCCCAUAUUUAGUUAAGGGAACCUCACUUGACUUGACACGUGACACAAGUCAAGAUAUAUCUCUGAAUGUAAGUAUUAUAGAUUUUUAUUUUUUUUCUAUUAUAUCAAGUAAAUUUUUUAUAUUUAUGUCAUGUAAUUAUAUUAUGCAGUAAAACGUACAAGUCUAAUUCAUAAUGACUUUCGAUAUUGCCUCACGUAUCAUCAUGCCUAUGCUAUUUUUGUAUUAUCCUUGUUUUGAAGGCUAUAUAUAUUUAUAUAAAUUUUGUUUUAGGUAGAUUUUAACAUGUUUUUUCUUCAUCUCAAGUACAUUUUUUUUUAUUUUUUUUUUCAUAUUUUAGUUAUUGAAUGUUGGGCUUAAAAUAUUAUAAACAUUCCUAAUUAUAUAUUAAUUUUACAUUAAGUUUUAACAGAUAAAUUUAGCAUUAUUAUAUUAUACUAUAAUAAAUUUCUUAGGUCAAAAUUAUCUUUGAUUUUUUAUCCAAUUAGAUAUUCCUACACCUUUUUUUUUAUUUCUAAUAACAAAUUCAAAAUUAUCUAUAUCUAUCUAUAGUACAAACUGGCUCUUAAGAGAGUUUUAAGAGUAAAUGGGUUGAUAAUAGUGUUUUUCAAUUUUAUACAUAUUCACAAUUUUUAUCUUUAAAGGUGUCAAGGUUCGUUCAUUUAUUUUCAUAUAAUUAUGUUCAUUUAUCUUCAUACCAGGCUUUCUUGCAGGCUUACAAUCUACUCUAGCUUAUUAUUACUUUAAUGCAAGCUGCAGGACAGGAUUAUGAGUGUAACACCCUAAAUUCGGCCUAGACGUUAUAGUCGUAUCUGGUAAUGUCACACGAUAGUGUUUUUGAAACUUCAUUGUUACGAUGAAAACAUUCCAUAUUUUUUAUUUUAUUUUUUAUUUUAGUAAACCUUUGUUAGAACUUAGGAAGUCGUCUUUACUCAUUUAAAACAUUUUUUUUGAAACAUCCCUCGUUAUAAAUUCAUAAAGUAAAAUAAAUAAAUAAAAACCCAAAUUUAAAACCAAAGUCCCAGAGGGUCCUUAAAUUACAACCCAAAUAAUCAAUAAUAAUCAAAUCGUAAAUCGUAAAUUGAAAACCAUGAAGUCCAAAAAUUACUAUGGUCACCGCUGAGUCCUCCAUCACACCUAUUCAUCUAGGUCUGGGGAUUACCUGUGCACAGUAAACAAAAAGGCGAGUUUAUGUAAACUUAGUGUGUAAUCCCAUAGAAACAAACAAACAAUCAAUAUUCACAGUGCACAGUUGAAUAGUCUUGGGCCUAAGCCCUUUUCAGUAUCAGUGACAGUUUGGGCCUUAGCCUAUCUCAAUACAAUGUCAAAAAUGCAAUAGGACCUUAGCCCAUUACAGUAUUAGUAGCAGUAACAGUUAUGCAGUAGUAAAAUCCUACCUAACCAGCCUCUACACACCAUCUCCGUCCAACCCUACACUCCAUAUAGGGAUAUAAUCAACUCACUCAUCUCUACACUCUAAGUAGUACCGAAUGAGGCACAAAACAGUAGUUUGCAACUGAGCUGCCAGUAAAUUUGGCUAAAAGCCUUUCAGUACACUUCUUCCGAAUAACAACCCCCAAUCCAAUGCAAUGCAACAUACAAUGGAUGACAUGCUAUUAUGCAAUUUCAGUACAUAUAUUCAAUUCAAAUAUUUUCAUACUCAGUACAGAUAUCAUUCAGUCAAUUUCACACAUUUAGGGAUCUAAGUAGCGUUUACCGACCCUACAAUAGGUUCACAGUCGACUUGGGUGACCCGUGCAACCUUAGAAACAUUUCGAUGAAAAUGGGCUCACAUACCUAUGUGAUCUGCCCCUGUGGGCCCACAGGCCUGUGUAGCCCACUCGGCCCAAAUUGGCCUUGGUCGUGUGAUCUAUUUUUAAUGUAACCCAUGCUAGCUAAAUAUUCAUAUAUGUUUUCACUAUUUACUUAUAUGUUCAUUCAAAGUUGUCUACUUGAGUCAUUGUCACUAAAUUAUUUAUAUCUUGAGUUACGAAAAUCCAAAUUAAGACCCGCUUGAUGUUUUUGAAACUAGACUCAAAUACCUUUCUACCAUAAAAUUUUCAGAAUUUAUAGUUUAUCAAAUAAGUACAUUAAAAUCUUCAAAUUUAUCCCAAUUCUGCUAUUUGACAGCUUCAACUUUUUCUUACUUAAAAUUAUUUAUCUCUUAGUACGGAAUUUGGAUGAUGUUUCUAUUUGUUUCUCUUGAAAAUAGACUCAUUAACGAUUUAAACAUAUAAAUUUAAGCCCUUAUUUAUUGUUUUUCAAUUUUUGAUGAUUUUCCAAAGUCAAAACAGGGGAACCCGAAAUUAUUCUAACAUUGUCUCACAAAAUUUAUUAUAUCUCAUAAUUUACAAUUCAAUUGCUUACAUUGUUUCUUCCAUGAAAAACUUAAUAAAAUUUAAUUUCUAAUUUUAUUCAACCUCUAACUCAAUUUCCACUUAUCUUGAUGAUUUUUCAAAGUUAGACUACUACUGUUGUUCAAAACUAUUUUAGUGCAAAAUGUUGAUUUCCAAGUUUAUAACACCCUUAUUUCCUUUCUCUAUAAGUUUUCACAUUAUUUUCCCUUAUUUCUCUUAUUUCUCGAUAGCAAGCAAUUUCGACUUUUCGCCGAAUCCUAUUUUCUGCGUUUCGGGUACACACCUGGUAUCGUUUUGCUGCAAAUACGCUCUCAGGCACUCCAAGACUUAAAAAUCGAUAAUUAGAGCCCAAUUUAGAUCACUAACGAAAACUCAAAACUAAAAAUCAUCUACAUCAAAAUCAAUAGCAAACCUAAACACUUACCGACAACGAACUAAAAUUUCUAACGCUCAAUUUGCUUGUGAAGCCGCAACUGAUUUCUGAUUUUCGCCUAAACCAAGAGAGCCAAAACAAUCCUUUUUAGGAACUAGCUAAGAAACGAUAAAAUAGAGACAAUUAGAUACUUACAGAACCAGUGUAUACAAUUGCUAGUUGGAAAAUAGGCUAGUAAAAAAAUCAAAUAGAGAGGGUGGGCUAGGGAACAAAAAUUUGGCAAAGCAAAGAAGAAGAGGACGGUAGAAAAAUUGGGGAAAAAAAGAGAAUGCCGAAAUUUAGGAAAAAUAAAAACCAAAUAGAAACUUAGAUGAUAUUAAUAACUACCCUACAUCCCUAAAUUUUCUCCCACCAAUCCUACUAACCUACAACCACUCCAGAAUUCCACUCUGCCGAAAUACUUGUCCAUCAUUGCGUAAAAAUAACGCCUAUGCUCCAGCAUAGAUUCGAACUCAGGACCUCAUAUAAUUAAACACUCUACUUAACCACUAGACCAGCAGACCCAUUUUGUUAUUUAAUUACCAACUAUUAAACUUAAGCUUUUUAGGCCAGGUUAAGGCUUUAUUUAUAAAAAUACUAAUAUUUGCCCAAGUCAUGGCUUGAACUUGGGACCUCCCACACACUUCCAAAACACUUACCCAUUGAAGCAGACAAGUACUUAUAUCACAAAAACAAGAAUUAAAAAUUUUGGUGCAUUAUAAUUCUACCCCCAAGAGAAAAUUUCAUCCUCGAAAUUUACCUGAUCAGAACGAAUGAGGAUGCUGCUGACACAUCGCAUCCUCAAGCUCCCACGUUGCCUCCUUAGUAUUAUGGUUACACCACAGAAUCUUCACCAGAGGGAUAGACUUCCUCCUCAAAACCUUUACGUCUCAAUCCAUAAUCUGAACCGGCUCCUCCUCAAAGGUUAAAUCUGGCCUAACCUCAAUCUACUCUAUUGGAACAAUAUGUGUAGGAUUAGAGAGGUAGCACCUCAACAUAGAAACGUGAAACACGUCAUGAAUUUGAUCCAACUCUAGAGACAGCUCCAAUUGAUAAGCGAUCGGUCCCACUCGUUUCAAAAACCUAGAGCUCAACUUGCUCUUACGACCAAACCUCAGACUCUUCUUCAUUGCAAAACCUUGAGGAACAUGAAGUCCCCCACGGAAUACUCAAUCUCUUGACGCUUUAGAUCCGCAUAGGAUUUUUAUCUGUCUGAUGGCAUUUUCAGACGAUCCCGAAUCAGUCUAACCUUAUCUUUAGUCUCCAAUACUAACUCAGGAUCCAGAACACGUCGUUUGCCCAACUCAGUCUAACAUAAAGGAGUGCGACACUUAUGACCAUACAAUGCCUCGUAAGGUGUCAUCUAGAUGCUAGACUGAAAACUGUUAUAAUAGGUGAACUCCGCCAGUGGCAGAUAAUCUUUCAAACUACCUUAAAAAUCAAUAGCACAGCUCUUGAAUUUGAGCCUUAAGCUCCACAAGCUCCUUCCGUGCCUUUCGAUAGGGAGCGAUGGACACCAGAGCUGUACCUGGAAGUAGCUCAAUCCCAAAUUCCAACUCGUGAUUCGGAGGUAACCCAAGUAGCUCUUAAAAAAAGACGUCUAAAAAAUAUUUUACCGUUUCAAUAUCCUUAAUUGUAGAAUCCUUAGAAUCCAAAACACUUACGGAAGCUAAGAAUGCCUCACAUCCCUUAUGAACUAUUUUCUCUGCCACCAGUAUAGAGAUCACAUUAGAUAAGUAAUUCUGGCAUUCUCCAAUCAUGACUACCUCUUUAUCCUUCUUAGUCCUUAGUACGACCCUCUUAGUCGCACAGUCUAAGCUAACACGAUGCUUGACCAAUCAGUCCAUCCCUAGAAUUAGGUCAAACUCCCCAAAUAGAAGCUCCAUCAAAUCAGCCAAGAAGAUUGCCCCUUGUACCUCUAAAGGAAUGUCCUUAUACAGUUUACUAACUCUAACAGAUUGCCUUAAUGGGAUCAGUACCGUAACUUCACUCGUAGUGCUCUCAACUGGAAUUGUUGACACCAUUUUUGGAUUAAAAACGGGGUCGACUUGGGUUUUGAAAAUGAAAAUGAAUAGAGGAGUCGCCACCAAUCCUUUUUGAUGAGGUGCGAUCGGGUCACCUCGAAUUAAUCAUUUUAAUAAAAGUUAAGAUUUACUAAAACGAUAAUUUUUUUUGGUCUACGAAAAUCAGAAAAUGAGUUCGGGAGUCGGUUACGCACGAGGAAGGAUUAGCACCCUCGAUACGCCCAAAAAUUGGUACCUAGUUGAUUAAUUAGUGUCUUAGUUUCGAAAAUUGAAAACUUAAAAUACUUUGAAAUACGAUCCAUCUCUUUGUAAAAAAAACUCAAAUAUUAAAGACCUUCUCAUCUCUAAGUGAUAAAAUAUCACAUCCAGUAAGUUAGGACACGACAUCUCGAGCUUUUGAGAGUGAGUUUGUCUUUAUUUAAAAUUCAUGCAUUUUAACUUUUUUUUAAAAAGGAUGUUCGGUUAUUUAGGGUAAACGAAGAAAGUCGAAACCCAGUAAGUUAGGGUACGUUUUCUCGAAUUUCCUAAAAACGAAAUAUUGCCUUAUUUUGAAUUUUUUUUUGAAUAAUAGCAAAUGCAACAUUUAGAUAGUGUGCAUUAUUUGUUUGGAUUAAAAUAAAACAAUUUAUUGGAUAAAUGCAACGAGACUUGAUUCAUGAAGCGAUGAUAUAAAAUAAAAAUAUAGUAAUAAGCCUAGAACAAUGAUACAUGAACACAACAUUAUAUGGAUGAAUCACAAUAAUGCAAAAAUACGAAAUAAACAAAUUAAAAUACACAAAGACAAUAAUCAUACAACAUUUAAAUAAUAACAUCGAUAGAUAAAAGACCAAUGAAUUAAAUAAUAAUUUUUUAAGAAAAUAAAUGGCAUAAAAUAAAUUAAAAUAAAUAAUAUAAAACAUUUUAAAAUGACAAUAAUAAGUUUGAAAUAAAUAAUGUGAAAAAGGAAAUUUAAAAAUCAAUAACACACUAAACGAUAAAAAAUAUGUUUAUACAAAAAAUUAAGAUAAACAGUAUGUAUAUAUAUGUAUAAAAGUAUGAAGUGAAUGAUAUAAAAAGAGCAAAUAAUAGCAGUAAAACAUUUCGGAAUAAAUAAAUAGGAUUCAAAAUAAGAUACGUAUAACAAUUUAAAAUAAGCAAUAUAUAAAUAAAUAGAGUUUAAAAUAAAUGAUGUAAAAAAAAAAAUUUAUUUAAAAAAAAGGAACAAUAAUAUACGAAAAAGAAAAAAAGAUAUAUGAAGAAUAGAAAAUAUUUAUAUAAUAUGUGCAAAGAAACCAAAAUAAAUAAUGUAUGUAGAGUAGUUUAGAAUAAACAAUAUAUGCAAAACAACUUACAACUUUGAGUAAUUGAUACAUAAAAUUGGUUAAAAUUAAUAAUAUAUGAAAAUGAACCGUAUAUAGAAUAUUUUAAACACAUACAAUAACAGUUCCUUUUUUAAGAAAAAGAAUUAAACAGGUGAAGGAUUAAUUCGAAAACAAUACAAAAUUCUAGGUAAAAAAUAAAAAGAUACUGCCAGGAUUAAAAUGAAGUGCACCUAAAAUCAUAAGGACCAAAUGGGAUAAAAACCAUAGCCCUAACAUGCGCAUGAGGCCCGACAGAUCAAAAGACUGAUUUAAAAAACAAGCAAAAUCUAACAACUAAAUUAAGAGAAAAAGCAAAGAUAAAAUAGGGCCUGAUCAAAGGACGCUAAAGAUGGAGGGACCUCGUGUGCAAAUAUCCUAAUAAUUGAGGAUACAUGAAUCCCCAUCCCCACCAACGGCACCGUUUUGUUUGGUGUUUAAAACACCCAUUCUCUUUAUUAUUUCAGCCCUAAUUUCAUAGAAGAAAAGAAAAAAAGAACAAAAAAAAUAGAAUGUUAAAGCUUCUCUCCCUCUCCUCUCUUACUGAAUCGUGAGCCCGUCGCCGUUGCAUCACCGCGCCCCCACCGUAUCGGUGGCUGGCGAUGCUCAAGGGUGGGUUUUUAGCCCCCGAUUCAACCAGGUAUGAAGGCUAAGAUUUUUUAACCAAGAAAACCCGAAAAUGAAGGGAUCUCCACCCGUUUUGGGUUCGGCUCCGACGACUGAGGGAACCGCCGACGGUGUGACCCAGGGGUUCGGGUAAGUUUUCUCCCCGUCUUCUUUUUAUUUCUUGUUCUUGAAGCUUAAAAGCAAAAUCAAAAAUGAAAAAAGAAAAAAAGAAAUCAGAAAUUGAAAAAACGUAACCUUUUUCUUUUGUUUUUGCUCUUUUAUUUCUGAAAUAUGCGUGUGUACAAGAAUGGGGAUCCCUUUUUUACAAUUGCUUUCGGCUUCUGUUUUUAGCCGAAUGAGAUAGAAUCCAAAAUCUCCCCCUUUUACAUUGAAAAUGAAUGGCUCUUUAUAGCCGAUUAUACAAAGUCCUAUUGUUGUUUUGUUACUGUUUGCUGCGUUUCUGUUUCUGUUGCUGCUUCCGUCAUGUUUGCAGGUGUUCAAGGAGGUGAUGGGAGCAGGUGGAGGAGAGAUGGCGAUGGGACGUGCGGCUGACAGAGAGCAGCGGCAAGUGGGAUACUAGGGUUUCAGUUUCUGAAACCCUAGUCUGAUGUGGGCUUGGCUGUUGGGCCAGGGUGCUGGGCCUUUUAUUUCUUUCUUGGGCCCGGGCAAAUGGGCCUGCAACAGCUGCCCCUCUUUGCUCGUUGUCGUGUAACGAUAACAGAGAAAAGACUAAGAAAGGCCCAUUUUGCCCGGUCUCGCCGAGUCUUGACUUGUUCUGGUACUUCUCCAUUUCAAGUAGUUUCAUUCCAGUCCACUAGGUCUUGUUGCUUCGAUCCAUUCCACUGCAUUUUAGAGAGAUGCGUCCUGUAGCCUUUAUCUUCUUCGUAGCAACUUCAGGGGGACGAGGUUUGUGGUUUUCAAUCUAUUCCACUGCAUCUUCAGGGAAAUAAGACUUGAUGCGACCUACUCUGCUGUAACCUCAGAGAGAUAAGAUCCUUUAUUUUAACCCACUCCACUGUAACUUCAGGGAGAUAGGAUAGUGUCUUCGAUCUGCUCCGCUGUAAUCUCGGGGAGAUAAGAUCUCUGGCUUCAAUCUGCUCCACUGUAACUUCAGGGGGACAAGAUCUGUAAUUUCCAAUCUAUUCCACUACAGGUCAGGGAUAUAGGACUUGUGGUUUGAAUCCGCUUCCUUACACUUGAAGAUAAGAUUUGCUGUCUUUGAUCUGCUCCGCUACGGCUUAGGGAGACAAAAUCUGUAACCUUUAACCAGCUCCAAUGCAACCAAUGGAGGCAAGGCUUUGUUUUUGAUCUGCUUUACUGUUAAUGCAGGAAGGCAAGAUCUGCUUCUUUAACUAGCUCCACUGCAAUCGAUGGAUGCAAGGCUUUGUUUUCGAUCUGCUUCGCUGUUAAUGUAGGACGGCAAGAUCUGCUUCUUUAACCAGCUCCACUACAACCGAGAGAGGCAAGGUUUGUGUCUUCGACCUGCUUCAAUGUCAAUGCAGGAAGGCAAGAUCUUUUGUCUUCAACCAGCUCUAUCACAACCGAAAGAGGCAAGGUUUGUGUCUUCGAUCUGCUUCGCUGUCAAUGCAGAAAGGCAAGAUCUUUUGUCUUCAACCAGCUCCAUCACAACCAAAGAGGCAAGGUUUGUGUCUUCGAUCUGCUUCGCUGUCAAUGCAGAAAGGCAAGAUCUUUUGUCUUCAACCAGCUCCAUCACAACCGAAAGAGGCAAGGUUUGUGACUUCAUUGAUCUGUCCCUUGGGGAACAUGACCUGUAUGUUCUAUUUUAUGAACCUAAUUGUGCCUAGUGAUUAGGAUGACAUAAUCAGAAUGAAUCAAAUGCUCCUAACUAGAUAUGUAUGAAUGACAUUUGAAUGAAUGCAAAAUGUCAUGAAGAUGAUUCCUUAAUGCUUAGGUUAACAUCACGUAAAAACUUAUUAAGGUUUUAUCACUGACGUACUACAACGCCUUUUUGCUCGUCUGGUAUAUCCAAAGAAACACUUAAUCUGGUUGCCCCCCACUGUAAACCUUAAAGUUUAAUCUAUUAGGGCACAAAAUUUGUACCAUCAUUCUCCCACUACAAUCCAAGGGUAGAAAUAUGGUUUUUCCUCAAUCCUCUUUUAUCACAAUUCAAGGAUAUAGGAUCUUAAUCUUUCUGGUCCCCCUUUACACCAUUUCCAGGGUGUCGUUUCAAAGACUCAUGCACAAAUGAAGGCUCUCUUCUCCGAGGUAACCUCUUCCUAUUGCCUAGUGAUCAUUGCUUGCUUGUUUAUUUAAGCUUUUUCAUUGACACGACAUCUUGUCAUUUUGUUCAAUCAAUGCAUUUGUCAACAAAAUCCAAAGAGAAAGUCUAAACUUAGACUCUUCCUUCUCAAAUUUCCAACCUUCAAAUUUGGCAUGUUCUAAACAAUAGUCCUGUUUUAGGUUCCUGUAUUAUUUAGAAACUUUUCAGAGUAAUAUGCAAAACUUCCUUUGUGAAAGUUUUAUUAGUCCAUUAAUCAUUAUUCCAAUGCUUGCAAAAAGGUCAUAACAAUGGAUAAGAAUAAAGUUGGUUCUGAGCAUAGCUCGAAAGAACAAAUUAUCGAAAAUAGUGAAGAAGGACAACAAAAGAAUUAAUUGGGAAUGUAUAUCUUGGAAAGAAAGAAAAAGUAUUCCAAGAACAACAAAUAACAUGAGAAUUGGGUGCCCCAGAUAUCACAGCUUGAACUUCUCUAUACAAACUUUCUGAAGACCCUUUUGAGUUGGACAUGUGUUUAGGAGAUCUACAAUGCUCUGUCGAUGCCCCCAAGAUGUCGCCUAUCCUUUCCUGUUGAUUCAGGCAUGGCAAGAUCAACACAUGCCUCAAUAUGAACAAAACUUGAGCAGCUUAUAUCACCCCAUGCCCCAUUUUGAUCAGUAUUUGAGCCGCCCUUUUCGGGUUUUCAGCUCAGAUCCCCUUUGGCCUAAGGCGCCCUUUGCGGGUUUUCCCCUUAGCCUCUCCAUUUUACUCUUUUCAUUUUCCAUUUUCAUUCUUCAUCUUUUUAUUUUUUUUGAACUUCAUUGUCUUACAAUACAGUGACAAACUGUGAUGUCUGAUUUUGAACCGAUUACAGCCCUCAACUAUCAUGUUGUCAUUCUAGUUCAAUACAUUUUCCCAUACCAUCGUCUCUAGAAUUCUAUAUUGGCAUAUGAUGACAUUGACGCAUGCUGUAGCCUUUAUCCAUUUGAUGAAGUAAUUAAUGAUCUCAAUAGUGAAGCAAUGCCCAUUAGAAGUCUUCGAUAAUGGUGAUGUCCAUGCCCCAUUUUGCUCAAAAUUUGAGUCACCCUUUUUGGGUUUUCCACUCAAAACCACUUUUGGUCACAAAGCGCCUUUUUGGUUUUUCGCCUUGGCCUCUCCUUUUCUUUUCUUUGCUUUUCGUAUUUUUAUUUUGACUUUGAUUGAUUUCUCUUUGUUUUUAUUUUUUAUUUUGAUUUUGAUUUUGAUUUUGUUUUUUUUUUUCAUUUUUCCUUGUUUUUUGAAUCGGAUCUAAACUCUUGGGAUUAGGCAAGUCUUUGUUAUCCCCUUCAAAGGAUCUUCUCUGAUAUCGAAUUUCCUUUAUAGAGCCUUUUAGGGCAAAACUACAACUGGAAACUUUUGAUCUUCUUCUUCCAUCGGGAUAAAAUCUAGCAACAUCUUGAAGGAAUAGAAACUCGACUUCAAACGGGCAAAGCUAUGCUGAAUUGACGAGAACGGUAUUGCCCCGGCAAAGAAUUGUAUCAUUCAUACGAGUUUGGACAUCGUGUUGUUGUGCAGAUUUCAUUAUCAGUGCUUAACCCAGCAUAUCCUGGUAUGAUCCUACAAAGACAUCUUUGAACAAGGUCUUGCUUCAUUUUUAAGGACAAGUCAAUUCCAAGCUCAGAAUUCCUAGUGAUCUGUCUAUCCUCCUACUCAACCAUCCUCAAUAAGUUUGGGGGUAAGCUACUAUCUAUGUCAUUUCCAAAGUCAUGAGAUCCAUCUAAGCACAUGCCUCACUCAAGUGGAAAAUCUGAGUUUGCAGCAGUUUCAUUCAUGUUAUUGAUAUCUGAGGACUCAUAAUAAGCACCGAGGAAUAUACAAAAGAAUGUAUAAAUUUAUGAAUGAUUAUUUACAAUAUGAUUAUGAAUGAAUGUUGUGGAAGAAAAUCCAACAGAAUGAAAUAAUCAAAAAUAAUUAUUAAAAAGAAUGAAAGAAUAUUGGCUCAAAAAGGAACGCAAAGAUGUAUUUUAUUAGAAUAAUAACGUUCAGACAUUAGCCUAUUUCACAAAGGAAUUUCUAUCGCUUCAGGCUAAAAACAGCAAAAAUGUUCUGAACAUUACUCUAAAUAAGCUCUAAAAACUACAGGGAUUUAUUCUACAAGCCCAUUGCUUGGAACACUCCAGGUUUAUAAGGGCAGACAUCUAACAAGAUCCCUUUUCAAUUAUGCCUUCAUAUAUGGUAUUGAUGUGAAAACUUCCCAACACUUUCUCAUAUAUUGCGUUCACCCCAUUGUUAAUCAUGAUUGGGUGGCGAAUUUUCUGCAUUAGAUGAGUCACCAAACUUGACGACACCCAUGUUGAUGAGCUUUUCAACCAGUUUCUUGAAGGCUAUGCAGUUCUCUAUGGAAUGCCCCGUAUUUCCCGCAUGAUAUUCGCAAUGUGCAUUCGCAUCGUGCCAUUUGGGGUACGGUGGCUGUGGAGGUUUUGAGUAGAAAGGAGAAACAAUGCGUGCAUCGAAUAACUUUUGAUACAGCUCAUUAUACGACAUCGGGAUUGGCGUGAACUGGAGGUUCUCAGUACCUUGUUUCACACUAAUUUCUUGUCUAGAUGAACCUUGCUGACUAGCAGUCACCUUUCUUGGCUGUGUAAUCGAUUUGUUGUAAGUGUUGACAUUGCUCACAUCAUUUUCCUUCUUCUUUAAGUCUGACCUUCUAUUAUUCUCCCCAGCAUCAAUCUUUCCACUUCUCACGGCACUUUCAAUCAUUUCACCGCUCAUGACUAUGUCUGAAAAACUCUUCGAAGCACUUCCUAACAUGUGGGUGAUGAACGGGGCCUUCAAUGUGUUGAUGAAGAGCAUCGUCAUUUCUUUCUCUAGGAGUGGCGGCUGAACUUGGAUAGCGACCUCCCUCCACCUUUGUGCGUAUUGCCUAAAACUUUCAUUAGGUUUUUUCUCCAUAUUUUGCAGGGUUAUUCUGUCAGGGACCAUAUAAGCUACAUGACUGUAUUGUUUCAUAAAGGCUUGUGCUAAAUCCCUCCAAGAACUAAUCUGGAUACGCGUCAAUUGAUUGUACCACUUAGACGCUGUCCCUGUGAGGCUAUCUUGAAAGCAGUGUAUGAGCAGUUGGUCGUUGUUGACGUAUCCGGCCAUACGCCUACAGAACAUAGUAAUAUGAGCUUCUGGGCAGCUGGUCCCAUUAUAUUUCUCGAAUUCCGGCAUCUUAAAUUUGUAAGGGAGCACCAAGUCCGGAACCAAGCUCAGAUCCUUUGCAUCUAUUCCAUAGCUUUCGAUGCUUUCUAUUGCCCUAAACUUCUCUUCUAUCCAUUUCCAUUUCUCCUCAAAUUGUUUUGGAAAUUCCUCCUUCGCCUUAUCCUUUUCAACCAUCUCGUCAAGAUCUGGGACAGCAAUAUUAUUCGGGCUAUCACCGGGAUUAAAGCCCGCUCCGGGUUGAAAAUUCAUUGGAAUUGAAGCAUCGCCUUGGAACUGCUGGGGCCUAACCGACACAGAGGGUCUCCGCGGAUGCAGCUCAGUCUGUACUUGCGCAUGCGGAGGCGUGAAACCUGGAGGAUAAAGUGGUUCACCAUUGUUUUCUUCUUCACUAACAAUCACAGGACCUUUACCCUUGUCUACUCCCUUCAAUAAUUGCGUCAUCUUAGCCACCAGAUCAUUUUGGGACUCCUCCAUCUUUUGCACCAUGUCACGCUGAAUCUUUUCUAUUUGCUCUUUCAUUUGCGCCUGCAACUGGUCUUGCAUUUCUUUUUGAAGUCGCUCUAGCUUCUCCAACCUUUGGUCCAUAAUUUUUGUCUUAGCUCGGGUGCCGUAACUUUGUUGGUUUUCCAGGUUAACUGAAAUGAUUUUAUUCGAUUAGGUUUUUAAUGGUCAUUAAUGCAUGUGAUGUGAUGCAAUGCAUGAAAAGAAUGCAAAGAAAAAGAGGCACUGAUUCUAAUUCAACUUCAUUAGAAAACUUUACUAGAUAAAGAGUUUCUUUACAUAAAAUAGACUACAUAUAUGGCUUUGCCCUCACACUCAAAGCCUUAACCUUUCUAAGAAGCCAAGCUAAUUCUCGGCCCCUGUCCGACUCUGACUCAUACUUCAAACUUAAUAGAUCAGCCUGAACCGCUAGAGUUUGCAGAUGAUCAGCUACUUCGCGCACUUGAGUCACCGCCUCUCCCAUAAUAUAAUCUCUUUCUCCAAUCUGCUCUUGAGACCGACGGAAUUGUCUUUGCCACUGCUCAUUACUUUCUUCCAGAAGCUCUAUCCGGAUUUCACUAUUUUGUAAUGCAUUCUCUAGCCCUCAUAUCUGUCUUUUUAAUUCUUCAAUUUUGUCUAAGCUCACCCUUAAUUCAACCGUAGCAUUACGAUUACAGUACUGGUGAAGCGAUCUUUCUAGUUCAGUUAUCCGGACCUUCAACACCGUCUUCUCGUCUUGGCAAACUAGUAGACUCUUUCCCAAGGCGACUUCUCGAGCCCGAGUAUCCUGAAAUUUCUUUUCCCAUUGAUUAGCUUUUGUCUUUUCCUCCUGAAUUUCUUGUCGCCAUUGUUCUGGUGUUUUACCCAAGCCAGCGGCUCUUACCGACUUACGCAACUUCUUGUAAUCUGUCUUCAGGCUGUCCAAAUCUUCUUCUGCCUUGUUCUUUCCUUUUCUCAAUUUGUUGGCCUCUAAUCUUUGAAUGUCCACAUCCAGUCCUAACUGCAUUUUUUCUUCCUCUAGUUGUUCUAUCUUCUUCCCUAAUUCUAAACUUCUUUUUUCGAAUUCUUGUUUGAUGAUUUCUAUUUCAGAAGGCAAAACUUGUAAGUGUUCCUCUAAAGAUCGAGCAGUUUCUGAAUUUGACGCCGGGAUGUUGUCAUUGAUCCUUUGAUCACGCCACUGACCAUACUCGGGGGUAAUUGUCGGACCCACGGCUAAGAUCUUCAUUCGACGAGUCUGGUUCCAGGCACUAGAUAUUUCUCGAACCUUCUUCUUGUAAUUGUCCUUCCUAUAGGAAAAAUCACUAUAAGCCAACCCCUGGGUUGCUGGUAUGAAUUGUCGUGAUCUAUACUGUCUUGAUACGAGUAGAGGAGCAUAUCCGAUAGCUCUCCAUAUCCCGAGCAGCGGAACCCAGUCAAAAUCUCCACAUCGGUACAAUAUCUCAUCAGGAAUUAACCAAGGAGCCCUCCAUUCAAUAUCUUCAUCUUGGAGAUUCUGGAGUAUCUCUAUCCAUUUUUCUUCUGAAAUAUCAUCUCGUCUUGGCGUGGCCACCAAUUCUCCUAGAGGGGAGUAGCUAUCAGAGAAUACCCGAUAAGAGACCUUUUCGACUUUCCAGAAGUGGCUAUGGAACCAUGCCAAUAAGAGCUGCGCGCAUCCAAUAAACCUUCCCUCCCCUACUUUUCGACACGCAUUCAAUGAUCUAAAAGUUUCAGCGAGUAUUGCCGGAACCGGUGUAACCCCUUUACUAAGCCGAUCGAACAAAUCAGAUACAGCCUCGUCUAUGUGUCCUAAAGCUUUGGGGAAAACCACUAGUCCAUAGAUACCUAAAGCGAAAACAUCGACCCUUUUCUUUAAGUCAGGAUGUACAAGCACCAAAUCUCGCAAACUUUUCCAAGGAACACAUUUACUGUCGCCCUUCUGUUGGAUCCGGGCAGCGACCCACUGCUCGCUCAUUCCAGUGAUGUUCAUUAAUUUCUUUAACAACGGAGGGACACAAGCAGCUCUGGAAUAAGCCUUGUCGACUUGAAUCUUUGGGCACCGAAGCAAGGUCGUAUACUCCUCCACAGUAGGCGUCAAAUCUACCUUCCCAAAAGUGAAACAACUGUAGGCAGGAUUCCAAAACUGAGCAAGGGCUCGGAAUAAAUACUUGUCCACUUUGACACUAAGCAGGUAAGGUAGGUCACCGUAGUUACAAUAGAACAGCUGCUUGGCCUCGACAUCCCAUUGAUCCCAGACUUCUUUCAUUUCUCGAAGGUCAUUUUGGAUUACACUGAUACGGGUAAAAUCCCACAAUUCUGACACGUACCCUUCGGUAAGACUAUCGCCUUUCUCCCGUUGUGUCGUUUCAGCCCAUAUUCGCACAGCCGCAUUAUCCUCUACUUUAUCAACAAACCCCUUUUCCAUGAUAAGCUUUCUACCAAGAAACUGAACGUAAAUCGACACCUCUUUUAGAAUGAAGAUGCCAUGCAAUCACAAACAAAGUAAAUUAGCAUUAAACACAGAAUAAGAUUUAAAAUAAGCGACAAAUAAAUACAACAUUCAUUUAGGUAAGCACUAAAAAUUUAGAGUAGCUCUACCUAGGUUGGUUCCUAUGGCUCAUUACAUGUGGUUUGGUUCUAAAGUAGGGUACCUGAACCAGCAAAUUCCUCGAUCCUCACCCAUUAUAGGCUCAUACGGACCAAGUUCGAUUCAGGGGGAUACAUUUCCCUAUGGCCAUGCGGAGAUGAAAAUCUCACGAAGACAUAGGUACGGAUGUAUCCCGAAAGCGAUUCACUAUCCCAUGCGGAGGUGAAAACCUCACGAAGGCGUAGUUUCUCACUCCCACUUAAAAGGGUGUGACCAACGGUCAUGCAAUGCAAUGUGCAGAAAGAUACAAAAACUUAAACUAACACAACAAUUAUAAACCACAACGAUGAAAAUUGUAAUAAAGAGCAAUGAAAUGCGAUGAAAGGAUCGUAUAUUUAAACCAAGUUUUGAUUUUCGACAAAAAGACAAAAAAUAAUCAACUCGUGGCCCGACUCACUUAUUGUGGUUGUCCCCAGUGGAGUCGCCAAGCUGUUGACACCAUUUUUGGAUUAAAAACGGGGUCGACUUGGGUUUUGAAAAUGAAAAUGAAUAGAGGAGUCGCCACCAAUCCUUUUUGAUGAGGUGCGAUCGGGUCACCUCGAAUUAAUCAUUUUAAUAAAAGUUAAGAUUUACUAAAACGAUAAUUUUUUUUGGUCUACGAAAAUCAGAAAAUGAGUUCGGGAGUCGGUUACGCACGAGGAAGGAUUAGCACCCUCGAUACGCCCAAAAAUUGGUACCUAGUUGAUUAAUUAGUGUCUUAGUUUCGAAAAUUGAAAACUUAAAAUACUUUGAAAUACGAUCCAUCUCUUUGUAAAAAAAACUCAAAUAUUAAAGACCUUCUCAUCUCUAAGUGAUAAAAUAUCACAUCCAGUAAGUUAGGACACGACAUCUCGAGCUUUUGAGAGUGAGUUUGUCUUUAUUUAAAAUUCAUGCAUUUUAACUUUUUUUUAAAAAGGAUGUUCGGUUAUUUAGGGUAAACGAAGAAAGUCGAAACCCAGUAAGUUAGGGUACGUUUUCUCGAAUUUCCUAAAAACGAAAUAUUGCCUUAUUUUGAAUUUUUUUUUGAAUAAUAGCAAAUGCAACAUUUAGAUAGUGUGCAUUAUUUGUUUGGAUUAAAAUAAAACAAUUUAUUGGAUAAAUGCAACGAGACUUGAUUCAUGAAGCGAUGAUAUAAAAUAAAAAUAUAGUAAUAAGCCUAGAACAAUGAUACAUGAACACAACAUUAUAUGGAUGAAUCACAAUAAUGCAAAAAUACGAAAUAAACAAAUUAAAAUACACAAAGACAAUAAUCAUACAACAUUUAAAUAAUAACAUCGAUAGAUAAAAGACCAAUGAAUUAAAUAAUAAUUUUUUAAGAAAAUAAAUGGCAUAAAAUAAAUUAAAAUAAAUAAUAUAAAACAUUUUAAAAUGACAAUAAUAAGUUUGAAAUAAAUAAUGUGAAAAAGGAAAUUUAAAAAUCAAUAACACACUAAACGAUAAAAAAUAUGUUUAUACAAAAAAUUAAGAUAAACAGUAUGUAUAUAUAUGUAUAAAAGUAUGAAGUGAAUGAUAUAAAAAGAGCAAAUAAUAGCAGUAAAACAUUUCGAAAUAAAUAAAUAGGAUUCAAAAUAAGAUACGUAUAACAAUUUAAAAUAAGCAAUAUAUAAAUAAAUAGAGUUUAAAAUAAAUGAUGUAAAAAAAAAUUUUAUUUAAAAAAAAGGAACAAUAAUAUACGAAAAAGAAAAAAAGAUAUAUGAAGAAUAGAAAAUAUUUAUAUAAUAUGUGCAAAGAAACCAAAAUAAAUAAUGUAUGUAGAGUAGUUUAGAAUAAACAAUAUAUGCAAAACAACUUACAACUUUGAGUAAUUGAUACAUAAAAUUGGUUAAAAUUAAUAAUAUAUGAAAAUGAACCGUAUAUAGAAUAUUUUAAACACAUACAAUAACAGUUCCUUUUUUAAGAAAAAGAAUUAAACAGGUGAAGGAUUAAUUCGAAAACAAUACAAAAUUCUAGGUAAAAAAUAAAAAGAUACUGCCAGGAUUAAAAUGAAGUGCACCUAAAAUCAUAAGGACCAAAUGGGAUAAAAACCAUAGCCCUAACAUGCGCAUGAGGCCCGACAGAUCAAAAGACUGAUUUAAAAAACAAGCAAAAUCUAACAACUAAAUUAAGAGAAAAAGCAAAGAUAAAAUAGGGCCUGAUCAAAGGACGCUAAAGAUGGAGGGACCUCGUGUGCAAAUAUCCUAAUAAUUGAGGAUACAUGAAUCCCCAUCCCCACCAACGGCACCGUUUUGUUUGGUGUUUAAAACACCCAUUCUCUUUAUUAUUUCAGCCCUAAUUUCAUAGAAGAAAAGAAAAAAAGAACAAAAAAAAUAGAAUGUUAAAGCUUCUCUCCCUCUCCUCUCUUACUGAAUCGUGAGCCCGUCGCCGUUGCAUCACCGCGCCCCCACCGUAUCGGUGGCUGGCGAUGCUCAAGGGUGGGUUUUUAGCCCCCGAUUCAACCAGGUAUGAAGGCUAAGAUUUUUUAACCAAGAAAACCCGAAAAUGAAGGGAUCUCCACCCGUUUUGGGUUCGGCUCCGACGACUGAGGGAACCGCCGACGGUGUGACCCAGGGGUUCGGGUAAGUUUUCUCCCCGUCUUCUUUUUAUUUCUUGUUCUUGAAGCUUAAAAGCAAAAUCAAAAAUGAAAAAAGAAAAAAAGAAAUCAGAAAUUGAAAAAACGUAACCUUUUUCUUUUGUUUUUGCUCUUUUAUUUCUGAAAUAUGCGUGUGUACAAGAAUGGGGAUCCCUUUUUUACAAUUGCUUUCGGCUUCUGUUUUUAGCCGAAUGAGAUAGAAUCCAAAAUCUCCCCCUUUUACAUUGAAAAUGAAUGGCUCUUUAUAGCCGAUUAUACAAAGUCCUAUUGUUGUUUUGUUACUGUUUGCUGCGUUUCUGUUUCUGUUGCUGCUUCCGUCAUGUUUGCAGGUGUUCAAGGAGGUGAUGGGAGCAGGUGGAGGAGAGAUGGCGAUGGGACGUGCGGCUGACAGAGAGCAGCGGCAAGUGGGAUACUAGGGUUUCAGUUUCUGAAACCCUAGUCUGAUGUGGGCUUGGCUGUUGGGCCAGGGUGCUGGGCCUUUUAUUUCUUUCUUGGGCCCGGGCAAAUGGGCCUGCAACAGGAAUCCCCAAGUUUCUAGAUAUGUUGCUAGCUAUGUAUGAGUGAGUAGACCCUAUGUCUAUCAAGGUAAUAUAUAGUACAUCAAGAAUAAAGAACGUACCCGUGAUGACGUUCGGAGCAUCUCUAUUCUCUCGGCGACAAGCAACAUAUACUAGGGCCGACUGCCUUGCCUCAGCCUGUCCAACACCUCUGCUUCGGUGCUCUCUACCUAUGACCCAUACCAUUACCACAUCUGGCCUGUCUAUGGCCCCUCGGUGGUUACUGUACUACCUUUUAUAACUAUACCGUACCAGUACCCGAAGUUUUCAUCUGAUCGGCCCUUAACGAACACUCCUUACAGUACUCUAAUGACUCAUACCGCAAGCACACCUCAGUCUUUCUCUAACACUCGCCCUGAUGGCGUCUACCACAAUCAGUACUUAGCUGCAGUUCAGUAACAGUAACAGAGGGCCCAGCUCUAACCGACCCAUCAACUCUGCCCUUUUUCUUAGGCCUCUGUGCAGAACUCGAAGGCUCUAAAUCCCUCUUAUUCUUACCUCUCUCACAGUAAUAGUUCUGGCGCUCAGCGCGCUUAAUCUCAUCGGUGAUCUUCGCCUUCUCCACUAGUGUAGAAAAAUCACCUCUCUCUACGGAGCUAUCAAGACUCUCAAAUUAUCUCUGAGCCCAUCCUCAAAACGAAUACAUCGCUCAUACUCAGAGGCCACCAUACCUCGCGUAUAGCGGCUCAGUCACAGGAACUCAGCCUCAUACUCGGCCACUGAUCAAUUUUUCUGAGUCAAAUUUAAGAAGUUCCUUUUACGGGUAUCCACGUAGCUCGCCCUCACAUAUUUCCCCUAAAAGGCAGUUUUAAAGAACUCCCAGGUUAGAUGUUCGGGCUGAGUGCCCUCCUUAACAAUGAGUCAUCACUGAUAAGCCUCAUCCCUCACCAGUGAGACUGCACCCUUUAAUUUCUGCUCUAGGGUGCAGUCUAAGUCAUCCAUGAUCCUCUCCGUGGCCUCAAUCCAGUACUCGGCCAUAUUAGGGGCAACUCUAGUGACACCCCUGAAAAGCUCAACUCCAUUGGACUAGAGUCGUUUCGUAUUCGAUCCUCGGACCCCUAAUCUAGUAUUGAUCCGAGCGACCCUCUCCAAAAUCCUUAGCAUAGCUUGGGAUAAUGCGUCGUCCUCAGCCAUGCGAUCUUGAGACCCAGUCUCAGUAGUAGGCGACACUAGCGUCUCACUAGUAUCCAAAUUCGGUAUGCUACCCAAUGAAGAGGACUCAGAUCGAGCUCCUUUGUGACCUCUACCUCAGCCUCUAGUACCCCGUCCACAGAUACAUCGUAUGCUCAUUGUCUAAUCACGUUUAUCUGUAUUAACAGUUUUAUGAAUCAGUUACGGUUUCAGUGUUUAUUAACAAAUGUUUUAUGUAAAAUAGUAUCGGUUAUUCAAAGUUCGUUUUGUAAAUCACAGUCUUACUAUAGUUUUUAGUUUUUUUACAAUUUUUAUUAUACACUAACUAGAGUGUUUUCAGUACAGUUUACUACCUAUAGUAGAUUCAGAAUAUACUAUCCAUAACAGUUUCAGUUUAAAACAAAUCACAGUUCAAAAUACUUACAGAAUCGACACCGGAGACUCGGUGUACCACUUACUUAGUACAAACAUUUCAAAUCAUUUAGAAAUUAAUCAACUUUUCGAAAGCUCAAUUUUUACAAAACCCAUAAUCCACUAUCGAGUUCUGUAACUUGGCUCUGAUACCACUAAAUGUAACACCCCAAACUCGGCCUAGACGUUAUGGUCGUAUCUGUUAAUGUCACAUGAUAGUGUUUUUGAAACCUCGUUGUUACGAUGAAAACAUUUCAUGUUAUUAUCUUUAGUAAACCUUUGUUAGAACUUAGAAAGUUGUCUUUAUUCAUUUAAAACAUUUUUUUUGAAACAUCCCUCAUUGCAGAAGCUUUAAUAAAAUAGUCUAGGUGAUCAUGCGUUUAGAAAAUAUAACUUUAUGAAAACUGAAUUUCCUACGACCAGCAGGUAUAAAUCUAUAAAGUAAAAUAAAUAAAUAAAAACCCAAAUUUAAAACCAAAGUCUCAAAGGGUCCUUAAAUUACAACCCAAAUAAUCAAUAAUAAUCAAAUCAUAUAUCGUAAAUUGAAAACCAUGAACUCAAAAAAUUACUAUAGUCACCGUUGAGUCCUUCGUCGCACCGAUCUGUCUAAGUUUGGGGAUUACCUGUGAACAUUAAACAAAAAGGGUGAGUUUACGUAAACUCAGUGUGUAAUCUCGUAGAAAUAAACAAAUAAUCAGUAUUCACAGUGCACAGUUGAAUAGUCUUGGGCCUAAGCCCUUUUCAGUAUUAGUCAUAGUUUGGGCCUUAGCCCAUCUCAGUAUAGUGUUAGAAAUGCAAUAGGGUCUUAACCCAUCAUAGUAUCAGUAGUAGUAACAAUUAUGCAGCAGCAAAAUCCUACCCAACCAGCCUCUACACACCAUUUUCGUCUAACCCUACACUCCAUGUGGGGAUAUAAUCAACCCACCCAUCCCUACACUCUAAGUAGUACUAAAUGCGACACAAAACAGUAGUUUGCAACUGAGCUGCUAGUAAAUUAGGCUAAAAGCCUUUCAGAACAUUUCCUCCGAAUAACAACCCCUAACCUAAUGCAAUGCAACAUACAAUAGAUGACAUGCUAUUAUGCAAUUUCAGUACAUAUAUUCAGUUCAAAUAUUAACAUGCUCAGUACAUAUAUCAUUCAAUCAAUUUCACACAUUUAGGUGUCUAAGUAGCGCUUAUCAACCCUACAGUGGGUUCACAGUCGACUUGGGCGACCCGUGCAAUCUUACAAACAUUUCGGUGAAAAUAGGCUCACACGCCCAUGUAAUCUACCCGUGUGGCCCACUUGGCCCAAAUUGGCCUUGGCCGUGUGAUCCAUUUUUAAUGUAACCCGUGCUAGCUAAAUAUUCAUACAUGUUUUCACUAUUUACUUAUAUGUUCAUUCAAAAUUGUCUACUUGAGUCAUUGUCACUAAAUUAUUUAUAUCUUGAGCUACAGAAUUCCAAAUUAAGAUUCGCUUGAUGUUUUUGAAACUAGACUCAAAUACCUUUCUACCAUAAAAAUUUUAGAAUUUAUAGUUUAUCAAAUAAGUACAGUAAAAUCUUUAAAUUUAUCCCACUUCUGUUGUUUGACAGCUUCAACCUUUCCUUACUAAAAAUUAUUUAUCUCUUAGUACGAAUUUGGAUGAUGUUUCUAUUUGUUUCUCUUGAAAAUAGACUCAUUAAAGAUUUAAACAUAAAAAUUUAAGCCCAUAAAUAUUUUUUAAAAAUUUUUGGUGAUUUUCCAAAGUCAAAAUAAGGGAACCCAAAAUUAUUCUGACAUUGUCUCACAAAAUUUAUUAUAUCUCAUAAUUUAAAAUUCCAUUGAUUACACUGUUCCUUACAUAAAAGACUAGACUCAAUAAACUUCAAUUUCAUAUUUGAUUCAACCUCUAACUCAAUUUCUACUAUUUUUGAUGAUUUUUCAAAGUUAGACUACUGCUGCUGUCCAAAACUAUUUUAGUGCAAAAUGUUGAUUUCCAAGUUUAUAACACCCUUAUUUCCUUUUUCUAUAAUUUUUUGCAUCAUUUUCUCUUAUUUCUCUUAUGUCUCGACAGCAAACAAUUUUAGCUUUUCACUGAAUCUCAUUUUUUGCAUUUCGAGUACAUAACUGGUAUCGUUUCGCUGUAAAUACGCUCCCAAACACUCUAAGACCUAAAAAUCGGUAAUUAGAGCCCAAUUUAGAUCACUAACUAAAACUCAAAACUGAAAAUCGUCUACAUUGAAAUCGAUAGCGAACCUAAACACUUACCUGCAACGAACCAAAAUUUCUAAUGCUCAAUUUUCUUGUGAAGCCGCAUCUGAUUUCUGAUUUUCGCCUAAACCAAGAGAGCCAAAACAAUCUUUUUUAUAAACUAGCUAAAAAGCGAUAAAAUAGAGAAAGUCAGAUACUUACAGAAUGAGUGUAUACAAUUUCUGGCUGGAAAGUAGGCUAGUAGAAAAAUCAAACAAUGAGGGUGGACUAGGGAGCAAAAAUUUGGCAAAGCAAAGAAGAAGAAGACGACAGAAAAAUUGGGGAAAAGAGGAGAAUGCCGAAAUUUGGGAAAAUAAAAACCAAAUAGAAACUUAGAUGAUAUCGUUAGCUACCCCACAUCCCUAAAUUUUUUCCCACUAAUCCUACUAACCUACAACCACUCCAGAAUCCCACUCUGCCGAAAUACUUGUCCAUCACUGCGCAAAAAUAACACCUAUGCUCGAACAUGGAUUCAAACUCAGGACCUCAUGCAAUCAAACACUCCAUUUAACCACUAAACCAGCAAGCCCAUUUUGUUAUUUAAUUACCAACUAUUAAACUUAAGCCCUUUAGGCUAGGUUAAGGCUUUAUUUAUAAAAGUACUAAAAUUUACCCAAGUCAUGGCUUGAACUUGGGACCUCCCACACACACCCAAAACACUUAAGCAUUGAAGCAGACAAAUACUUAAUAUCACAUAUACACAAAAACAAGAAUUAAAAAUUUUGGGGCGUUACAAUGAGAAGGAAAAACUUAACGAAAGAAAUUGAAGUUUCUUGGGGCUACCUUUGUAGAAAUAAGAGAUCAAUAGAGUUUCUUGGAAUUGAAGUUACAGUUUCAAAUUGUAUUAGCUUUUAUGUAGUACAACAUCAAUAUCAAUGUCCAUCAUCUUAUGUACUUUUUUAUUUGUUUACUUUUGUACAUUGAGUUGAAUGUUAGUGGUAUAUGUUAGUGGUAUACAUUUUAGCUAAAUGUUAGUGUAUUUUAAUUGUUGGAUCGAUUUUUGUAGUGAAUAUUAAAUCUUUAUUUUAAUUUUAAUUUUAUAUUUUUUUGUUGUAUUUAUAGCACAAUUCCUAUCAUUAUUCACUGUAAAUAUUUAUAAAAAUAUAUUAAUAUUGAAAUAAUAAAAAAUAGAAAAAAUUACAUUAUACGUGUCUAUUCCAAUCUUUUUAAGAUUACCUUAGACGGGUUUAUCCCAACCUUUUUUUAAAGGUUGCCUUAGACAAGAUUUAUCCCAACCUUUUUAAGGUUGCUCUAAACGGGUCUAUCCCAACCUUUUUUAAAAGUUGCCUUAGACAAGGUCUAUCCCAACCUUUUUAAAGUUGCCUUAGACGGGUCUAUCCCAACCUUUUUUAAAGGUUGCCUUAGACAUGGUCUAUUCCAACCUGUUUAAGGUUGCCUUAGAUAGGUCUAUCCCAACCUUUUUUAUAGGUUGUCUUAGACAAAGUCUAUCCCAACCUUUUUAAGGUUGUCUUAGACGGCUCUAUCCAAACUAUUUUUAAAAGUUGCCUCAGACAAGAACUAUAUCAACCUUUUUAAGGUUGUCUUAGAUAGGUCUAUCUCAACCUUUUUCAAAGGUUGGCUGUAACUAGGUCUAUCCCAACCCUUUUUAAUGGUUGGCCUUGACUAGGUCUUUCCCAACCCUUCAAUAAGGGUCGGCUUAUGUUGACUUAUGCUGACGUUUUUUCAAAAGUGUUGUGGAGCCUACGCCAACUGUAUUAUAGACAACCUUUUCGAAAGCAUCAGGAGAACCGUCGCGAAACUUAUGCCAACCUUUUUUACGUUGUCUUAGGUCAAAAAAAAGUGUCACGAUAGGCUUAUUUUAUUGUAGUGAUAGUAAUAUUUUUAGCUCUUAAAAAUCUAAAUUAUAUAUAAUAUGUAUUUACAACUCUAAAUAUUAAAGCUUGAUUAGAUAUAGGUUAUUUGAACUUUUCAUCUUAAAUAAAUUUGAGGAAAUUAAAUAUGGAAAUUUUAAUUAAAUUAUUUUAAUAUAUAUACACACCAUUAUUUUCAUUCAUUAAUAAUUUUAAACUAACAUUUUUUCUUCAGUAAAUUUCACUUUAAUCCCUUUCUUUACUUUUCUAAUGUUAUUUUUAUUUUUUUGUCCUUUAUUUUUCUUCUAUUUUAUAAAUUCUUUGAUCUUAUAUGUUUCAAGUAUCAAAGUGUAAAUAAAUAUAAAUAUUAAAAAAUGCCAAAUGUAACUCUAUGUGAUAUUAUUUAAUUGCUACUCAUUUCUUUUUGUUUCAAAAAACAAUGGAAAACUUAAGAAUUUUAAAGUUUUUGGUAUCAAAUAUAUAUAUCUAUACAUUUACAUUUUAAACUCCAAACUUAAAUAAAUAGAGAAAAUCUAAAAAUUUAAAAUAAAAAUAAAUAAAAAAUGAAUAUUUAACUUUUUUAGUACACAUGUAUCAUUCAGACAAUUUUAAUAUAACAAAUAAUCAAGUAAUUGGGAUUUAAUAUUUAAUUAAAAAUAUUCUUCUAAAAAUUGUAAAUCGCAUAACAUUGAAAGUCUUUAAAUAAUAUACUAAAGGGGUGAGCAUUCAAUCAAAUCGAAUGAAAAAAUUUUGAGUUAAUCGAGUUGACGAAUAAUAUUUUAUUAUCCUAACUAGAUUUAAAUUUUUCUCGAAUAGAGUCUAGUGAGAUGGAACUCGAAUCGAAUCGAAUAUAUUUGUUCGAGUUAAAUUAAGGUCCUUGUAAUCAUUGUCACCCACCGCAAUCAGAUUUGUUAUUAACUUUCACUCCCUCAUAAUUUAUUUAUUAAUCUUUUAUAUAGGGUUAGAUUCUUUGCUUGCUUAGUUGCUUCAAUUAUCUUCUGAUUUUGUCACUAUGUAUUCUGAAAUUUAAAAAUAUAUUAAAUGUAAAAAAUGUGAUUUUUUUAAUAAAAAAAUAUCUUAAAGGUAAAAUAUAAAAUUGAUACCAACAUAAAAUUUUAGCACGAAUAUUUUAUGCCAUCAUCAAUAAUUUAAUUUUAACAAAAAAAAUUAUAAAGAUUCAAUAUGAUAAAAUAAUUCAAUAAUAUUGAUAAGCUAUAAAAGUAACAUAUUUUAAUCUCAAUCUUAAUGUGUUUUUAGAUGAUUAAUUAUGCAAAUUAGUGAAUUUAAUGCUCCUAAUCCAUUAAAAUAAUGCAUGGUACUUUUGAUAUUGUAUAGUUCUUUUGAUGUCAAAAUAAUGCAUUAAAAUUUAUUCAACUGUCAAUUUAAGUGGAAAAAGUUGGAGAUGAAAUUUGUAAUUAAACCUUCUUUAAUUUACGUCUUUUUCCCUAAAAAUAUAUUUUUUAAAAAUAUUAAAUGUUAUAAAACUUGGGACAAAUAUUAAAUGUUGGAAAGUGGUUAAGAAAAUCAUUAUCAUUAUAAUUCAUCCUCAUUAUUGAUCAGUGUCACUGAAGCAAUGAAUUUCAAUGGGUUUGGUAAUGGAUGAGAGUUUGCUAAAAAUCUUCCUUUUGGUUUGUAACCAUUUUCACUUACAUAGUCUAGGAUAAGAAUGUUAAAAACCUAUGUUAUAUCCAUAGAAAUUGAGGGCUAUAUUUCUUAUCAUCACAACAAGCGCAAGCAUUGUUGGGGUAUAUCCACUUGUCUUAAACCACUAGAAUGUACAAGUAGCAAAAGAUAAUAAUGAUUAAAAGCUUGGGUAAUUAAUUUUGUAGUAUAUAGUCGGUCCAACACUGACUUAUAUCUAAGCAAAGUGCAUGCAUCAACUACAACAUUUUUUCUCUGAUUACCUUCUCCUUUCUUCUAUCAUUCUAGAGUGUAAACAAUUCACUCAAAGGCAAACAAUUUAUAGAAUUGUCUAACCAUGUGUAUUGCUGCUUUCAUUUGGCAAGCUCAUCCACUCUACCCUCUACUGCUUUUACAAAACAGAGAUGAAUACCACAACAGGUAUGUUUCCAUUUCACUUCAAUCAUUCUUCUCUUGAAAAUAUAUUUAUCUUAUUAAUAUAUAUGGGUGGAAUUGAAGGCCUACGAAGGCACUUGCAUGGUGGGAUGUUGAUGGUUGUGAGAUAUUAGGAGGAAGAGAUGAAGUAGCAGGAGGGACAUGGUUGGCUUGUUCAAGACAAGGCAGAGUUGCUUUUCUCACCAAUGUGUUGGAGCUUCAUCCCCGUCCCGACGCCAAGACCCGCGGUGAUCCCCGUCCCGACGCCAAGACCCGCGGUGAUCUUCCACUUCUUUUCCUGGAGGUAAAUAAAUCUAUAUGCCUUUUUUUUCUUCUUUUUAUUUGGUCGAAGCCAGCUCACCUAUCAAAAACGGUGGUCAUUCAUUAAAAGUAAACACACUGUUGUUGAUACAGAGCACAAAGAGCCCCAUGGAAUUUGCGGAGCAACUGGCCACCGAUGCUCAUCAGUACAAUGGAUUUAACCUCAUAGUGGCUGAUAUUCCUUCCAAAUCAAUGGUUUACAUCUCGAACAGGCCAAAGGGGGAACCCAUUAACAUUCAACAGGUUUCUCCGGGGCUUCAUGUUCUUUCAAAUGCCAAGCUUGACUCUCCCUGGCAUAAGGUACAUUAACUUGUUUCAUGUGUUAUAUUCCUAUAAAGUUAUGCCCAAAGGCAGAUGGACGCUGGAGAAUUGAUUCAUCCACUCCCAUUGUGCAGGCUUGGCGGUUAGGUAAAGGCUUCAAACAGAUGCUCAAUAGAUACGGUAAAAAUGAAGUAAACGUGAAAGAAAUGGUUGAGAAACUUAUGAAAGAUAAAGUGAAAGCUGAUAAAAGUAAGUUACCUGGCAUAUGUGAUCUCGACAUGGAGUUCAACCUUAGCUCCAUAUUUGUUGAAAUGGACACCCCACUGGUAAAAUUCCAAGUUCUAAACCAUCCUCCUACUAAAAUUUAUGUAGAACAAUGUUGAAGCCAAUAAAAAUUGUGGUUGUUUCAACUUACAUAUCCAUCUAUUUUCCGGAAUACAGGGGCUUUAUGGAACAAGGAGUACUGCAGCAAUAACCGUAGGUGCUGGUGGGGAAAUUAGCUUUUAUGACGAGUAUCUAGAAAAGGGUGUGUGGUUUGAGAGAACAGUCAAUUAUCAUAUCCAGAAGCUCAAGUAGAUUGAAUCCAUGUCAAAGCAAGGGAUUUUACUACUCAAGUUAUUUAUUGAUUUGCGAAUGUUAUAAGCAUUUUAAGUUUAUACUAAUUGUAACAUAGGAGUGAUGUAUGAUGUAUCUCAUUCUUAAUACUUUACAUUUUCACUUUAAACUCCAAACUUAAAUAAAUAGAGAUAAUCUAAAAAUUUAAAAUAAAAAUAAAUAAAAAAUGAAUAUUUAACUUUUGUAGUACACAUGUAUCAUUCAGACAAUUUUAAUAUAACAAAUAAUCAAGUAAUUGGGAUUUAAUAUUUAACUAAAAAUAUUCAUCUAAAAAUUGUAAACCGCAUAACAUUAAAAGUCUUUAAAUAAUGUCACAUACAUGAUUUUUUUUUUGUAAAUAUACAUGGUCUGUUUUUAUUUAUAAAACUUCCUUUUACCUCAUUUUUCUUCAUUAAUGUCUACAAAUUUGAAGGGAGUCAUGUACCGAUUAAAUUUGAAUCCUAUCAAGAAUGAGCUUUUGAUUGUUAUAUUUGAUGUUUUCCUAUUAGUUUAAGAUCCCCAAUAAUUAAGCAUGCUUUCUUAAUAAUUGGAAAAUAUUUAUUUAAAAUAUUACUGUAACAGCUUAAUUUUAGGCCUAGUCGGAACAGUAGUUUCGGGACCACGAAUCUGACGAGGAAAAUUUUAUUUUUUAUUAUAUUUUUAUAGUCUACAAUUUCACAGAAUGAUUUCGUGAAAAUUUUGUUCAAAAAUUUCGACGUUUGUGCACUCAAUUUAGCCAAAAGGACUAAAUUGUAAAAAGUGCAAAAGUUGAGUUCUACAUGUUAGAAGUGUCCAAUUGUUAUGAAAUUUUAAAUUGGAGGUCCUUAAAUGGUAAUUAGACCAUUGGUUAACUUUUUGGACAAAAAUGGACAAGAGAUAAGUGAAAUAAGAUAUUUUUAAGUUUGGGGCAUUUUGGUCAUUUAGUAAUUAAAAGAAUUAAAAAGGCCAAAAUAGCCAAAAAUUUGUCCAUCUUCUCCAUGGUGAACGAAAUCAGCAAGGGGAAGCCAUGGUUAGGGUUUUCAAGCUUCCAAGCUCCAUAGCAAGUGAUUCCAAGCCCCAUUUUUAAUGUUCUUUACAUUUUUGGAGUCUCAGUAACUUGAUUUAGCUUAUUCUAACAAUAAUUUAACCUAGGGUUCAUAUUUGGAAAAAUACCCAUAGGUGAAAUGUGUUUAUUUUGAUGUUUUAUGGUAGUGUAUGAAGCUUGAAAUUAUGUUAAAUAACUUUUGCUAGCCGAUUUUAAGUGAAAACGAGUAAAUUGACAUAAUCGAUAAAAAUACCUAAUGUUCAUAAGUAAGUGUUAGAGUGAGAAUUUGAUGUUGCCAUAGAAGGGAAAAAUGUUCAGCAUGUCAUAAAACAUAAGAAAAAGGAAUAACGUUUAAUCUCCGAGCCUAGGGGCAAAAUUAUAAUUUUGUAAAACUUUAGGGGCAAAAAUGUAAUUUUGCCAAAAUGUGAUUUUUGGACUGGAUUGAAUAAUGUGAGUGUUAAAUAAGUUAAAUAUGUUAUUAUAAGUCAAUAAAGACAAGGAAAUGACUUUGAUUAGUGAAAAAGAAAAAAAAAAGAAGAAAAACUGAGAAAUUUCCCGAUUGAACAUUCGGAAUAAAAAGGGAUAUGAAUGAAGUGACAGAAAUGAUCACAUGCGUGGCAUGGACUGUGUGUAGGCCACUAUGUGAAAGUGAAAGUGAUGGUCACGUGUGUAGUACUAUGUGCAGGCUACUACGUGUACCAGAAUGAUAGGUCGCAGGUGUAGUACUAUGUGCAGGUUACUAUGCGUACCGGAUAGCUUCGAUCACGUGUGUAGUACUAUGUGCAGGCUACUACGUGUAUCGGAUAGUGAUGGUCACGUGUGUAGUACUAUGUGCAGGCUACUAUGUGAACCGGUAUCAUUAAUUAUAAGGUGGUUGCUAUGUGUUAAUCCCACAAGAUAUCAUUGAUUACAAAGGGUAGUUGCUGUGUGCUGAAUCCAUCGUAUAUAUGUUAUUAUUCUAAACUGUUCAUCAGGAAAUUGACUAAGUGAAAAUACAUGAGAUCAUGUAAUGAUUAAGUGUGAUUGAAUGAUGAAUACAUGUGUGGAAUUGAAUUGAAUAAUGAUUGAAAGUGAAAAGUGAAAUUAUGAAAAAGUAAAACUAGCAACAAAUAGUUUUAGACAGUAACAAUAGUGUGACUUUGAAAAAUCACCAAAAAUGGUGGAAAUUGAAUUAAAGAGUGAAUAAGAUAUGAAAUGAAAGCUUAAUGAGUCUAUUUCUACAUAAAAGAAACAGAGCAAGCAAAAGAGUUAUAUAUUUUGAGAUAUUUGAAUUUUAGUGAGGCAGGGUUGGAUUGAUUUUGGAAUCCCCUAUUCUGAAUUUGGAAAAUAAUUAAAAAUUGUAAAAAUAAUAAUUAUGAGUUAUAAUUUAUAUUCUUAGAAUCCUUAAUGAGUCUAUUUUCAAAGGAAAUAAACAUAAAUAUCAUCUGAAUUCUGUAAAAUGAGAUAAUUUAUUUUUAGUGAAGAGAUGUCAGAGAUGCUAAGCAGUGAAAUAGGGGUGAGUUUAAAGAAUAAACUGUACUAAUUGGCUAAGAAAAAAAUUCUGAAAAUUUUAUGGUAAGAAUAUAUGUGAGUUUAGUUUUGGGUAAAAUUAACGGAACUUAAUUUGGAGCUUUGUAGCUCAGGAUAAAAAUAAUUUAGUGACUGUAACUCGACUAGAUAGCUUUUGAAUUUAAAUAUAAGUGAAUAGUGAAAUUAUGUAUAAUGCUAUUUAAGCAUGUUAUAUACAUAAAGGAUGUGGGAUGGAGAGGAGGAGGAGGACAAUAAAGCAUAUGCGUGUGGUAGAUUAGCAUGAAAUGAUGUCGUGAGUGGCUCAUGAAUUAACUCAUGUUGGUAAGUUGAUGCAUAAUUAUAGUAUUCAAAUAUAUUACAUAUUUGUAAUAUUUUGCUAUGUGAUUCGGAAAAAGGGGAAUAAAUAGCAUAAUGAAAAUUCGGCCAUGGUGCUAGUUUAUGUUAAAGGAGUGUUUUAUGGCAUAUCUUAAGUAAUGGAAUGUUAUGAAUUUUGAGAUUAAUUUGCUAGUCAAAUAAAUGACAAAUGAAUUGAUUGCGUAUUCGUAAUUUUGACAUAUGCUUGGUAUAUGAAACGUAAUAAUAUAUGCUUGAACAAACUUUAAGUAUUCGAAUGACAUGGAUUUGAUGGUGAUAAGAUUCGAACAUUGAAUUCAUGAAGCACAAGUGAUGUAUUAUUGUUGUGUGAUAGCUUGGUUUGAGAAAUUGGUUAGGUAAAUGGUAAGUUAAAGCAUUUAUGGAUAUAGAAGAAAAUUUGGAGUGAAUAUGAAAUUUAGCUCAAUUAAAUGAUUUCAUCAAUUAAACAUUGUGUAUACCAGAAUGUGUUAGUGAAUUACAUAUUCAUAAAUUGACAUUCGAAGUUCAGUUAGUGAUAUAUGAAAAUAACAUGAAAAGAUUUAUGAUUGUGAUUAAUAUUGAUUCUAACUUAAAGUGGAUUCUUCAAUAUUGGAUUGAUUUAACGGAUAUAUUGAGCAUAUGAAUGGGUAUGUAUUGGGCCUCGUAAACCUUAAUUAGCGACUCAAAGAUAAUAAUUUGAAAGUUUUUAAUUUGAAUGAAAUUUUAUAACUCAGUUUAAUAUGUUUAUAAGUGUAUUUAUUCUAAUAAUGCCUCGUACCCUAUUCCAGCGUAGAAUACGAGUAAGGGGUGUUACAAUGUGACAUCACUAGAUUCGGCCCUAAUGUUUAGGCCGGGUUUGGGGUGUUACAAUUACUUUUGAAAGUAUUUCUAUGAAGCGUGUCUCGUAUUUUCGGUCAAGCUAAAUGGCAAAGCAAAGGCAACAUUGAGACAUGGAGCAUAGGAUGUCACAAUGACGUGACGACAUUCGAAACUAAAUCGAAGCAGGGCCGACGUCACGAUGAGGGGACCUACGAUGUCGUGACGAUGCAACGAGGCAGCCACGUCUCUUGACAACUUAAUGGAUUUUCCUUCUCCCAGUUGAACUUUGAUUUUCGGUUCUCUUUUCUCAAUUUAACUCUAACUAUUCUAGGGAUAUUUUUGUAAUACCCUAUAUGUAGCACCUUUAACCCGUAUCCAUUGUCAGAUUAGAGUUACGAAAUAUUACCGAGUAAAACAAAACAUUUAACUUCACAACAGAAACAAUUAUAUUAAUUAAAUGUAAUCAUGGUAAAAAUAUAAUUACGGGUCUUAACUCGAGUUUACAGGGCCUUAAAAACAGUUUUGGAACAUUCAGGGAUCAAUUCGAACAAAUCAGAAAAUUUAAAAAAACAGGAAAAUUUUGAAAACAGGAAUCACACUAUCGUAUGACAUAGUUCAGAUCUUGUGGACAUUCGAAGUCUAGACACACAGCUUAUCCCAAGCCGUGUGAGUAUUCGGAAUAAGGCUACACGGACAUGUCAUAUGUCGUGUGCCAAAUCAUGUGUACUGUAAUAACCAAUUUUACCCGAGCUUAUUAAAAUUAAAUUAAAAUAAUAUAAAAAUCAAAUAAUAAUAAAAUGUCCAAUAACAGUCCAAUAAAAUAAACCCAUAAACCGAAUACACCCCAGCCCAAUAACCAAUUACAGGCCCAAUUCAAACCUAAUACCCAAAUUGCAACCCACAAGCCCAAAAGCAAGAAAAAUAGAAAACCCUAGACAGUAGCAGCUUCCAGCGCCGUUCUCCCUAUGUAGCCUCCGCGCGUGCUACGCCACCACCACGCGCGUUCCUCACAUGUGAACUAGGCCUCCACUCCAGCUUGCACCUGUAACAGACGUAACAAACUAGUAGAGAAAGCAAAGGAAAAAUGACAGCAAGGAAAAGGCAACACAGCAAAUAGGAAAGCAGUAAAUAAAAAAUGUAAAAAAUAUAUUUCGAUUGAUUUUAUUUUUAUUUUUAUUUUUAAGGAUUUCGGUUAUAAAAAGGCCAUUUGAGCACUAUAAAUGUGGACGCAUACAGAGAUUGAAUACAAAAAACAAAAAAAAAAUUCAAAGAAAAAGGUAAAUAGAGUUUUGUAAGAAAAAAAUGACAUUCUGCAUUCAUGCAAACAUCAUUCAUACAUUUGAAUUAUACAAGUCAUGUUCCCCCAGAGAACAAACCGGUGAAACUAUAAAGCCUGAGCAGCAGUGGAAUAGGUUGAAAAUAGCAGAUCUUGUUUUUCUGUACUGGCAGCGAAGCAGAUCGAAGAUAACAAGUCUUAUCUCCCUGACUUGCAGCGGAGCAGACUGAAGAUAGCAGAUCUUGUCUUCCUGUACUGACAGUGAAGUAGAUCGAAGACACCAGUCUUAUCGCCUUGAUGUUGCAAUGGAACAGAUUAAAGCUAAAGAUAGCGAAUCUUGUGUCCCUGCCGUUGCAACGGAGUAGAUUAAAGCUGAGGGCAGCAAAUCUUAUCUCCUUAGCGUUAAGACUUGGAUUAGCUGAAGUGGAGCAGAUUAAAGCUGUAGGCAGCGAAUCCUAUCUAUUUGGCAUUACAGUGGAAUAGAUUGAAGCUACAACAGCGAAUCUUACUUCCCUGGUGGUGUAGUGGAACAAAUUGAAGCUACGAUGGCGAAUCUAGUUUCCCCGACACUGCAGUUAAAUAGAUUGAAGCCAUAACGGUGAAUUUUACUUCCCUGGCGGUGUAGUGGAACAUAUUAAAGCUACGACGCCAAAUCUUGUUUCCCCGACAUUGCAGUUAAAUAGAUUGAAGCUACAACAGCAAAUCUUACUUCCCUGGCGGUGCAGUGGAACAGAUUGAAGCUACAACGGCGAAUCUUGUUUCCCCGACAUUACAGUUAAACAGAUUGAAGAUGGCGAAUCUUAUCUCUCUAAGGUUACAGUGGAGCAGAUUAAAGCCAAUAAUCCUAUCUCUCUGAGGUUGCAGUAGAGCGGAUUGAAGUGAUGAUCUUAUCUCUCUGAAGUUACAGUAGAGCAGAUCGCAUCCAAUUUUAUCUCCCUAAAGUUGUAGUGGAGCAGACAGAAGAAACCAAUCCUAUCUCCCUGAAAUUGCAGGGGAGCGGAUUAAAACUACAGAUCUUAUCUCUCUGAAGUUGCAAUAGAGCAUAUCACAACAGACUUAUCUUUUUAAAGUUGCAGCAGGACAAGUUGAAGCUACAAGUCUUAUCUCCCUGAAGUUGCAAUGGAGCAGACUGAAGAUAGUAAAUUUUUUUCUUUUGAAAAGACUACAAGUUACAAAUUGCAUCUCCCUAAUGUUACAGUGGAGUAUAUUGAAGCACCAAUUCCUAUACUUCUAAAGAUGCAGUAUGAUGGAAUGAGGCUACUUGAAGAAGAAGAGCACCAAGGUCCAGCAUGACCAGGCAAAAUUGGUCAUUUUUAAAGUCUUUGCUUUGUUCCCGUUACACGACAACAAGCAAAGAAGGGCAGCUGUAAUAACCAAUUUUACCCGGGCUUAUUAAAAUUAAAUUAAAAUAAUAUAAAAAUCAAAUAAUAAUAAAAUGUCCAAUAACAGUCCACUAAAAUAAACCCAUAAACCGAAUACACCCUAGCCUAAUAACCAAUUACAGACCCAAUUCAAACCUAAUACCCAAAUUGCAACCCACAAGCCCAAAAGCAAGAAAAAUAGAAAACCCUAGACAGCAGUAGCUUCCAGCGCCGUUCUCCCCAUGUAGCCUCUGCGCGUGCUACGCCACCACCACGCGCGUUCCUCGCAUGCAAACCAGGCCUCCACUCUAGCUUGCACCUGCAACAGACGUAACAAACUAGCAGAGAAAGCAAAGGAAAAAUGACAGCAAGGAAAAGGCAACACAGCAAAUAGGAGAGCAGUAAAUGAAAAAUGUAAAAAAUAUAUUUCGAUUCAUUUUAUUUUUAUUUUUAAGGAUUUCAGUUAUAAAAAGGUCAUUUGAGCACUGUAAAUGUGGACGCAUAUAGAGAUUGAAUACAAAAAACAAAAAAAAAAUAUUCAAAGAAAAAGGUAAACAGAGUUUUGUAAGAUUUUUUUAAAUUUUUCUUCACUUUUCUUUGUUUUUUUUUACUGCUUUGUUCAUUAAUAAUAUGUGUAAGGCCCAAUUUUUGUCCGGCCUGUUACAGAAAUAAAAAACCAAACAAAACCAAAAUGUUUCAGUCCAAUUUUGCUAAGCCCAAUAACCCAAUAGCACAGCCCAAAUCAAUUUAUCCUAAAACUAACCCAGCUACAAUCACCGAAACCCUAAAAUCCCUUAGCCACCGCCUCCAGCAAGUGUCCAAUCAGCGCACGUUUCGGAACCAGCCCUCUUCUCCGCGUCGUGCUCUCCACGUCUACCUGCGAAAACGGACUAAAAGAGUCCCAAUAUUGUAAAAUAAAAAUACAAAGUAUUUUCUUAGGCUAUAAAAAGCCUAACUUGUACACUGAUAAAAAUAAAAGAAUAGAGAACAGAAUAAAUAUUUUUACAAAGGUGAUUUUUUUUUGUUUUAUUCCGCAGUGACCAUUUUUUAUUUACAUAUGUUUUAUUUUCUUUUAUUUUCAUUUAUUUCGUAUAAAAUAACAAAGAAAAAAGAAAAGGAAAACAUACCUUUUGUCGGACUUGCCGGAUUGUUGCCAUCUCCAGCGCUAGGAGUUAGGGCUGAAAACCCUAGCAGAGGGCAUUUAGUUUUUUUUUUCCUUUCAUUCUGCUGCAAAUGUUUUUUAGAGAAAAAAAUUGUUUUAAAUAACAGAGCAAAACGGCGCCGUUUUACCCAGGCAUGACCCGCGCGGUGACCCGACCCGGAGGGAGGAUUCGCGCGUUUUGGUCGAAGGGAAAAUUUGCGCAAUUGGUCCCUCCCUUUUGCAAUGCGCUUCAAUUAAACCUGUUUUGUUUUUUUUAAUUUGGCCGCAUAUUUUAUUUUUGUUUCAAUUUGGUCCCUUGCUGCGCAGCAUUUUGGAGGGUAGGAUUAAUUUCCCUUCUAGUCCCCCAUUGUUGUUCGCGCGUUCAAGUUGGUCCUUUUUUUAUUUAUUUUUGAAUCUACCCCAUCUUUUCGUUUUUAAGUUCAAUUUAGUCCAUUUUUUAGCUUUUUCUUUUUUAUGUUUGUCAUUGUACCAUUAUUAUUAUUAUUAUUAUAUUAUUUGCUAUCAUUAUUGUUAUUGUAUUUUCUAUACAUAUAAAUACGCAUAUUUUUUAUAUAUAAUAUAUAAGCAUAUUUUUAAUAUAUAUAUUUAUAAGUACGCAUCUAUUUUAUACAUACAUACUUUUUUUUUUAUUUCCUAACCUUUAUGUACACGUAUAUAUACUUCUAUAUUUUGGUUUCAAAAUUUUUUAUACAUAUGCAUGUUCGUUUUUUCUUAUAUAUAUUAUUUUUCAUUUUUUUUACAAAACGUAUAUAUAUGUGUAUACAUACACAUUUUAAAAUACACACAUGUUUCCCAUAUUUUACAAUUCAAAAUACACAUUUUUUAUAUUAUAUAUAUACAUUCUUUAUAUUUUUGAGUUAUUAUAGACAUUUUUAUUAUUCUAUAUAUACUCCGUUAUUUAUGUACAUAUCAUACAUAUAUAUAAAUUUUUUAAUAUAUGUAUACAUAUUUUCAUGUUUUACCAAUACAUAUAUACUUAUACAUUUUUUUUCUGUAAAUAUAUACACAUAUACAUACUUUUAUAGUUUUAUUUUAUUUUCACGGUUUUCAAAUGCACAUACGUGCAUUUUUUAUGAGUUUUUGAUUGAUAUAUUCCAUUCCAUUUUUUUAUAUGUAUCCUUGUAUAUGUGUGUAAAAUAUAUGCGUACACAUAUUUUCAAAUUUUCUUGUAUAUUGUACUUGUAUGUAUAUAUUUUGUAAAUACAUAUUCAUAUAUGUUUUAAAUUAACGUUUUGUUUCAUAUUGUACGUUAACUUUUAACAUACCUUUUGGGAAAUAUAUUUUGGUUUUGUCAGUAUAUCAAAAUCAUUUUCUCUUGAUUCAAAGUUUUUUUGAAUAAAAGCAAUAUUCAAGUUUGAGAUUUUUGAGGAAAAUUGAGCCCUAACGUAUUGGGUUCUGAUUUUCUUUGUUAAUCUUAAAUAACCGAGGAUAUUCUUUAUUCAAAAUGCAUGAGUAUAAAGAUCAUUUUUGGGAACUUAACUUGUUGUGUCCUAAUGUAUUGGGCGUGACAUAUUACUUUCUCAAAAUGAAGAUUUUCACAUAAAAUAAAAGUGAUAUUCAAAGUUCGGGGAUUUUGAGAAAUUGUACCCUAACGUAUUGGGACUCGAUUUCUUUACAUGACUUGAACAAUUGAUUAUCCUUUUCAAAUUUCAUCAUUUAAGUUGUUUUAAAAAAAAUUAGCCCUCGACAUUAAGACAUUAAAUAAUUAAUUUGGUACAGAUUUUGGGUGUCACGAGGGUGCUAACCCUUCCUCGUGCGUAACUGACUCCCGAACCCAUUUUCUCAAAUUUCGUAGACCAAAAUACGUUUUAAGGUGAACUGAUCACACCUCAAUAAAAGAUCGGUGGUGACUCCAAUUUUGUUUUUUUAAAAAGUCGACAACUACAUUUUUGAUUUAGAAAUGGUUUCGACAGCUUGGCGACUCCACUGGGGACACUAGAGAGUCGAGCCAUAAAUUGAUUAUUUUUGUCUUGUGAUUGAAAAAUCAAAUUUGUUUUAAAAUCAUGAUUUCCCUUUACAUUCAUUGAUUUUCAUCAUGAUAUAUUUGCAUGAUGGGUCCGAGUCGAUUAAUUUGUAUUUGCAUUAUGCAUUGCAUUGGUUGGUCAGUGUUACCUCUUUAAGUGGGAGCGAGAAACUAGUCCUUCGUGAGGUUUUGACCUCCGUGCAGGGUAGUAGACCGCUUUCGGGAUACAUCCGUACCUAUGUCUUCGUGAGAUUUUCAUCUCCGUGCAGCCAUAGGGAAAUGUAUUCCCUUGAACUGAACUCAGUCCAUAUGAGCCUAUAAUGGGUGAGGAUCGAGGAAUCUGCUGGUUCGGGUACCUUUGCUCUAGAAACUAAACCUCAUAUACUGAGAUUUAGGGACUUGCCCUAGGUAGAGCUAUACCAAACCCUAGAGGAGUCCUGAAUAGGUUUUAUUAUUUCCUAUGUACGUUGAAUUAUGAUUUUAUGCAUGAUACUAACUUGUGUGUUUUGUUUUGGCGGUAUGGCAUUUUGACUGCAUGGCAUUUCAUUAUAGAAAAAAAAUGUUGAUUCAUGUUUGGUUGUUAAAUAGAGAGCUUGCUACGGAAAAUAGAUUUCUUGAUAAGGUGAAAGAUAAUACGGUUGUCUGAGUAUAGUCUAAGAAAACGUGACGCGAAAGGUAAUAGCGUAACAAGAGGAGUAUACGACUUUGCUGCGUUGCCCAAGGAUUCAAAUUGUCAAAGAUUAUUCAAGAGUCAUCAAACGUCCUAACCUCUUAAAGAAGCUCAUGGGCAUGAGUGAGCAAAGAGAUACGACCUAGAUCAAACAAAAUGGAGCUAAGAUUCGCAAAAUGCAUCUUAAUGUUCGAAUGGUCGAUGCCUUCACUUGGAGUACGAGCACAAAGCCGUAUAUAUAUAUCCGCUUUGUGUAAAGAGAUUUGUUUUCUAGUGAAGUUUUUCUAAUAAAGAAUUGAACUAGAAUCAACGUCUCUUUUUGCAUUUAUUUCAUGCAUUUGCAUUACAUUACAUCACAUGCAUUAAACACCGUAAAAGGAUCCUAAUUAACUAAAUCAUUGCUCAGUUAACCUGGAAACCAACCAACCAACCAAACACCAUUAUGACACUUGAGCAAAGAUUAAAGAUAUGGAUCAGAGAUUGGAAAAGCUCGAAUAGUACCAGAAGAAGAUGCAAGACCGACUUCAGCUGCAAGUGCAAGAACGGUUGGACAAGAUGCAAUAGGAUAUGUCAGAGAAGAUACAGGAAUCCCAAAAGGAUAUGAUGGCGAAGCUGACCCAACUAUUGACUGGAGGAAGUGAUAAGGGAAAAGGGACCUGUAGCUAAUGUCGAAGAAGGCAACGAGGAUGAACCUCUCUAUCCUCCAGGCUUUACUCCUCCACAUGUACGAACUCAAGCUGAGGUAUACCCGCACAAAUCUAUUGUCACAAUCAGGCCUCAGCAGUUCCAGGCCGGUACUUCAAAUUUCCAAGCUGGAUCGGGCUCUAACCCCGGGAACUACCCUAUUAACUCUGCCAUUCCUGACUUCGAUGAAAUGGCUGAAAAGGAAAAAAUAAAUGAAGAGUUACCAAGGCAGUUAGAAGAGAGGUGUAAAUGGCUCGAAGAGAAGUUCAAGGCGAUGGAGAUCACUGAAAACUAUCGUGGGAUCAACGCUAAAGAACUGAGUCUAGUCCUAAAUUUGGUACUCCCUCAUAAGUUUAAGAUGCCGAAAUUUGAAAAAUAUAAUGGGACAAGUUGCCCAGAAGCACAUAUCACCAUGUUCUGCAGGAGAAUGGCUGGAUAUGUUAACAAUGACCAGCUACUGAUUCAUUGUUUCCAGGAUAGCCUUACAGGGGCAGCAUCUAAAUAGUACAAUCAACUGAGCCAUACCAUGAUAGGUUCAUGGAGGGACUUAGCACAAGCGUUCAUGAAACAGUACAGUCAUGUAACAGACAUGGUUCCUGACAGAAUCACCCUUCAGAAUAUGAAAAAGAAGCCAAACGAGAGCUUUAGGUAAUAUGCACAAAGGUGGAGGGAGGUGGCUGUUCAAGUUCAGCCACUGCUCUUGGAAAGAGAAAUGUCAAUGCUCUUUAGAAAUAUAUUGAAAGCCCCGUUCAUUACGCAUAUGUUAGGAAGUGCUACAAAAAGCAUUUCUGACAUAGUUAUGAAUGGUGAAAUGAUCGAAAAUGCUAUAAGGAGUGGGAAAAUCAAUGCAGAGGAGAGUAACAAGAGGCCAGUCUCAAGAAGAAGAGAAAAUGAGGUGAACAACACGGGUUACUCUAAAUCAGUUACUAUGAGUCAGCCAAGAAAGUUGGUUGCUAACCAACAAGGUUCAUCAAGACAAGAAGAUGGUACAAGACAAAACACUAAGAGGCCCCAAUUCACGCCAAUUCCGGUGUCGUAUAGGGAGUUAUAUCAAAGAUUUUUUGAUGCACAUGUUGUUUCCCCUUUUCAUGUAAAGCCUCUACAACCUCCGUACCCCGAAUGGUAUGAUGUGAACGCACAAUGUGAAUACCAUGCGGGAAUUACGGGACACUCAAUAGAGAAUUACACUGCCUUCAAGAAGCAAGUUGAAAGACUCAUCAACACGGGUAUUGUCAAGUUUGGUGACUCAUCUAGUGCAGAAAAUCCGCUACCCAAUCAUAUUGAUAAUAGAGGUGAGAUUUUCACAUCGACGCCGUAUGUGCAGACACAACCAAAAGGGUUAUUGUUAGAUAUUCACCUGGAAGGUGCUAUAAAUAAUGGGACUGCAGAGGAAACCCCUAUAGUAUUUAGAGUCUGUUAGGGUAAUGUUCAGAACACACUUGUUGCUUUUAGCCUAGAAGCAAUAAGAACUUCUUUGUGAAAUAGGCUCAUGUCUGAACAUUGUUAUUUUAAUGAAAUACAUUAUUGCAAUCAUCUUUGAGCAAAUGUUCUUUCAUUCUUUACGAUUCUUUCAUUCUUUUGGAUUUUUUUUGCCAAACCAUUUUUUUCAUUCAUUCAUAUUAUUUAUAAAUUCAUACAUUAUUUUGUAUAUUCUUUGGUACCUACUAGGGGUCCCCAGAUAUCAAUGACAUGAGUGACGCUGCUAUAGACUCAGAACUUCCUUUUGAGUGAGACAUGUGUUUAGAGGGAUCUCAUGACUUUGAUGAUGACAUAGAUUGCAGCUUAUCUCCAGAUUUGACGAAGGUGAUAGAAUAAGAGGAUAAGAUAGAUCAUACCUCAUAAGAAAUUAUUAGAAAUUGUAAGCUUGGUGAAGAUUAAAAUUGACAUGACCACAAAGACGAAGUGGGACCUUAUGAAUUACCCUAAGAAUUCAAUGAUGUCUUCACAUGGUCAUACCCAGAUAUGCUCGGGUUAAGCACUGACUUUAUAAUCUGAAUAACAACAUGAUGUCAGAAAUUUGCAGUAGGUUCAGCAUUAAUGUUAUGAACGAUGCAGUGAAAUUUCUUUAUUGGGGAAAUGUCCUUCUCUUUGGCUUAUCAUAGCUUUGCUCAUUGAAGUUGAAUUGCCAUUUCUCUGUAUUUUUAUCCUAAGAGGAAGAUCUGAAGGUUCGUCCUAGAGAAUUUCACAAGGGGGAGCUAGUGUUGAAAAUGAUCAUUCCUAUACAAAAGGGAUUUUAGAGGAAGAUAGAUGCCAAAUUAGGAGGGUCCAUAUGUUGUAAAGAAAGUCUUUUCUAGGAAAACUUUGAUCCUGAGUGAGAUGGAUGGUAAAGAUUGUCCAAGCCCUGUAAACUCAGAUUCAGUUAAGAAGUACUUUUCCUAAAAAAGGGGACCAAGGUGAAAGCCUACAAAGGGCGCCUUGAGUAAAAAAAAAUAGAGAGGCCAAGGUGAAAACCCGCGAAGGGAGGCUUGAGACCAAAAGGAUUUUAGUUGAAAACCCAAAAAGGGCGGCUCAAAUGUUGAUCAAAAUGGCAUUUGAAAUUAUCAGAGCAGCUCAAAUACUGAUCAGAAUGGGGCAUGCAGUGGUCUUGCUAUACCUGAAUCAACAGGAAAGGGGUAGGCAACAUCUUGGGGCAUCGACAAAGCACUGUUGAUUUCCUAAACACAUGUUAAAAUCAGAAUGGUCUUCAGAAAGUUUGCACAGAGAAGUUCAGGCUGCGAUACCUGGGGCACCGAAUCCUUAUACUAUUUUUGUUAUACUUGGAACACUUCAUUCAUUUCCAAGACACGCAUUCUUAAAUUAAUUUCUUUAUUAUCUUUGACAAUUUAUUCAUUUCGAGCUAUGUUCAGAACCAACUCUAUUCUUAUCCAUGAUCUUUUUGCAAGCAUGUUGCAUUAGAAUAAUGAUUAAUGGACUAAUAAAACUUUCACAAAGGAAGUUUUGCAUAUUACUCUAGAAAUUUCUAAAUAAUAUAGGAACCUGAAACAGGACUAUUGUUUAGAACACACCAAGUUUAAAGGUUGGAAAUCUGAUAAGGAGGAGUCUAAAUUAAGACUAUCCUUUUAAAUUUUGUUGUCUAAAACAUUGUUUGAACAAAAUGAUAAGAUGUCAUAUUGGUGACAAAGCUUAGAUGAAAGAAAGUAAUGAUCACCGAAUAAUAAGAAGAAGUUGUUCUUGGAGAAUAAAAUUUUUCAUUUGUGCAUUGGCAUUUGGUAUGACACCCAUAGAAUGGUAAAAGACCAAAGAGCUUCACAUUCUACAUCCUUGAAUUGUGAUAGGAGAGGAUUGAGAAAAUGCCAGAUUUUUCUUGGGUUACAGCGGGAGAAAGAUGGUACAAAUGUUACAUCCUAGUGGAUUGAGCUUUGAAGUUCACAGUGGGGGCAAUCUGGUCAAGUGUUUCUUUGGAGACGUUAGCCAAGCAAAAGGUGCUAUAGCACAUUAGCGAUAAAAUUUUAAUAAACUUUGAGUAAUGAUAACCUAAGUGAUAAGGAGGAAUCAUUCUCGAAAAAUGACAUUCUGUAUUCAUUCAAAUGUCAUUCAUACAUGCCUAGUUAGGAGCAUUUGAUUCAUUCUGUUCAUGACAUCCUAAUCAUUAGGUAUAAUUAGGUUCAUAAAGUGAAUUAUACAGGUCAUGCUCCCUAGAGGACAGAUCAGAGAAAUCAUAAAGCCUUAUCUCCCUGAGCAACGGUGGAGCAGGUUGAAAAGCAGCAGAUCUUGUCUUCCCGUACUGGUGACGAAGUAGAUCGAAGAAAGCAGAUCUUGUCUUCAUGUAUUGGCGUGAAGUAGAUCGAAGAAAGAAGAUCUUGUCUUCCCAUACUGGUGGUGAAGUAGAUCGAAGAAAGCAGAUCUUGUCUUCAUGUAUUAGCGUGAAGCAGAUCGAAGAAAGCAGAUCCUGUCUUCCUAUAUUGGUAGCGAAGUGGAUCGAAGAUAGCAGAUCUUGUCUUCAUGUAUUGACGUGAAAUAGAUCAAAGAAAACAGAUCUUGUCUUCAUGUAUUGGCGUGAAAUAGAUCGAAGAAAGCAGAUCAUGUAUUGGCGUGAAAUAGAUCGAAGAAAGCAGAUCUUGUCUUCAUGUAUUGGCAUGAAGUAGAUCAAAGAUAGCAGAUCUUGUCUUUCCAUACUGGUGGCGAAGUAGAUCGAGGAAAGCAGAUCUUGUCUUCAUGUAUUGGCAUGAAGUAGAUCAAAGAGAGCAGAUCUUGUCUUCCCAUACUGGUGGCGAAGUAGAUCGAAGAUGACAGAUCUUGUCUUCAUGUAUUGGCAUGAAGUAGAUCAAAGGAUAGCAGAUCUUGUCUUCAUGUAUCAGCAGUGAAGUAGAUCGAAAAUACAAGUCUUAUCUCCCUGAAGUAGCAGUGGAGCUGACAGAAGUAACCAAUCCUAUCUCCUUGAAGUUGCAAUGGAGUGGAUUAAACCUGCAGAUCUCAUCUCUCUGAAGUUGCAGUAGAGCAGAUCGCAUCAGAUUUAUUUUUAAGUUGUAGCAGAACAAGUUGAAGCUAUAAGUCUUAUCUCCCUGAAGUUGUAGUGGAGCAGAUUAAAGAUAGCAAUUUUUGUUCUUUUAAAAAGCUACAGUGUACGAACCCUAUCUCCUUGACAUUGCAGUGGGGUAGAUUGAAACACUAGUUCCUAUACUUCAGAAGAUGUAGUAGGAAAGAAUGAGGUUACUUGAAGGAAAAAGAACUGAAUAAGUCGAGGCUCAGUAAGACCGGGCACAAUUGGGCUUUUAGUAUUUGCUCUGUUCCCGUUACAUGACAACGAGCAAAGAGGGGCAGCUAUAGGGCCCAAUUUUUUCCUGGCCCGUUACAGAAAUAAAAAACCAAACAAAAACCAAAAUGUUUCAGUCCAAUUUUGCUAAGCCCAAUAACCCAAUAGCACAACCCAAAUCAAUUUAUUUUAAAACUAACCUAGCUACAAUCACCGAAACCCUAAAAUCCCUUAGCUACUGCCUCCGGCAAGUGUCCAAUCGGCACACGUUUCGAAACCAGCCCUAUUCUCCGCGUCAUGCUCUCCACAACUACCUGCGAAAACGGACUAAAAGAGUCCCAAUAUUGUAAAAUAAAAAUACAAAGUAUUUUCUUAGGCUAUAAAAAGCCUAAGUUGUACACUGAUAAAAAAAAAGAACAGAGAACAAAAUAAAUAUUUUUACAAAAGUGAUUUUUUUUUGUUUUAUUUCGCAGUGACCAUUUUUUAUAUACAUACGUUUUAUUUUCUUUUAUUUUCAUUUAUUUCGUAUAAAAUAACAAAGAAAAAAGAAAAGGAAAACAUACCUUUUGUCGGAGUCGCCGGAUUGUUGCCAUCUCCAUCGCGGUCGGAGCGUCGGCAUGGGCGAACGGCGGCGCUAGGAGCUAGGGCUGAAAACCCUAGCAGAGGGCAUUUGGUUUUUUUUUCCUUUCAUUCUGUUGCAAAUUUUUUUUAGAGAAAAAAAAACUGUUUUAAAUAACAGAGCAAAACGACGCCGUUUUACCCAAGCAUGACCCGCGCGGUGACCCGACCCGGAGGGGAGGAUCCGCGCGUUCUGGCCGAAGGGAAAAUUUGCGCAAUUGGUCCCUCCCUUUUGCAAUGCGCUUCAAUUAAACCUGUUUUGUUUUUUUUAAUUUGGCCGCAUAUUUUAUUUUUGUUUCAAUUUGGUCCCUUAUUGCGCAGCGUUUUGGAGGGUGGGAUUAAUUUCCCUUCUAGUCCCCCAUUGUUGUUCGCGCGUUCAAGUUGGUCCUUUUUUAUUUAUUUUCGAAUCUACCCCAUCUUUUCAUUUUUAAGUUCAAUUUAGCCCAUUUUUUAGCUUUUUUUUUAAAUUCUUUUUUAUGUUUGUCAUUAUACCAUUAUUAUUAUUAUAUUAUUUGCUAUCAUUAUUGUUAUUGUAUUUUCUAUACAUAUAAAUACGCAUAUUUUUUAUAUUUAAUAUAUAAGCAUAUUUUUAAUAUAUAUAUUUAUAAGUACGCAUCUAUUUUAUACAUACAUACAUACUUUUUUUUAUUUUAUUUCCUAACCUUUAUGUACACGUAUAUAUACUUCUAUAUUUUUGUUUCAAAAUUUUUUAUACAUAUGCAUGUUCGUUUUUUUUAUAUAUAUUAUUUUUCAUAUUUUUUUACAAAACGUAUAUAUAUGUGUAUACAUACACAUUUUAAAAUACACACAUGUUUCCCAUAUUUUACAAUUCAAAAUACACAUUUUUUUUAUAUUAUAUAUAUACAUUCUUUAUAUUUUUGAGUUAUUAUAGACAUUUUUAUUAUUCUAUAUAUACUCCGUUAUUUAUGUACAUAUCAUACAUAUAUAUAAAUUUUUUAAUAUAUGUAUACAUAUUUUCAUGUUUUACCAAUACAUAUAUACUUAUACAUUUUUUAUUUCUGUAAAUAUAUACACAUAUACAUACUUUUAUAGUUUUAUUUUAUUUUCACGGUUUUCAAAUACACAUACGUGCAUUUUUUAUUAGUUUUUGAUUGAUAUAUUCCAUUCCAUUUUUUAUAUGUAUCCUUGUAUAUGUGUGUAAAAUAUAUGCGUGCACAUAUUUUCAAAUUUACUUGUAUAUUGUACUUGUAUGUAUAUAUUUUGUAAAUACAUAUUCAUAUAUGUUUUAAAUUAAUGUUUUGUUUCAUAUUGUACGUUAACUUUUAACAUACCUUUUGGGAAAUAUAUUUUGGUUUUGUCAGUAUAUCAAAAUCAUUUUCUCUUGAUUCAAAGUUUUUUGAAUAAAAGCAAUAUUCAAAGUUUGGAAUUUUUGAGGAAAAUUGAGCCCUAACGUAUUGGGUUCUGAUUUUCUUUGUUAAUCUUAAAUAACCAAGGAUAUUCUUUAUUCAAAAUGCAUGAGUAUAAAGAUCAUUUUCGGGAACUUAACUUGUUGUGUCCUAAUGUAUUGGGCGUGACAUAUUAUUUUCUCAAAAUGAAGAUUUUCGCAUAAAAUAAAAGUAAUAUUUAAAGUUCGGGGAUUUUGAGAAAUUGUACCCUAAUGUAUUGGGACUCGAUUUCUUUACAUGACUUGAACAAUUGAUUAUCCUUUUCAGAUUUCAUCAUUUGAGUUGUUUUAAAAAAAAUUUUUUAGCCCUCGACAUUAAGACAUUAAAUAAUCAAUUUUGUACCGAUUUUGGACGUCACAAGGGUGCUACCCUUCCUCGUGCGUAAUUGACUCCCGAACUCGUUUUCUCAAAUUUCGUAAACCAAAAUACGUUUUAAGGUGAACUGAUCACACCUCAAUAAAGGAUCGGUGGCGACUCCAAUUUUGUUUUUUUAAAAAGUCGACAACUAUAUUUUUUAUUUAAAAAUGGUUUCGACAAUAUGAAAUAAAAGAAAAAUAGAGAGUAGGGAGAGAAAUUUACCUAAAAGCUGAGACGUCGUUCGUCUGUCGUAAUCGAAGUCGGACGAGGAAUCGGGGCCUCCAAACGCUGGUUUGUUGAGCGGCGCACGGAGGAAAAGUUGCUUAGGGUUUGUAGAUCUAUUAAAAUGGCUUAAUGCCUUGGUUUUUUUAGGUUUCAUGCGUGCAACGAAAUGGCACCGUUUGAACCCCGUUCUAAUGGCUCCAAAGCGAUGUCGUAUUGAGGCUCGACCCGAUUCGAACUAGGUUCCAGAUCUGCGUGUUUUACCUCAUAGGGGAGAAUUUCGCGAAUAGUCCUCCGCUUUUAUAGAACCUUCAAAUUGAUCCUUUUAUUUCUUUUAAAUUUGGCUGCUCAUUUUGUGCUUCAUUUCAAUUAGGUCCGUGCAAGGAUGCUGCGUUUUGAGGGAAGGGAUAUUUUCCCAUUCAGUCCCCAAGUUAUUCGCGCGUUCCUUUGUGGCCCUUAAUGUUAUUUUAUUUUUAUUUUCUCUUUUAAUUUUGAAUUAAAUGCAGUUUAGCUUGUUUUUGUUUAAUUUAAUGUAUUCAAUUUUUAUUUUAUUUUUAAUAUUCAUCAUUCUUUUUUAAAAAAUAUUUAAUUUUACAUCUAGAUUAUUUUAUGUUUAAAUUUAGUAUAUUUUAAAUUUAUUAACAAUAUUAUUUUAAUAUUAUAACAUAUUAUUAUUCUAAAUGUAACAUUAACAUUAUUUUAAAUUUAUCAUGUACAAUCUUAUGCAUUCUUGUUGUAGUUUCAAUAUAAUUUAUAGAUUUUUUUACAUUUUUAUUUUAUAAUACAUUUUUUAACUUCACUUAUAUAGUUCUUUGCUUUAAGAUUUGUACAUUAAUAUUCUUACAUAAUAUUUUUCUAUACAUAUAUAUAAUUUGUGUUAAAUUAUUUUUUAUUAUAUAUAUAAUAUAUUACCGAUUUCAUAUUAUUACAUAUCUUUUUACAUAUUUUUAUAUAUACAUAAUUUAUUUCUUUUAAAACCCUACUUUAUUAUGUACUUUGUUUAUUUCAACUUUUUAUAAUAUUAUAUAUAUUAUUAUUAAACUUUUCAUUUCAUAUAUAUAUUACUUAUUUAGAUUAAUGUAUGUAUAUUAUUUGGUAUAUUACAUAUAUAUAUAUUGUAGCAACGUAAAAAUUUUAGCUUAGCUUGGUCGCUAAUUGUGGCGAUUUAUUGAAAUUUUUUUUGAAAUUUGACGUUUGAUUUUUGAAAUAAAUAGGGAGUUGCCACCGAUCCUUUUUCCUAGGUGUGAUCGGACACCUAUUAGAUCUUUUAUUAAAACAAAUAAAAGGCUAAGUUUAGGUCUACGUUAAAAUCCAGAAAAAAUUUAGGGUUCGGGAGUCGGUUAUGCACGAGGAAGGUAUUGGCACCCUCGCGACGCCCAAAAUUGGUAUCUUAUUAAACACAUGUUGUCUUGAUUUUCAAAAAUACGAAUUCAAUUUGACAUUUAAGUGUGAUCCGAUUGAAGGAAAUGAGAAGUUGCAAGUUUUUUUGUUUUUUAGAAGGACGUCCCGUUUUUAACACGAGCCGAUUAAUUUCACCCAACAUAGGAUGAAAUCAAUGACUUAAUGUUAAAAUCGGUACAUUGCCUUAUUCUUAAAAUUAAAAUGUAAAAAGUUUUUAAAAUGAUAGUAAAAAAAAAUCCAAGAAUAUUAUUGUCAAAAAAAUGCGAAUAAUGAUGUGAAUAAUAAAAUAUAUAAAAUAUAAAAUAUCAAAAUAUCAAAAUAUUAGAAUAAUAAUAAUUAAUAUUGAAAAAUAAAAAAUAAAAUAGAAAUAAAAAAAAUGUACAUAAUAUAUAUUAGAAAUAAUAAUGAUGUUUAAAAAUCAAUACUAUUAAUAAUACUACAUUAAUAUGUACAUAUAUAAAAAAAAUACGUGAUAAUAUUAAAAAUAUGUACAUAAUAUAGUGUUAAAAAUACAUACAUAAUAUAGUUAAGAUAUAUACAUAAGAUAACAUGUAAAAAAAAUAUAUAAAUAAUAUAAUAUUAAAGAUAUAUACAUAAAAUAGUAUAAAAUAUAUAUACGUAAUAUAGAAUUUAAAAUAUACCUAAUAUAUUAAAAGAAUAUAUAUAAUAUAAUAUUAAGAAAUAUAAUAAUAACAAAAAAGGAGAGAGAGGGAGAGGGUGGAUGAUUUUCGGCCACAAGGUCGGCCAUCGUCCGGUCACUGGACCGCCGCCGGCGCCACCGUACACGGCAGCCGGACCUCAAAAAAAACUUUUUCGGUAAAAAUGGGUAAGCUUCCUCCUUUUAUUUUUUUUCACUUUCGUAUAAAAGAAACAAAAUAAGAUUGAAAGGAAAACAAUAAGUAAACAAAGAACUUAAAAUGAGAAUAGACAAAGAAACCUCUUUUGCUUUGAUCUUUAAUUAAUCUUCAAAAAAACUAGCUUCUCCAAAAACUAGCCUUCACAAUAACUCUUCUCCUUAAUUACUUUAAAAAGAAACCUCUCCAAAAAUCCUUUACAAUAACUUUCUCUCCCAAAAACUUUCCAAAAAAAAAUCCCCCCCCUUUUACAAAAUAUGAUAAGGCUUAUAUAGCUAUUUACAAAAUAUUUUUUUAUUGUUUAUGUCUUCAUUUGUAGGUACAAGUGGUGGUGGAGCAAGUGUGGUUAGUGGAGUAGGUAAUGGAGCAAGUGUGGCUAGUGGAUUUGGUGGUGGAGAAGGUGUGGCUAGUGGAGUUGGUGGUGGAAAAGGAGUGGCUAGUGGAGUUGGUGGUGGAAAAGGUGUGGCUAGUGGAGUUGGUGGUGGAAAAGGUGUGGCUAGUUGAGAAAAGUUUAAGUUGUGGGCUAGGUUUUUUUAUUUUGAUUUGGGCUUAGGGUUUGGGCCAUUGGGGUUUUGAUGUAAAUUGGGCUUUGGGUAGUUAAGAUUUUGGGUUUUGGGUUUAAUUUUGGUGGGUUAGGUAAGGCUAAAUUGGGUUUUGAUGUAAAUGGGCUAAAAUUGGCCUACAACAGCUGCCCCUCUUUGCUUAUUAUCGUGUAACGAGAAUAGAGCAAAGAUAUAAAGAAAGGCCAAUUUUGCCCGGUCUUGCUAAGUAUGGACUUCUUUGGUGCUCUUCUCAUCCAGGUAGUCUCUUUCCAGUCCAUCGCAUCUUGUAGCUUUGGUUCAAUCCACUGCAAAUUCGGAGAUAUGCCUUAUAGCUUCAAUCUGUUCCAAUGUAAUUCAAUAUGCUCUUCUAUCGCUUCAGUGAGAUAAGGUUUUGGGUCUUCUCUUCUGCCACUUUAGAAAGGCAAGAUCUGAUAUCCUCGAUCAACUCCACUGCAACUUCAGGGAGACAAAAUCUGGUGUCUUCAAUCAGGUCUAAUAUUGAUUCUUUACUCGGCAUGUGAUCCUGAGCUCAACUCAUUUCUCGCAAUAUGAAUUGACUCUGUAAAACUAGACAUUAAAAACAGAAAUUGAAAAUAGCUCAGCACGUGAGCCAAGGCUCAACUCACCUCUCGCAAAAGUAGAUUUUGAAAAUACCUCGACAUGUAAACCCAAGGCUCAACUCACAUCUCGCAAUAUGAGUUGAUUUUUGAAAAGCAGAAAUUGAAAACGCCUCAGCGUGUGACCCGAGGCUCAACUCACCUAUCGCAAUAUGAGUUGAUUUUUUUGAAAAGCAGAAAUUGAAAAUAGCUCAGCACGUGAGCAAAGGCUCAACUCACCUCUCACAAUAUGAGUUGAUUCUUUUGAAAAGCAGAAAUUGAAAAUAGCUCAGCACGUGAGCAAAGGCUCAACUCACUUCUCGCAAAAGUAGAUUUUGAAAAUACCUCGACAUGUGAACCCAAGGCUCAACUCACAUCUCGCAAUAUGAGUUGAUUUUUGAAAAAUAUAAAUUGAAAAAAAUAGAAAUUGAAAAGCAGAAAUUAAAAAGACCUCAGCAUGUGAGCCGAGACUCAACUCACCUCUCGCAAUAUGAGUUAAUUUUUGACAAACAGAAAUUGAAAUUACCUCAGCGUGUCCUGAGGCUCAACUCACCUCUAGCAAUAUGAGUUGAUUUUGAAAAACAAAAAUUAAAAGUACCUCAACGUGUCUUGAGGCUCAACUCAUCUCUCGCAAUAUGAGUUGACUUUCCUUGAAAAGCAUGAAUUAAAAACAUCAAAAUACCCAAAACCUAUCCUUUGGUAGAACUCGGGUGUCUUUUCCUUUGAUUCAGUGCGACUCUCAUUCAAGAUUUCUUGCUCUACUGGAGUACCUGUAUAUGCUAUGUAUGAUGUUAUCAUGAUAUGCACAUGUUUGUCUUAAAUGCUUUUAUGCCUACAUGAUUAUGCAGUGCUCCUUAAGCAUGUUUGUCGUAUGUCCAUUUAGCCACGAUUGUUGAGGGUCUGUGUUCAUUGCUUUGAUUCUCGACUUUCUCCUCAGGCCUUAUACCUACCUUCAAGCUUCACGAGUAAUCGACGUUCCUCAGAUAUCACUCUUCUGCCCCCGAUUGAACUUUGUUCUUACUUUGAGACUCUUGUGCUUAUCAAAUUUUCAUCCAGGUAAUGCUUAACAUUUCUCUUGUUUAGAGUAUGUCAUUUCUCCAUUUAUCAUGUAAAUAAACACAUAAUGAGAUGCAUGAAAAAGGUCAGGUAGGGAAAAAUGAUAUUUCAUAUUCAUCUAUUUCAAAUGUGGCAAACAAAGCAAGUUAACCAAUUAGAGUAAAAAAUGUCAAAAAGAAAGAAAGGAUCGUAUUCAACGGAUGCAAAUACUUUAGAUAUUCGACACAUGAACUCUUCCACGUUCCUCAAUCAAGAAUCUUUUCGAGUCUGGCUCUUUGCGUAGAAGAUUUCGAGCUUUCAGAAAUGCUUCAAAUACUGUAGUCUCACUGUUUGACCCGCUGUUAAAACGCCACGCUCUUUAAGCCAGGUUUACCUCAUUAGGACGCCCUCUCGGGUUUUCAUCCUAAUCUUUUGUGCUAAUCAAGACGCCCUUUGCGGGUUUUCGCCUUGAUCCCUCUUUUUUUUUGGAUGCCCUUUUCAGGUUUUCAUCUCAAGCAUAAUAUUUCUUCACAGCAUCUGAGUUCACUGGAUUCGGUAACUUCUUUCCAUCCAUCUUGGUAAGGAUCAAAGCUCCUCCUGAAAAUGCCUUCUUUACGACGUAUGGUCCUUCCCAAUUUGGUGCCCAUUUUCCUCGCAGGUCCUUUUGUAUUGGGAGAAUCUUCCUCAGUACGAGUUCUCCUUCGUGGAAUUCUCUUGGCCAUACUUUCUUGUCAUGGGCCGCGAUCAUUCUCUUCUGGUACAUCUGCCCGUGACAAAUUGCUCUUAGACGUUUUUCUUCGAUGAGGUUCAACUGAUCAUAUCGAUCUCAAACCCAUUCUGCUUCUUCUAACUUUAAUUCCAUUAAGACUCGCAGGGAGGGGAUCUCAACCUCAAUAGGUAGCACAGCUUCCAUUCCGUAAGCCAGAGAGAAAGGAGUUGCUCCCGUAGAUGUUCGCACAGAUGUGCGAUAUGCAAACAAAGCAACUGGAAGCUUCUCGUGCCAAUCUUUAUAUGUUUCAGUCAUUUUCCCAAUGAUCUUCUUAAUAUUUUUAUUGGCUGCUUCAACAGCCCCGUUCAUCUUUGGGCGAUAGGGCGAGGAGUUAUGAUGCUUUAUUUGGAACUGCUCGCACACUUCUUUCAUCAUCUUAUUGUUCAGAUUCGUGGCAUUAUCUGAAAUGAUUCUUUCAGGCAAACCAUACCGGCAAAUGAUUUCCUUUUUCAAAAACCUGCAAACUGCAGUCCUCGUCACAUUGGCAAACGAAGCGGCUUCUAUCCAUUUUGUGAAGUAAUCGAUGACCACAAAAACGAAUCGAUGUCCAUUUGAUGCUUUUGGAGAAAUUGGCCCUAUGACAUCCAUGCCCCACAUAGAAAAAGGCCACGGAGAAGUCAUGACAUGAAGGGGUGAAGGGGCUACAUGAAUUUUAUCGCUGUAGAUUUGACAUUUGUGGCAUUUUCUGGCAAAAUUGAUGCAGUCAUUUUCCAUUGUCAGCCAAUAAUAACCGAGUCUCAUGAUCUUUCUGGCCAUAUUGAAACCAUUGGCAUGCAUUCCGUAAAUUCCCUCAUAGACCUCUUCAAGUAUUUUUCUGGCUUCAACAUCAUCCACACAUCUCAAAAGCAUCUGAUCCUUUCCUCUUUUAUAUAGGAUAUCCCCAUCAAUAACAAAUCCCGCUGCCAUUCUUCUAAUUGUUCUUUUAUCGUUCUCAUUCGCUUGUUCGGGAUACCUUUGAUUCUUGAUAUAUUCUAAGAUAUCAUGGAACCAAGGUCGUCCGUCUACUUCUUUCUCAAUGCUACAACUGUGUGCAGGGACCUCGUAUAUGCUCAUUUUGAGGGGCAUUAUUUCUACUUCUCUACUUGCUUUGAACAAUGAAGCCAAAGUGGCCAGGGUAUCAACCAGUUGGUUCUCUUCUCGUGGGAAGUAAUGAAAAGUUAUUUCUUUGAAUUCCUUGAUCAAUCCAGCUACUAAAUCGCUGUACUUAAUCAAUUUUGAGUCCCUCACUUCCCACUCUCCACGGAUUUGGUAAAUCACUAGGGCUGAGUCCCUGUACACCUCUAAGAUCUUGAUGUUUCGUUCGAUAGCUGCACGAAGCCCCAUGAUACAGGCCUCAUAUUCUGUGAUAUUAUUGGUACAGAAGAAGUUCAGUCUUGCGGUGAACGGAUAAUGAUUCCCGUCUGGUGAUACCAGGAUUGCUCCUAUUCCUUGUCCUAAAGCAUUUGACGCACCAUCAAAGCACAUCUUCCAUGACUUCUCUUUUGAUGACUCGGAUUCUAUUUCUGUGAUGCACAUUAAGUCUUCAUCUGGGAAAUCGAAUCUUAAAGGCUCAUAUUCCUCUGUCGUUCGAGUUGCUAAGAAGUCAGCUAUUGCGCUCCCUUUUAUCGACUUCUGACUUACAUAGGUAAUGUCAUAUUCCGAAAGGAGGAUCUGCCAUCGUGCCAUUCUUCCUGAUAGUACCGGUGAUUCCAUCAUGUAUUUUAUUAGGUCCAGUUUUGAAAUUAGCCAUGUCGUGUGAUACAACAUAUAUUGUCUGAGUCUCCGAGCUACCCAAACCAGAGCGCAACAAUAUUUCUCAAUGGACGAAUAUUUUACCUCAUAUUCAGAGAACUUUUUGCUGGGGUAGUAGAUCACUUUUUCUUUCUUUCCUGACUCGUCGUGUUGCCCUAGUACGCAACCCAUUGAACUUUCAAACACAUUCAAAUACAAUAUCAAUGGUCUUCCAGGAGUUGGCGGUACUAGCACUGGAGGACUGGACAAAUAUUGUUUUAUCUUAUCAAAGGCCACUUGGCAUUCCUCGUUCCAUUCUCCCGGGUUAUGUUUUCGAAGAAGCUGAAAGAUUGGGUCGCAUUGGUUGGUAAGUUGAGCGAUAAAUCGGGCGAUGUAGUUUAAUCUCCCUAAAAAUCCUCUAACUUCCUUUUGCGUGCGCGCAUGUGGUAAUUCUUGGAUGGCUUUUAUUUUAUCUGGAUCAACUUCGAUACCUCUUUCACUGACAAUGAAGCCUAGCAACUUUCCCGAGGUAGCCCCAAAUGUACAUUUGGCUGGAUUAAGCUUUAGCUAAAACUUUCUCAGCCUUUCGAACAACUUCUUGAGGUUCACUACAUGCUCUUCUUCCCCUCGCAAUUUAGCAAUCAUGUCGUCGACGUAGACCUCUAUUUCUUUAUGCAUCAUGUCAUGGAAUAACGUUACCAUAGCCCUCUGAUAUAUUGCCCCAGCAUUCUUUAACCCGAAUGGCAUCACCUUGUAGCAGAACGUUCCCCACAUCGUUAUGAAGGUAGUUUUCUCCAUAUCCUCAAGGGCCAUCUUGAUCUAAUUAUACCCCGAGAAUCCAUCUAUGAAAGAAAACAAUGAAUGUUUUGCUGUGUUGUCCACAAACGUGUCAAUAUGUGGCAAGGGAAAAUUAUCUUUUGGGCUUGCUCGAUUCAGGUCACGGUAAUCCACGGACAUUCGUACUUUGCCAUAUUUCUUUGGUACUGGGACUAUGUUAGCCACCCAUUCUAGAUAUUUGGAGGCUUGUAGGAAGCCAGCAUCAAAUUGCUUCUUGAUUUCUUCUUUUAUUUUCAACAGCAUUUUGGGUCUCAUCCGUCUUAAUUUUUGCUGGAUGGGCUUGCAUUCUGGCUUUAAUGGGAGCUUAUGGACCACUAAAUCUUCAUCUAGCCCUGGCAUGUCCUGGUAUGACCAUGCGAAAACAUCUUUGUAUUCGCGGAGUAAAAUGAUCAAACUAUGUCUAGUACUCUCUGAAAUAGAAGUCCCAAUCUUCACUUCUUGUUUCCUCUCUUCAAUGCCCAAAUUUAUUAUUUCCACAGAUUCUUCAUGAGGCAAAAUCUGUUUAUCCUCUUGUUCCACCAUUCUUAACAAUUCAGGAGACGAGACAUAAUCUUCAGCAUUUUCUUCGGCUUCAAAUUCUCCUAAGCAAACAGCCUUCUCAAAAUCAAUUUCAAGAUUCGUAACGGGCUUAUUCAUAUCGUCAAUAUCUGAGCACCUGAAAGUUGAAUGGAAAAGGAAGCUAUAGAGGGGCAUCCAAGUAUUGGAAUCAACAAAGAAAUGUCAUGUCAUGGCAAUGAGGCAAAUGUGAGUAUAGGCUAUGAAAUGAGAAAAUGAUUAUGAAAUUAGUGAUAAUGCGAAAAAUCGUGACAAAAUGCAUCUUCAUUGAUAUUCACUUAAAUGAUAAAGAGCGAAUGCAAGCUCCUACAAAAGAAUUCUAUUAUAUCUAAGGACACAAUAGAAUGUUAAUGUUUGAGCAUUACUCUGAAGACUUAUAAACUACAAGAAGGUCCUCGGCAGUCCAAUUGUUCAACAUGAAACCAGGGGGACAAAGGCGUAUCCUUGAGACAUCUUUACUUGUGUCAGCUCCUUUGUCAAUGACAUUUAUACUGAUGUUCUGAAAACCCUUUUCGAUCAUUAACAUUGUGCCUUGUGCAUUGUCCUGCCUCGGGUAUAUCAUUCCCACAGACGUAAAUGUUCUUGACAAAGGAGGGAAUUCCAUAGGCUCCCAUUCUGGUUCUCGGCCUAAGGUUCUCGCAAUCCUUCUUUCUUGAUCUUUCUUCCACUGUCUUCUUCUUUGACGCAUGUCUGGCUGGAACCCCAAACCGUAUCGGGCCUUAUGAUGCACUGGUUUUAGAGCCCUGACUAUUCCUUGUAGAUAUCUCCCUAAACCUCUUCUCACUCGAGCUCCCCUUCCUACAGUCAACUUGACACCCAUUCUAGUAUUUCUCGACAAUUUAGGCACGGGAAUUUUGUUUCCCUCAGUGAAGAAUGUGGCAUUGACGAAUUCAAGGGAUCGGAAGGAGCAUUCCACUACGUCCUUGCUCACUUCAAGGUAUGGCGCAUCAGCAGAGAUAGAUGCGACAAUGUCUUCUUCUCCCUCGACAGUGACCAAACAGCCAUCCAUGAUAAAUUUCACCUUUUGAUGGAGGGAUGAUGGGACCGCUCUAGCAGAAUGGAUCCAGGGUCUUCCCAAAAGGCAGUUAUAUGAGGAUGUAAUGUCCAUGACUUGGAACUCGACAUCAUAUAUGUAGGGACCCACUUCCAGAGGGAUCUCAAUUUUUUCCAUGACUUCAUGCCUUGUCCUGUCGAAUGCCCUUACCGUAGAAUGACAGGGCCUUAAAUGGGACAGAUCCAUCGAAAUUCUGGAAAGUGUGGCCAAAGGCAUAACGUUGAGUGCCGAACCAUUAUCGAUGAGCACGUUCGGUAUUAUGUAGCCCUUGCAACGGGUUGUGAUAUGCAAUGCUUUCACUGAGCCUCUACCAUUGGGCGGUAUUUCAUCAUCACUAAAAGAAAUGAAAUUAUCCGCAUUCAAGUUGUUCAUCCACCUAUCCAGUUUUUCAAUGGAUACAUUGUUUGCCACAUAAGCUUGAUUUAACACUUUCAGCAGAGCGUUUCGGUGUGGUUCUGAAUUCAACAGCAGAGAUAAUACCGAGAUUCGCGCUGGCUGCUUACUCAAUUGUUCUACCACGUUGUACUCACUGUGUUUGAUAAAUUUUAAGAAUUCCUGUGCUUCCUCCUCGUCCACAGGAUUUUUAGCUUCUUGUUCAGGCGCAGUUUCAUGCUCAUCAUCGGUCACAUGCAUCGGUGCUUUUCCUUUCCGUUUCAAGUCACUGUUCUUCUUUAUCUCCUUCGAAUAACAUCUUCCACUAUGAGUGAAAUGACCUAAUUCCCCGAUUCUUCCAGUCAUGGCUUUGGGUUUUUCAUCUUCAGGUGUGACGAUAUUAAUGUCAUAUUUCCAUGGUACUGCUUUAUUGUCCUUGUAAGGGAAAGAAGAUGGUACUUCAAUUAUCAUUUUUGGUUUCACCGGCUCUUUCAUCGCAUCGUAAUAAAUUACUAACGGUUGAUCAGCGCUAUAAGGGGGACCUGAUGACUGGCUAUCAGAGGCGCAUACUUCUCUUUCAUUGGUCUCUUCCCUUUUGUUAAGGAUCUUAAUCUCCUUAUUAUCCAUCCGGUCUUGAAGCAACCUUUUAAAUUCCUCACACGACUGAAUGUCGUGUCCCACAAUUCCAUGGAAAUUGCAAAAACUUUGACCUUCUUCUCCGAGAAUUCUAUCGGGGUGACAAAGCAAUCAUUUCUUAACCAGUACCUCCCAGAUUUUCUGCAAAGGCGUCCUUAUUUCCAAAACACAUCUUCUGACUUUCCAUUCGUCCACUUUCCCCACUAUACUCACAUCCCUUUCGAUAUGGUUAGGGAAUGGGUUCCCAGUUGCAUUACUGGCACUAUCGAAUCGUAGGAUACCUGCAUCAAUGAGUCCUUGAACUCUUCUCUUAAAGGCUAGGCAGUUUUUCGUGGAAUGUCCCUGGUUUCCCGUAUGGUAUGCACAACUAGCGAAUUGUAUGUUUUAACCUCAGCGAACGAGUAUGGAAUAUGCAAUGAAUGAAUGAAUGCAUGAAUGUCAAAUGACUGUUAGUCAUGAAAGAAAUGCAAGAAAUUGGUGUUAAUUUCAAGAUAGCCCCUAUUUAGGCAUUUCCUUAAUCAAAAGAGUCUAUUACACAACGUUUCGGUCACUCGUGUAAUUGACUCCUCUAUCAGAAACCCCUUUUUGGCAACCAAUCUCUAAUCAACCCUUUCCUAACAAGAUGUAUAUGAUGCAUGAUGAAAAAUAGAAAUACAGACAAACAACAUUGGUUAGCAAAACACAUAUGAUCAGAGAAAAAUUGUGGAAAAUCUAACAAAUUAAGCUACUUGGUCCAAUGGACUCGAUUCCCUUGCAUAGAAAGUGAAAGUGCAAAAGGUAAGAGGCGUUCCUCCCGUGCACUUAUUUUGGUGACUACUAAACGGACGGAGGUUCAGCAUGGCUCUAGUUAGGUGGCUCGUAUGGUUCAUUAUAUGCGGUUUUGGUUCUAGAUAGGUACUCGAAUUGCCCGUACUAUCAUCUACUAAGAUUAACACGGAGCCUCGGUCAUAGCCUAUCACAGGCUCACGAGUUCAAUUCGAGGGGUUACAUUUACUUAUGCCUAUGCGGAGGGACAAGUUAACUCACGAAAGCAUAAAUCAUAUGUAACCCGAAAGUAUUCACUAGCCUGUGCGGAGGGACGAGUUAACUCACGAAGGCGUAGUGUUUACUUUCACUUAAACGGACGGAGCCCGGGUAGAGAGCUCAUGUUAUGCGAAAAUGCAAGUGCACGGUGUGUGGGGAACAACUCAUAAACCUUUACGUUUCACUUAAAGAAACUAAACCAAAAUUAAAACCAUAAAAAUUAAAAACUGAAAAACAACCAAAUAAGCAAGUUAGAAGAAAUAUUUACAGCACGAUACAAAUGCAUGAAUUUUGAAAAUGAGAUUUUCGGAUCACGACCAAAUAUUUACUUUGAACAAGGAAAUUUGAAAAUUUUGACAAAACGUGUUUAAUUCCAGACACGACUCUCAAAAAGGCUUUCCCCAGCGGAGUCGCCAGCUGUAGCGACGUAAAAAUUUUAGCUUAGCUUGGUCGCUAAUUGUGGCGAUUUAUUGAAUUUUUUUUUGAAAUUUGACGUUUGAUUUUUGAAAUAAAUAGGGAGUCGCCACCGAUCCUUUUUCCUAGGUGUGAUCGGACACCUAUUAGAUCUUUUAUUAAAACAAAUAAAAGGCUAAGUUUAGGUCUACGUUAAAAUCCAGAAAAAAUUUAGGGUUCGGGAGUCGGUUACGCACGAGGAAGUUAUUGGCACCCUCGCGACGCCCAAAAUUGGUAUCUUAUUAAACACAUGUUGUCUUGAUUUUCAAAAAUACGAAUUCAAUUUGACAUUUAAGUGUGAUCCGAUUGAAGGAAAUGAGAAGUUGCAAGUUUUUUUGUUUUUUAGAAGGACGUCCCGUUUUUAACACGAGCCGAUUAAUUUCACCCAACAUAGCGAUGAAAUCAAUGACUUAAUGUUAAAAUUGGUACAUUGCCUUAUUCUUAAAAUUAAAAUGUAAAAAGUUUUUAAAAUGAUAGUAAAAAAAAUCCAAGAAUAUUAUUGUCAAAAAAUGCGAAUAAUGAUGUGAAUAAUAAAAUAUAUAAAAUAUAAAAUAUCAAAAUAUCAAAAUAUUAGAAUAAUAAUAAUUAAUAUUGACAAAUAAAAAAUAAAAUAGAAAUAAAAAAAAUGUACAUAAUAUAUAUAUUAGAAAUAAUAAUGAUGUUUAAAAAUCAAUACUAUUAAUAAUACUACAUCAAUAUGUACAUAUAUAAAAAAAAUACGUGAUAAUAUUAAAAAUAUGUACAUAAUAUAGUGUUAAAAAUACAUACAUAAUAUAGUUAAGAUAUAUGCAUAAGAUAACAUGUAAAAUAUAUAUAUAAAUAAUAUAAUAUUAAAGAUAUAUACAUAAAAUAGUAUAAAAUAUAUAUAUACGUAAUAUAGAAUUUAAAAUAUACCUAAUAUAUUAAAAGAAUAUAUAUAAUAUAAUAUUAAGAAAUAUAAUAAUAACAAAAAAGGAGAGAGAGGGAGAGGGUGGAUGAUUUUCGGCCACAAGGUCGGCCAUCGUCCGGUCACCGGACCGCCGCCGGCGCCACCGUACACGGCAGCCGGACCUCAAAAAAAACUUUUUCGGUAAAAAUGGGUAAGCUUCCUCCUUUUAUUUUUUUUUACUUUCGUAUAAAAGAAACAAAAUAAGAUUGAAAGGAAAACAAUAAGUAAACAAAGAACUUAAAAUGAGAAUAGACAAAGAAACCUCUUUUGCUUUGAUCUUUGAUUAAUCUUCAAAAAAACUAGCUUCUCCAAAAACUAGCCUUCACAAUAACUCUUCUCAUUAAUUACUUUAAAAAGAAACCUCUCCAAAAAUCCUUUACAAUAACUUUCUCUCCCAAAAACUCUCAAAAAAAAAAUCCCCCCCUUUUACAAAAUAUGGGAAGGCUUAUAUAGCUAUUUACAAAAUAUUUUUUUAUUGUUUAUGUCUUCAUUUGUAGGUACAAGUGGUGGUAGAGCAAGUGUGGUUAGUGGAGUAGGUAAUGGAGCAAGUGUGGCUAGUGGAUUUGGUGGUGGAGAAGGUGUGGCUAGUGGAGUUGGUGGUGGAAAAGGUGUGGCUAGUGGAGUUGGUGGUGGAAAAGGUGUGGCUAGUUGAGAAAAGUUUAAGUUGUGGGCUAGGUUUUUUUAUUUUGAUUUGGGCUUAGGGUUUGGGCCAUUGGGGUUUUGAUGUAAAUUGGGCUUUGGGUAGUAAGAUUUUGGGUUUUGGGUUUAAUUUUGGUGGGUUAGGUAAGGCUAAAUUGGGUUUUGAUGUAAAUGGGCUAAAAUUGGCCUACAACAUAUAUAUAUAUUUUAUUUACUUUAAAAUUCAUUGUGAUACUAUAAUUUCACAUAGUAAUUCUUUUUAUCUUCCUUUAAAUCUAUUUCAAACUCGUAUAUAUAUUGUUUAUGAUAAAUUUUAUGCAUGUAAUUUAUUUUAUAUUAAUAAUUUUCAAUUUCCUCCCUUGCAUGUUAUUCUUUUUUUUGUUUUCAUUUUUUAAGCUUGUUCGUGUUAAUUUACUUGAUAUUCCUUUUAAUUCUUUAGCUUUUAAUAUUAAUAUUUACCCAACAUAUAAUAUGAGAUUCUUACUAUUGUUAUAUUGUAUUGUUUAUUUAUAUUUAUUGAUUGUUUGACAUUCAUUAGUAUACGCUUUAUUUUAUGAAUCAUCAUCUCGCAUUGUAUAUUAUUAUUCAAUCGUUUUUAUUCGUUCAAAAGAUUACGUUUAAUAUCAUUUAAGUAUCGAAAUUGAUUUAUUCAAAAACUUUCAAGAUAGCGUAAUAUUCGGUAUUUGGGUUCUUUGAUAGAAUUGAGCCCUAACGUAUUGGGUUCCAAUUUUCCUUGUUGAAUCUAAAUAAUCGAGAAUAUUCUUCAAUCAAAAAUACAUAAAUAAAAAGCUCAUUCUCGGGAAUUCAAUACGUUGUGUCCUAACGCAUUGGAUAUGACACGUUGUUUUCUUGAGAUGAUGAUUUUUCUAAAUAAAAAUAAAGGCAAUAUUUGGUAUUUAGGAAUUUUGUGAAAUUGAACCCUAAUUUACUGGGUUUUGAUUUUUCAUUUGACCAAAUAAUCAGAUAUCCUUCUCAAAAUGCAUAGGUUUUAAAAAAAAUCAAAAGAUAAACUUAAUUUUGAAGAUAAAAAAUGUAGCGCCCUAACUUACUGGGUGUGACAUUUUAUUUCUUUAAAAUAAGAGUGUCUUAUUAUUUAAUUCAAUUUAUUCAAAGUUAAAAGGAUCGUAUUUUAAAACCUUUUCAAAUUUUUGACACUAAGACAUUAAACAAUCAAUUCGGUAACAAUUUUGGGCGUUACGAGGGUGCUAACCCUUCCUCGUGUGUAACUGACUCCCGAACCUGUUUUCUCAAAUUUUGCAGACCAAAAUCGUUUUUAAGGUGAGCCGAUCACACCCCAAUAAAUGAUCGGUAGCGACUCUCAUCUUUGUUUUUAAGUCGACUACUAAUUUUUGUUUUUAAAAAGUGGUUUCGACAUGUACAUUCAAUGUAGAGUCACAUACAGCCUGCGACAAAAAUAAUAAUUAUACACCGCUGUGUGGGGUGACCGAAAAUUCAUAUAUAGACUUAUUUCGAACGUUCUAAUUUUCCAUUCCGAAUGUUCUAAUUUUCCACCAAAAACAAAGUCGCUUUGGAAUUAAAAUUUUGGUCCUAAGGCCCGCUGGAUUUUUCACAACCACUAUCAUUAGACUAAAAUUAUCUCUCCACGUAUGAUCGGGUUUAAAAAAAUUUAUUAAAAUUAUUUAUUUAAUUUGUUAUUAUUGUUUAUAAUAGAAUAUAAAGUCUUAAAAUAUAAUGAUAUCAUCAUGGAGAAAAAUAUUUUAAUUUAAAAAUGUAUAAAUUUUAUAUAUUAUCUUUUAAAUAAUUUAAAUUAGGGAUAAAUCUCGAAAUCAUACAUGGAUUUGAUUUAAUGUGUAAUUGUAUACAUGAACUUUAAUUUGAUUUAAUAAUUUACAAGAAUUUGGUCAAAAAUAAAAUUUCAUGUAUAAAAUUCUACAAAAUCAAAGUUCAUAUAUAUAAUUGCACAUUAAACCAUAGUUCAUAUAUAGUUUUGAGAUUUAUCCUUUUAAAUUAUAAUGAUAAUUUUUAUAUAUUAAAAUUAAUAUAUUUAACCUUCCUUUAAAUGAAAGAAGCUACUUGUUGAGUUAUUAUAUUUAUUAUAUGUGAUUUAAUUUUAAAUUUUAUUUAUCAAUCUUCACAUAAUUAUUAGAUGCUUUGAGUAAUUUAAAAGAGAUAGACACGAACUGGAAUGAGGUGAAGGAAUUUAUGGCCAUAAAGAGUAAAGGUAUAUGUAUCAACUAAAAAAUAAAAAAUCAUUUAAAAAUAUAAAACUCUCACGGAAGGACAAUAUCUUUAGUUAUUGAAGGGAUCUGUUGAUUAUCAAAUGAAAGAUAUUUUAAAAACUUCUCUUAAAAAAGUCUGAUAAUCAACAAUGCUGAUAGACCAAUAAUUUGAAGCAGUCAAUGAACUUGUAGAAAGGGUAUAGCAAGAGGGAUGGAAGCUUGACGCCAAAAGUUAAGAGAUAUCUCCAUAAUGGUCACUUGUGUUGAGUGGUCUUGGGUGAUUGAAUUUUCUACAAAUGCCAUUAAAUUUCCCACAAGAAUUUUUCUACAAAUGCUUUUCAAUUUUGAAUCAAGUUGGUUUAUGAUUGGAAUUACUUGCUGUAAUAAGUUAGUUAUUUCAUUUUUUUUAUUUAAUACCAAAAUUAAAUAAAUUUUUAUUAUUAUUCUCAUUAAAAACCCAUUAAAGUUUCAGUUUUUCUAUUUAAUAUUGUAACUUUAAUUCUAUUGAAUGUUUAGGUUACUCUUUGUUUUUCAUUAAUACUUUUGGUUUUUUUUUACUAUAAAAAGCUAUUAUAUAUUAGAUAUUACUUAUUAAGAUAUCAACAUUGUUAGAGCAAAAAAAAAAUCUGUGUGAUGGUACAUAUGUUUUUUUUUUGGUGAAGUAAAAUAACAAGAUAAAAUCCGAACAAUUAACGCGACUCGAAUCCAGGUCACACUUGAGGUGUAAUUAGGUGAGAAAGACAUUUUAUAUAAUAAAAUACAUGUGAAAAAAAAUAUUGUUUCAUUAAUUAUUAAUAAAACAAAAAUAUGAUUCAUUUGCAUUUGGUAAAAUUAAAUUAAACAAUAAAAUGUUUUUUUUUUAAUUCUCGUAGAAGUAUAUUUCAUUGAAUAAUUCAAUUGCUUUUAUUGAAAUUAUCGUGGUAUAUACGAAUGUUGCUUAGAAGUUUUUUUGUAACAAAUAUUUUUCAUUGUCAUAUAUUGCAUAUGAUAUAAAGGCAAUAUUUGAAUGGAGCAUUGGUUAGUUUUUCACGGUGAAUCCUCCACAAUAUUCCUUUGUUUGAAGUUGCGGAAAUAUAUAUGUCUCAUGUUUUUAUAAGAUGCAUGUAUUUAAGUUGCGGAAAUUGAAAAGUCUUGACCUGAGUAGCAAUGGAAUUGUAGGUGUUGUGAAUAACCAAGGUUUGUUGCUUUUCAUCUCUGCAAUGAUUAAUCUCUGAAAUUUAAUUUAAGUUUUUAUAAUUAAUUCGUUUAUUUUACUUUUCUAUAUUAGAACAGUAACUUUCUCUUGCAUGCAGUCUCUUUAUCAUCUGCUUUCAACAACUUAGAAAUCCUUGACUUAUCCCACAAUAACUUCGAUGCCAGUAUCUUAUCAAGUAAGCUUCAUCUCUCAAUUUCUAUCUAUGUCUAGUAACUAAUUGUAAGUUUAUGCAAAAAUAAUAUAAAAAUACCUACAUAAUUAACGGGAGAUUUGAAAUGCAUUUUACUAGUUUUUUUUUUUUAAAUAGUUAAAGUUGAUAUUUAUGUAUAUGGGAUAAACCCAAAUUUACGACCAACAAGAAAGAAUAGAGAAGAUUAGGCAUAUAAAUUUAUGUGGGAAAACUCUUUCAAUCAACAGGAUAAAAAAGGAGACUUCAAUAAUGAGCAAACAAACGAAGAGAAUAAGAUGGAGAUAUUCAAAAACAAACCCUAACCCUAAAAACAAAGUUCUUUGGCUAAAAUACAAAAUUCCCUCAAAGCUCUCUCGAAUUUUUCUCUUAAUCUUCUCUCAAUCUUGAUGUUAUGUGUAGAGCCCAAUUCUUGCCCGGGCCUUAACACAAAAAAUAAACAAAAUAAACCAAAAAAAAAAGUCCGUUACAGCAGUGGCCCAAACCCACAAAAUUAACCCUAGCCCGAAGCCCAGUAGAGAAGCAAACCCUAAUUUCCCUAAGGGCGCGCCACACGCUCUGUCAGGCUCCCUCGCGCACGCCACCGCCACCGUCGUCGCUUCCCAUCGCCACCUUCCCAUGCGCGUCAGAACACCUACAAGAAAACUGUAACACCCCUUAACCUCAAACCGUCGCUGAAACUGGGUUACGAGGCACUACCAGACAUAUCAAACAAUUUACAAUUAAUUCCUAGAUAAAUAACUAACAUAUUAAAAUAAAACAUAAAUUCUUAUAAAUUUUAACAGUUGACUUCAUUCAUUUUUUUUUAUAAAUUUCGGCAGCAUUUCUGCUUAUUUUUACAUAAAACCCCUGCAAAUUUCAAGAUUAUAACCUGACCAAUUCCAAUGUUUCAACCAACAUUUAUAUCCUCAAGCAUAAUUAAAAUCAUACUUAACAUUUUAACUACUAUCAUAUAGAUUGCAUAAAAAGAUUAAUCAAAUAACAUAUAUUACAUCUAGACUAAAUACUUUGUAACAUAAUACAUCAAAAUUAAGUCUUCCAUACAUGCCAUAAUUUUCGAGUGAUGAUUACAAAAUACCAAAAGUUGUGGAUAGUGUAGAUGAGUUCCCGACGAUUUCCCGAAUUCCAAGCUGAACUGGUAACACUAUAAAACUGGGAAAAACAAAGAGAAAUAAGCAUAUAGCUUAGUAAGUAGACAUAUGACAAAUAAACAAAUUUUUAACAUGAUUCCAUAGAAACAUAAUUUUAUUCACACAUAAAUUUCCUUGCUUGUUCAAUUUCCAGCAAGCUGUUUUUCUGUGUCACGGUCACUAAUUUAUUUUUAUCUGGAGCUGCUGGGCUCCAAAUUAAGUUCCGUAAAUUUUCCUUGAAACUAUACUUACAUACCUUUCUAUCAUAAAAUUUUUAGAAUUUUCGGUUUAGCCAAUUAGUACAUUUUAUUCUUUAAACUUUCCCUGUUUCACUGCUCAAUAGCUCUGACCUCUCUUUACUUAAAUUUACUUAACUCUUUGUACAGAAUUCAAACAAUGUUCUUGUUUGUUUCUCUUGAAAAUAGACUCAUUGAUAAAUUCAAGCAUGUAAAUUACAAGCCAUAAUUAUUUUUGUACAAUUUUUUGUAAUUUUCCAAAUUUGGAACAGGGGAUUUCGAAAUCAAUUCAACCCUGUCUCACUAAAAUUCAAAUAUUUCAAAAUAUAUAAAAUCUUUUGCUUGCUCUGUUUCUUUCAUGUGAAAAUAGAAUCAUUUAGCUUCAAUUUCAUAUAUUAUUCAUUCUCUAAUUAAACUUCCACCAUUUAUGGUGAAUUUUCAAAGUCGCUCAACUGCUGUUGUUCAAAACUGUUUUAUUUCAAAAUUUACUCUUUUGUAGUUUUGAUAUCUCAUACCAUCUUAUACAUGGGUCGAUUAAGUAUCAAACUCACUAUUCCUCACAUUAUCUUGUCCAUUUCAUAUAUACAUUCACUUUUCCAAUUUCCCUGUUGAACACUCGGAAUAUUAUCCGUUACUCGGUGGAUUAAGCACUUAGCAACCACCUUAAAUUCAGUGAUACGUGGAAUCAGCACAUAGCAACCCCUUUCACAGUCAAGGAUACGGUGGAAUCAGCACUUAGCAACCACCUCUAUAUUCAGUGAUACGGGGAAUCAGCAUAUAGUAACCCCUUUCACAAUCAAAGAUACGGUGGAAUCAGCACUUAGCAACCACCUCUAUAUUCAGUGAUACGGGGAAUCAGCACAUAGCAACCCCUUUCACAAUCAAAGAUACGGUAGAAUCAGCACUUAGCAACCACCUUUGAAGUCAAUAAUUCAGGGAAUCAACACUUAGCAACCCCUUGGGAAAUCUGCACUUAGCGACCCCUUUUUAUUCAAUGUUUUCCGAUCUAUUCCGAGUGUUCAAUCGGAAACCUUGUUUUUCAACACUUUAUCACCUUUCUCAAACUUAACCACAUUUUUCUGAUCUACAUCAAAUAUUUAUUCUAUAUUCAAUCAAAUCUCAACAAUAUAUUGAAUAACAUUAAAAUAACGCAUUAAUUCACAUGCAUACUUACCUUGGUGUAAAAUAUUGUAAUUUUGCAAUUUACUUCACGAUCUUUUCUUUUCCCUGAUUGAGGUUGUCUUUUCGUCUUUCUUGAUCUAUAAUAGAAAUUUUAGUUUAUUUAAUAUUCACAUUUAUUACAACAGUCCUCGACUCAACUUUUUGCAAAAUUAUGAUUUUGUCCCUAAACUUAUCAUAUUUACAUUUUUCCCAAAGCUCGAAAAUUAAAUUUCACUCCUUAUUCUUAUGUUUUACAACAUGCUGAACACUUUUUCCUUCUAUGGAAACAUCAAAUUCUCACUCUAACACGUACUUAUGAACAUUAAAUAUUUUUACCGAUUAUGACAAUUUACCCGUUUUCACUUAAAAUCGCUUAGCAAAAGUUGUUUAACAUAAUUUCUAGCUUCAUAUUCUACCAUAAAACAGAAAAAUAAACACAUUUCACCUAUGGGUAUUUUUCCAAAUAUAAACCCUAGGUUAAAAUAACAGUAGAAAUAGGUAAACCGAGCUACGAGAAUCUUAAAAAUGCGAAGAACAUUAAAAACGGGCUAGGAUGCACUUACUAUGAGCUUGAGAAAGUGAAGAAACCCUAGCUAUGGCUUCCUUCAAAUUUCGGCAGCAACUAAUGAGGAUGAACACCAUUUUUUCAUCUUUUUCCCAUUUUAAUUCUAUUUAUUUACUAAAUGACUAAAAUGCCCUUACUUAAAAAAAUCUAUUUCACCCAUUUCUUAUGUCUAUUUUUUUCCAUCAAUUAGCUAAUGGUCUAAUUACCACAUAAGGACCCCCAAUUUAUAAUUUCAUAACCAAUUAACACCUUUAACACAUAAAAUUCAACUUUUGUAUUAUUUACAAUUUAGUCCUUUUGACCAAACUGAGUGCCCAAACGUCAAAAUUUUUGAAUGAAAUUUUUACGAAAUCUUUCCGUGAAAUUGUAGACCAUAAAAAUAUAAUAACAAUAAUACUUUCCCUCGUCGAAUUUGUGGUCCCGAAACCACUGUUCCAACUAGGCCCAAAAUCGGGCUGUUACAAAAACAACAAAACAGAAACGACAAACGUACAAUCCAAAGCACAAAAAGACAAAAGAAGAGAGAUGUAGUUUUUUUCCGGUUAUAAAAGGCCGAAUGGGGCGAUUGUAUUUCUUCUUCUGUCAUUUUUGUUACAGAUUAGAAAUAAAAAGGAAAACAAAGGUUGCCUUCUGGUUUCUCUGAUUUAUUCAUUUAUUUCUUUUAUUUAUUUUUAAUGAAUCAGUUUUUUUAAAAAAGAAAAAGAACUCUUAAAAAGUAAAAAAUGAAGAGGAAUACCUGGGGUUGCCUGCGAAAUCCAUCGUCGGAGCCAUUUCGUUUGCCGAAAUCGGACGAAAAGGGGGGCAUGGGGGCCUUUCCUUCUCUCGGUCUUAAGGCCCAAAAGGCUAAGCCUUUGGGCGUUUGAAAAAUGGGCCAAAAAUGCGAUCUCCGUGUCGCUCCGACCACCGCUUACGGUAGGGUCACGGCGGCACAAGCGACGGCCCUAUUGGCCGGAUUUGAGGGCUGCGUGGGAGAGAAUGUUUGAGCUUUCUAUUUUUUUUAAAUAAGGGUCAAACUAUUUUUUUUUAUUUUUAACAUUUAUAUUGGGAAUAAAACGACGCCGUUUUGGGUUUAGGCAACAAUGGCCAAAACGACGUCGUUUCACGCUUGACCCGAAUACUCAACCCGUUUAGCAGAGGAUCCGCGCGUUUUCAAGGCCGAAUGGGCUAUUUGCGCUAUGGGUCCCUCCGCUUUGAUGCUUGGCUUCAAUUCGGUUAUUUUGUCCCUUUUUAGCAUUUUUAAUCUGACCCCGUAGAUUUUGUACCAGUUUUGAUUUGGUCUAACGCGAAACGACGCACUUUAAGGGUUAGGGAUUAAUUUCCCAAUUGGCCCCUGCAUCUUUGUGCUUGCUCCAAUCGACUCCAAAUUAUUUUUUUAUAUUUCAAAUCUAACCCACUGAUUUUAUUUAAAUUCCAAUUCAAUCCUUAGUCAAUAAAAAUUCAAAUUUCACCCUUUUUUAAUAAAAAACGAAAAUGGUCAUUAAAUAUUUUAUUUAACAUCCGUUUAAUUAUUUAUUUUUAAUUGCUAACCAAACUUAUAUAUCUUUCAUUUCAUUUAUUAUUCAUUUUUAUGUGUAUUGAUUUGUAUGUAUUAUUUGUGCCUUUAUUUUCACUAUUUAUUUAUUCGUUAUUUUCAAAUAUUUUCAAAAUUUAGAUUCAUUAGUAUUAUGUUUAUUGUGAUUGUAUUAUUGUUAUUGUUACAUUAUUACUUGCAUUAUUAUUAUUCAUGUAUAUUAGCAUUAAGAUUUAUUAGUAUUAAUGUUAUAUGUGUAUUUUAUGAUGUAUAUUAUGUCAUAAUUAUUUCGAAUGUAUGUUGUAUUAUCGUUAUUAGUCGUGCACGACCCUUUUUCUGUUUUAAACAAUUUCUCCUUCAACACAAUCAAAAUUACACGAAUAUUAUCUUUAUAUAUUUUAUUAGUUCUUACUCAAAUUCAAAAAAAGGAAAAUUUUUAUAAAUAAGGCAAUAUUUUACGUUUGGAAAUUCGAGAAAACGUACUCUAACGUGCUAGGUUUCGAUUUCUCGUUUGACCAAAUAGCCAAGUAUCCUCUUAAAAUUUCAAAGUAUGGGUUUUGGAAACCAUAAGGUAAUUUUGGUUUCUAGGGUUUAAAGUAUCGUAUCCUAACGUGCUAGAUGUGAUAUUCUUUCGGAACAAGAGAAUCUUAAAUUCCAACCCAUAUUAUUUGAAAUUUUUUUUAGGAUUGUAAUUUUUAAAACUCUUCAAAGUUUUCAAUAUUCGACAUUAAGACACUAAUUAAUCAAUUAGGUAUCAAUUUUGGGCGUUACGAGGGUGCUAAUCCUUCCUUGUACAUAACCGACUCCCGAACCUGUUUUUCUGAAUUUCGUAGACCAAAAGCAUUGUUUUAAUAAAUCCAAACCAUUUAUUAAAAACAAUCGUUUUAUGAGGUGACCUGAUCACACCUCAUUAAAAAAGAUUGGUGGCGACUCCAAUGUUCGUUUUUACUUUCAAAUACCAAGUCGACCCCCUUUUAUAAAAAAAUGGUUUCGACAUUAUGAAUAUAUUUAUUCUAGGGUUACUAGUGCCCUUUUUAUAGGCUAAGAUUAGAGUUCUAAUAUUACUAAAAUAUCUAUAGAAUAAUCACAGUUUAACUAGGAAAAGUAACCCUCUUGAAAGUCUAAUAACACAGCUACUCUAAGUUAGAAUUUGUCGCGUUAUCACGACGUACCAAGCUCCCCGUUGUGACAUCGCCUCAGCUUUGCUCUUUUUCAAACAUUGUCGUGUCGUUGCGACAUCGCAUGAUUCCUCGUCGCAAUAUCACCCUUACUUUGACUCUGAUCCGACCCGAAAAUGUGAGACACAUUCCACAAUAUCUAAAUAUAUAUUGAAUUUAAAAAUAAUUGUACAAAGGAUAUGUAAUCCUUGAAGAUUAGAUACAAGUAAUUACCAUUUUAUAUUAAAAGUUAGAAAUAUAAAUUAAAUAUUCUAAACUUUUUUUUAUGUGAAUAAGUCAUGUGUUGAUAUAUUUUAUUGCUCUUGAAUAGAAUUGAAGAGUUUGAAAAACUUGAAGACGUUAGAUUUAAGCUUCAAUGGAAUCAGAAGCCUCCGGCACUUUCAAGGUAUAUCUAACUUUGAUAUUUUAUAUACAAUCAACUAAGUCCUAUAAAAAUAUAUUUAUGAACAAGUUAAAAUGAAUGCUUGAAACAAAUAAUUAUUAUUUGAUAUUAUACAAACAAAUUCUCCUUGAAAUUGUAUUACAUAAGUAUUUUACAGAUGAGAAAUUGCAACCCAUGAUGAGUUUGGAAGUGCUUGAUUUGGAUGGUAAUUUCUUGAAGAACAAUGAUUAUCAAGUUUAAAGUCUUUGAUUAUUAGCCAUAACGAAUUGGAAAUUUUCAUAAAAUAAAAAUAACAAGCUAUAUGUAAAUUACAAUUUCAUCAACCUUUUUUAACUGUUAAAAGAAUUAUAUCCAAAUAUAUUCGUUCUUUUGGUAUUUAGCUUUUUAGGUUGUAAACUAAAGUCAUAAUGAUUUUUUGUCCUCCAAUUUUAAAAACAAAAAAUCAUUUUACCUCUCAAUUUAAUUUUUCAUCUCUUCUAGUCAUUAAACUUCAAUUUUUUUUUGUCAAAUCACCCCAAAAUGAAAAGAAAAGUUAAUAUUUGUUAAUUUUGCUAAUGUGACAUAUAUGUGAAUUGUCAUAUAGAUGACAUAUCAACAUUUAAUUAAUUUUUAAAAUUUAAGUAUUUUUUAAAUAUUUUUUAUUUUUUGAAAUUUAUUUAAAAAAUUAAAUAUUGAUGGAUCAUCCACGUGACAAUCCACAUGUAUGCAAUAUCAACAAAAUUAAAAAAAAUUGUUAAAUUUUCUAUUCAUUUUAGGAUGACUUGAUGAACAUAAGUUUAAGAGAUUAAAAAUCAAAAAAUUAAAUGAAAACCUUUUUUAAGUUAAAAAGAGUUAAAUAAAUUAUUAAUAACUAAAAUAAAAUGUUUUUAAUAAUUUUUUUAUGGAGAAAAGUAGUUGAAUUGCAUGAACCAAAAUUACUGAUUUUUUGUGAUAUAACUUUGUUUGACUGACAAAAAGGGUAUUUGAUUUAUUUGAAUAGCAUUCAAUAAUCUCACAAAAUUGAAGAAGUUGGAUAUGAGUCGCAAUUAUGUUGAGAGACUUGGUAAGUGUCCAUAUAUUUUACUUUAUCAAAUUGCUACAUUUAUUAUACUAAUAUCUAAAUGCUUUGUAGAUGAGGAAAGGUAUAAUUUGACGAAUUUAGAAGUGCUUAAUUUGAAUUACAACUCUUUCGGAAAAAGCUCAUUGGCACAGCUUAGUGGGUUUUCCAAUCUAAAGGAAUUGAGUAUGCAACAAAACCAGGUGCAAUUAUUUAAUAUAUUUAAUUUUCCUUUAAACAAAAUUAACUAUUUAUUAAGUUAUAUUUAUUCUCUAUGAUUUACUUUUAAAUUUUAUUUGUCGACUUUUAGAGAUUGAACAAUUUAGAGAAGCUAAACAUUAGAUAUCUAAUGAACUGAUGUCAACCACUAAUUUGACUCUCAAAAAUGGAAGUUUAGAAAAGCAUUUUAGUAGUUCUUUUAAGAAAAAAAUUAUGUCUAAAUAUAUAAUGAGUUUAAAAAUAAUUGUAUUAAAAUCUGUAAUCGUUGAGGAUUAGAUACAAGUAAUUGCGACUUUAAUAUUAAAAGUUGGAAAUAUGUUGUUAUUUUAAAAUUAAAUGUCCUAUAUUAAUUAUUUUUAUAUGAAUAAGCCUUGUGUUGAUAUUUGAUAUAUUUCAUUGCUCUUGAAUAGAAUUGAAGAGUUUGACAAAGUUGAAGACGUUAGAUUUAAGUGGCAAUAGAAUUGAAAGCCUCAAGCACUUUCAAGGUAUACUUAAAUUUGAUUUUCUUUAUACAAUCAACUAAGUCUUUAAGGCGUUGACCUUAUAUAUUUAUAAACAAGUCAAAGAUGCAACUUUGAGAUAAAUAAUUAUUCAUUGAUAUUAUACAAAUAAUUUUUUUCUCGAAAUUGUAUCACAUAAAUCUUUUACAUUUAUUAAAAGAGAGAACCGAAACAAACUACUUGUUCAGUUAUUAUAUUUAUUUUAUGUGAUUUAAUUAUAAAUUUUAUUUUUCGAUAUUCACAUAAUUAUCAUAUGCUUUGAGUAAAUUAGAGUCAUUGAGAAAAAUAUUUUAAAUUUAAAAAAAAUGUAUAAAAUUUAUAUUUUAUCUCUUAAAUAAUUUAAAUAAUAAUAAUUUUUAUAGAUUAAAAUUAAUAUACUAUCUCUUUUGAAAUAAUAUAAAAAUUAUAUUAAUAUAUAAAAAAUAAAUUAUAAAUUGAAAACUUAUCUCUUAAAUAUAUAAAGUAAAAUAUAUGUACCAAAAUAAUAGGAUUUCAAUUUUAAUUUUUUUUCUAUGUGUUAUCAAUUCUUUAAAACAUUUGACUAUUAAGUUCAAAAAAUUUUAUUUUAAUUAAUACUUGUGCAUUUCACGGAAAAAAAACUAGUUAAUAUAUAUAACCAGCUUUGUAGAUGUGGAAUUACUUAUUUUACAUUCUAUAAAUAUAGCAGCACCUAUAUAAAGUAUACAGUACGCCUUUUAUUAAAUUAGUUCUUUAUAAUAAUUUGUUGUCUUAAAUUUUAGCCUAAUAAAUUCUAUUUCUAAGUGAAAUAAAAUUAAUAAAUUUUAAUUAAGAUAUUAUUUCAAUAAAAUAUUUAAAUUUCAUAUAAAAUAUAUUAAUUAUAUUUUAUUAAAUAAAAAUAGUUUUUAAUAAAUGAAGUUACAUUAGUAAAUUUUAUUAAAGAUACAAUUUAAAUCUCAUUAAUUAAUUUUUAUUAAUAUAUUUUAGUUUUUUUAAUUUAAAAAUUAAAAUAUGAUCUAAAUAUUAAAUGUUGUUAUAAGUGUAUAAUAAUUACUUAUCUAUAACAUCCAAUAGUGGCAAUAUAAAAGUUGAAUAUAAGUGAAUUUUUGUGACUAACAAAAAAUGUAUUGAAUUUAUUUGGAUAGUAUUGAAUAAUUUGACAAAGCUAAAGCAGUUGGAUUUGAGUGGCAAUAAAAUUGAGAGCCUCCAAUCUUCUCAUGGUAUGUGUUGAGAUGUUUUACUUUAUCAUAUUCUUACAUAUACAUACCACUAUCUUAUUUAAUAUUCCAUUAGUAAUAAAUUUGUUUAUCUCAAUGCUUUGUAGAUGGUGAGAGGCCACUUAAUUUAACCAAUUUAGAAGAGCUUAAUUUGGAUUUCAACUCCUUCACAAACAGCUUAUUGGCACAACUUAGUGGGUUUUCCAAUCUAAAGUCACUGAAUAUAAGGAAUAACCAGCUUAAAGGAUCAAUAAAUAUUAAAGGUGGAAUUACUUAAUAUAUUUAAUCUUCCUUUAAAUGAAAUAAACUACUUGUUGAGUUAUUGCAUUUAUUCUAUGUGAUUUAAUUUUAAAUUUUGUUUGUCAAUUUUUACAGAAUUAUUAGAUGCUUUAAGCAACUUAGAGGAGCUAGACAUGAGCGAGAAUGAGGUGAAGGAAAUUGUGCCCAUAAAGAAUAAAGGUUUAUGUAUCAACUAAAGGAAAUCUUACUAAUUGUUUUCCAUUAGAUAUCUAGUGAACUGAUGCCAACCACUAAUUUGACUCUUAGACAAUGGAAGUUUGAGAAAGCUAAAGGUUGCUUCAUUAAACCGUGUGUUCACCGAUGGAACUGCUUCUCUAAUACAGCUUCUAGAGACAUUCUCAUCUGUUAAUACAUUAUAUUUGAGUGGCAAUUACUUCAAAGACACAUUUUCUACUCAAGUUAUAAUAUAUAUGUAUGUGAAUAUAUAGUUUUAUAGUUUGGUCCCAUUUAAAAAUAUUAUUUACUUAACGUAAAUCAUCUAAAUAACGCUUAUAAAUUUGUAAAGAUCAACUGCAUGUAUCGAGCAAAAUAGAGGAAUUGGUGCUGGAUUAUUCAUCUCUCAGCAACAACAUUCUUCAAAGCUUUGGUGGACUGGCUUCUCUCAAAGCCUUGUAUUUAGGUUCCUGUGGGUUGUCUGGGACAUUACAUACCCAAGGUAUAUUAAUAAUUAUGACAUAAUUAUUUAGGCAGUCUCUUGAUUAAUUAUUUUUUUAUCCUCUUAGAAAAUUGGAGUAACUUGCACAAAUUUAUUUUAUAGGAUGGUGUGAUUUACGGAAGCUUGAGACGUUGGAUCUUAGUGAAAAUUCUCUUGGGGGAGCACUCCCUUCAUGUUUGGAAAACUUGUCAUCUCUUCGUUAUUUGGAUAUUUCCGGUAAUCAAUUCAUCGGAAAAGGUGCCUCCACCGCUCUAGCCAAUCUCACAUCGCUUAGAUUCAUGUUUCUUUCACGAAAUCUAUUCGAAGUUCCAUCAAUUUUCAUGUCAUUUGCCAACCACUUACACCUCAAAGUCCUCUUUAGCGAUCAAAACAAGUUAGUCAGAGAGCCUACCAUUCAAACAUGGGUCCCAAAGUUCCAACUAAAAGCCUUCCUUUUCUCGAAUUGCACAACAAAGGAACUCCACAUUGAAAUUCCAAAAUUCCUCUACUACCAAAAUGAUCUGAGUAUGGUUGAUCUUUCAUACAAUAAUUUUUUAGGGAAGUUUCCUUUUUGGUUGUUAGAGAACAAUACAAGAAUGGGAGCAUUUUUAAUGAAGGGUAACUCUUUUAUGGGCCAUCUCAAUCUUCCAUCUCAUCCGAAACCAAAAAUGUCCCUUGUUGAUAUAUCUGACAACAAACUAGAAGGUCCAAUUCUAGCAAGCAUUUGUUCAAUCUUUCCACAACUAAAUGGGUUAAACCUAUCAGACAAUUUCUUUCAAGGAAAUAUUCCUCCUUGUUUAGGUAGUUUGAACACUACAUAUUUAAUAUUAGAUCUGUCACAUAAUCAUCUAUCUGGCGGAAUACCAGAAAUGUUAGCUCAAAGUGACUCGUUGGAGCUUCUUAGGUUAUCAAAUAAUGAUCUAAGUGGGAAGAUAGCCCCAACGAUCUUUUGCUCAUCUUCAUUACAAUUUUUAUAUUUAGAUGGCAAUAAGUUUGAUGGAAAUAUACCUGACAUUGAUAUCUCAACUUGUCAUCCGUAUCCUCUUAGUGAUAUGGAUUUAAGUAACAACAAUUUGUCUGGAGAGCUCCCAAGAUGGAUAUGGAAUAUGUCAUCUUUAAAUGCAUUAUUAGUAUCCAACAAUCAGCUCAAGGGUCUUAUUCCGAAGGAAUUGUGCCAUUAUUCCCUUCAAAUUUUGGACCUUUCAAAAAACAAUUUUUUUGGCCCAAUACCAUCUUGCUUCAAUGUACACAGUAUCAAACAUCUCCAUUUGAGCAAAAAUAGGUUAAGUGGUACCUUGACAAAUGCAUUCUUUAAUAGCUCUUCCUUGGUGACUUUAGAUCUUAGUGAAAACCAGUUGACUGGUGAAAUUCCAUACUGGAUUGGAAAUCUUUCAACUUUGAGUGUUCUCCUUCUAAAAGCCAAUUAUUUUAUUGGAGAAAUUCCCAUUAAGAUAUGUAAAUUGUAUUCAUUAAGCAUCAUUGAUCUUUCUCAAAACAAGUUUUCUGGUCUGAUACCUUCGUGUUUGAGUCGUUUAACUCUUGAGCCAAAUGAUAAAAAUCUUCGACAAUAACCUAUGGGUUGGAUUUUGAUGGAAUCUUGGAGGGAGCUAAUUAUAUUGGAAUGACCAGAUUGGAUUUGUCCGAUUUUGGAUUCAAUCUACAUUUCUUUAUUGAGAAUCUAGAAGAAAAGGUGGAUUAUACAACAAAGGGAGCAUCUCGCACAUACAAAGGAAACAUUCUUGAGUACAUGUCUGGAAUUGAUUUAUCAUGUAAUAGAUUAACAGGUGAAAUUCCCAGAGAGAUUGGAAAUUUGAGUGAAAUCCGAUCACUAAACUUGUCGCACAACAAUUUGACUGGAUAUAUACCGUCAACGUUCUCAAAGCUCAAGCAAAUUGAGAGUUUGGACCUGUCUCACAACAACUUAAUUGGAAGAAUACCUGUUCAAUUGACGGAGUUGUACGCCUUAGCAAUCUUCAAUGUGUCAUACAACAACUUGUCAGGGAGUAUUCCGUCUCCGAAAUUUCAAUUUGGAACCUUCGACGAAAGCAGUUACGUGGCGAAUCCUUUCCUCUGCGGGUCUCCCCUGCAUAAAAAUUGUAGCAACCUUGAUUCACUCCCGACAGCAGCACCAAAGAGCUCAAACGAGGAAGAAGAAAGUGGUUUGAUGGACAAGUAUGUUUUCUGGGUGACCUUUUUUGUUUCUUACGUAAUUGUGUUACUGGUUAUUGUUCUCAUCCUGUACAUAAAUCCUUAUUGGCGACAAGCAUGGUUCUCUUUUGUUGAACACUGCAUCAAGACCUGCCAGUAUUUUAUUGAGGACAAUCUUCUAUGAUUUUCCAUCUUCAAAAGAAGCGGGUAGCCUUGUGCUUUGGUGGUUUACAUCUGUAUGUAAAUUUUUUCAUGUGUUUCUAUUUUUCAAAGUUUGAUUGGGUUAUCUGCUUUUAAGUUUUUAGAGGUAGAAUACAAUAGCUCUGUGAUGUAAUAAUUGCCAGUUUAGUAUAAGAAAACAAUAUAUAAAACUAUGCAUUUUCAGUUAAAACAUUUAAUAUUGCUUUAUAAAUUUUAGUGUUGUGAUAGUAUAAUGUUAAAUUCAAUAUAUGUUUCCUUUUCCAUGAUUACGUAAAAGCGAAAUAUACAAAUCAUAUUAUAUUAAUAUAAUCCACAUUCUUUAAAUCAUAUGCUCAAUUGAAACUUAUAUAUAUAUAUUAUCAAACAUGAAUGAUAUAAACAGUCUUCGAAAAAAGUAUGAUUUUCAUGUUUAGUUAUUAUUAUUUAAUAUUUAAUUGUUUUACUAUUAUUUGAUAUCAAUAAUAUUUAUAUGUUUGUGAAUGUUGUUUGUUAUUGUCUCGUGAAAUAUUAUGUUAAAGAUAAAAGAAGUACUAAGUAAUAGUUCUUUUUAGGUGAAAUUUUGACUCAAGUUUGAAUGGUGAGUUAUUUUAUCUAAUUACUUACGUUUGGAUAGCAUAAAGUAAUUAAAUGGCACUUUUGUAAUUACAAAGAUUGUACUUGAUAGAUGAAAGAACUAGGUAAAGGAAGAAAAUAACUAUCCAAACAGAAAGAAGCAGAGAGUGAAAUAAUAGAAUAAACUUCUUGUUGUUUAUUCAAAUUUGCCUACCUCUUAAUUCUUAAUGUACAGUAUAUAAAGACUUUCUGAAUUAAGUAACAACCUCACUAACUGACUAACUACUUCUAUUCUCUAAUAUUCAUCCAUAUUCUCUAUAGGCAAGACCCGUAGAAAACUCCAAAAACGAGUAAAACUCGAUGACGAAAUUGGCUUAGUGAGAACAUCAGCGACCUGAUCACACGCUGGAACUUCUCCAACAGCAACCGUGCCAUCAGCAACCUUUUCACGAACAAAAAAUAAAUCUAACUCAACAUGCUUAAACUUUGAAUGAAGAACAGGAUUUGCAGCAACUGCAACCGCCCCAGGACUGUCACACCAAAUUUGAGGAACACUAUUAGACUGAACAUGUAAUUCUUUAAGUAGCAACAAAAGCCACGUAACCUCACUAGUAACUGCAGCAAGACUUCGGUAUUCUGCCUCAGCAGUAGACCGAGCAACAACCUGUUGUUUCUUCGUACACCAUGACACAGGUGUAUGUCCGAAAUAAACACAGUAUCCAGUAGUAGACCUCCGGUCAUCAAAAUCUAAUCCCCAGUUGCAUCAGCAUAUCCAACUAAGGACAAACUAGUGGAUGGACGAAACACAAUUCCAAAAUCAAUCGUACCACCUAAAUACCUCAAAAUGCGCUUCAGGGCAGUCAUAUGAAUGGAAGUAGGACAAUGCAUAAAUUGACAUAUUCGAUUAACAGCAUAGGCAACAUCAGGCCGCGUAAGAGUGACAUACUGUAAUGCUCCUGCAAGACUCCUGUAUUCAGUCGGAUCCUGUAGCCGCUCACCACCAUCGCGAGUCAUAACAGAGGAACUAACCAUCGGUGUAUGAACACUCUUCGUAUUCUCCAUCGAACAACGUAUAAGAAUAUCACGUAUAUACUUCUUCUGACAAAGAUGAAGGCAACCUGACGAAGAACGAUUAACCUCUAUCCCAAGAAAAUAAUGAAGAUCACCCAUGUCCUUAAGCGAGAACUCACUAUUCAGCAAAUUAACAAACCACUCUAUGACAGAAGGCAUAUCUCCAGUAAUAAUAAUAUUAUCAACGUACACAAGCACAUAUAAUGUUGACGCUGGUACAACUCGAACAAACAAGGAAGCAUCAGACUUUGAAACUACAAACCCCACGGAGACUAGAAAUCCUUUUAGCCUUUCAAACCAGGCACGAGGAGCCUGACGAAGACCAUACAACGCUUUCUUCAAGCGACACACCAAAGGUCUGCCAUCUGAGCCAUAUUGAACAUAACCGGGAGGUUGAUGCAUAAAAACUUCAGUGUCAAGGUCACCAUUUAGAAACGCAUUAUUCACAUCCACUUGUCGAAGCGACCACCCCCUAGACACAGCAAUAGACAAAAUAACUCUGAUAGUAGCCGGUUUGACCACUGGACUAAACAUUUCCUUAAAAUCACAACCCGGAACUUGAGAGCAACCUUUUGUAACUAAUCGAGCCUUAUAUCGAGCAAUAGUGCCAUCAGAAUUCUUCUUGAUUCGGAACAACCAUUUGCACCCAAUGACCUUACGAUUAUAUGGAGCAGGAACGAGCUCCCAUGUGGAAUUACGCAUAAGAGCAUUAUACUCAUCUUGCGUAGCAGUGCGCCACUCAACAGUAGCCAGAGCUUCUUCAAUUGUAGUCGGUUCAACAGCUUCAACACUUAAAACCUUAGGCUUGUAAACCCCUGCUUUAGCGUGAGUAACCAUUGGGUGAGUAUUGCCCACAGCUGUCCUAUUAAUCUGACUAGACAGUCCCAUAUUAGACGAAGAGAGAGCAUUGGUAUCACUGGAGAAUCCUGAGCCAUGCUCUGAUGGAAGAUCACUCAACUCAGUUCCAUCAUUAGCUGAAUAAUCAUGAGCUGGAAGACUACCCAACCCAGUCCUAACAUCAGUUGAAGGAUCAUGAAACUGGGGCUGCUCCACACUAACAUCUAAUACAGGAUCAGUAGGCUGAGACGACACCCCUUGUACCGACGGUGUCAUCAUGCAUGGCUCAAGAGUCGAGGAUGAAGGUGGCCACACAAGAGGAACAACUGUCGAACUAGUCUGACCGGUUGUUGAUACAGACUUGUCUGAACUAGUCUCGGUAAACAAAAACCUCUGCUCAUCAAAGACCACAUGCCUUGAAAUUAUAACCUUACCAUCUGGUAAAAGACAUUGAUACCCCUUGUGACGAGGACUGUAGCCCAAAAAAGUUGACGGCUGAGACCGAAAUUCCAACUUACGACCUACAAACGGACGUAAGUAAGGAUAACAACAGCAACCAAACACUCGAAGAUGAUCAUAGGUCGGAUCACUUCCAUACAGUUCUUUAAACGGAGAACUAUCCUGAAGUACAACCGUGGGAAGUCGAUUUAUGAGAUGAACCGCACAACAAAACGCAUACCCCCAGUAUUCCAUAGGCAAAUUUGCAUGAGCCAACAACGUAAUCCCCAUUUCAACAAUGUGACGAUGUUUUCGCUCGGCUACUCCAUUUUGUUCUGAAGUAUACGGACAGGUCAGUCGAUGAAUGAUCCCCUGAGAUUCUAAGACAGACGUAAACCCACGAUAUUCACCUCCCCAAUCGCUCUGAAACUGCUUAAUAGACUUGCCAAACUGUGUCUUAAUCAACUGUUGAAACUGAGUAAAACAUUCAAGUGCUUGAGCUUUUUGACGUAAAAGAUAAACCCAAGUAAACCUGGUACACAUAUCAAUAAACGAAACAUAAUAUCUCUUAUCACCACAUGCAACAGGUGCAGGACCCCAAAGAUCAGACACAACCAAUUCAAAAGGACGAUAGCUAGUAGUCGAAUGGGAGAAAGGCAACUUAUGUGACCUGCCUUUUUGACACGCAGUACAUAUACCAUCCAGACCAAUUUUAUUUGAAACAACAUUACAUUUAUUUAGAAUAUUUUUGACCACAGAAGUCGACGGGUGGCCUAAACGAUUAUGCCAUAAAGUAAAUACAGAAGUAGUUGAAACUGUAUGUGGAACUUGAGAAUGAGCAACAAACGGAGUAGUCGUAGGCAACGUAGAAACCGCUGGGACAGAAAACUGAUAUAGACCAUCAUGAAUGCGGCCCGUCAGCAAUAUCUCCUGAGUCAUCGUAUCCUUAAUAACACAAUAGGUAGGGUGAAACUCAAAAAACACAUCAUUAUCACGAGCAAACUAUGAGACAGAUAAGAGAUUUUUCCGUAUACGUGGCACACAUAAAACAUUUGAUAACCGUAACGAUUUAUCUUGAGUAGGUAAAAUGGCCGUACCAAUUGAUGAAAUUAUCGUAGGAGUACCAUCACCCAUUAAAAGAGAUGACUUACCUGAGUAUGGCGUGACAUUACGUAAAGCUGACAUAUCACGACAGACAUGAUGACUCGCUCCCGAGUCAGGAUACCAAGACGUGGUGCCACUGCACACUGGAAUGUACGAAUCAUCAUUACCAGUACUAGAUGCAAGCUGAGCCGUAUUAACAUGAGAAUCUGAUACUGAAGGAUCAGAAUAAUUAGACGCAUGUAAAUCCCCUAGCCGUGGAAGCCCAAUACAUGGAUUAGAUUCGGUAUAGACCCGAGCACGCGGUUUAGUAAAUUUCAGAACCGGACCACCAACACCUAGUCCAUCACCAAUCGGUUCAGGCGAGCCGGGAUCAUCUUGAUCAAGUUGAACAAAAUUAGAGGAUGGUACAAUAUUCGGCCCAGCAUUAAACUGAACAUUCAGUCCAUGAGAAGAGUGUUGAACAUUCGGUCCAUCAUUAAACUGGACAUUUUGUCCAUGGGAUUUGUUUCCACUAGAACCGCGCCACUGUCCAUUUCCAGUAGUGAACCCGUGUAAAGUGUCUCCACUAUACCCUUGCCCAGCAUCAUGACCGAAUUUAGACAAGCUGGGCUUGUAGGCAUCAUUUUGUGCAUUGGACACAUGUGGCCCACGUGGUAAUGGCCUAUUUUGCAUGCCAGCACACACAUUUUGACUAACAUAUCUAUUUUGACCAGCAUGACUCCCUUGACCAUAAAAAAUUCUUUGACUAUUCUGAUGAGGAGCAACCAUCUGUUCAUCACCAUUUUGCACAAAAGUUCCAGAAUCACAACCUUCAACACCAGACAUUUCAUUUGAGUCUCGGUGAUACCGAUAAUAGCACUUUUGAGCCACAUGACCAAACCGACUACAGAUCUGGCAUUGAACACAAGAUCUGAUAAACCGGCCACGACCACGAACAGACGCACGACCUCCACGACCGGCCCCUUCUACCGAUGGCUCAUUUUCAACAAGAUUCGCGUUCAAACUGACCUCCUGCAACACUCGAUCUUGACGACUCUCACAAUCGACUAGCGCAUCCACCAGACGUUGCAACGGUAGAACUACAGGCGACAAACGAGUAGAGGAGAUAACCGCCUCAAACUCCGACGGCAAACCCGCAAGCACCACUUCGAUCUUUUCUUCAUCGGAGAUACGAGAGCCAGAAGCAUCUAGCAUACCACAUAAAUCUUUAAUCCGAGCAACAUAAGCCUUAAUCGAAAGAUUACCUUUCUUCAACGAGUGAAGUUCAUGCCGAAUCCUCGACUGCUUGGCGCCCGUAUCAACUGCAAAAAGAUUACCGACCAUGCUCCAUAUGUCGCACGCCGUGCAAGCAUCAUCAAAGGAGGAUUGAUGAGAGGAAGUUACAGUAGACAGAAGCCAGGACAUUAGCAGUUGAUCUUGCUGCGUAAAGACUUGAGCCGCCGGAUUUGGAGCACGAGAUCCACCGGGUAGAGCGAUGAAUCGCAACGGCGGAGCAACAGUGCCAUCUAAAAAACCUGCGAGUCCAUAGCCAUUAACAAUCAGCUUUACCUGUUUACGCCAUUGAAGGUAAGUACCUUCAUCGAGUUUGACCACUUCAUGUCGAGGAAAAACUGUUGUGACUCGAUCGGCAGCAAAUACACCGGAGCUAGGUUCACCAGACGCUGAAUCAGCGGAAGCCAUGAGAAGCAAUGACCAGAAUCACUUGGCGAAUGAUACCAUGAAAGAACUAGGUAAAGGAAGAAAAUAACUAUCCAAACAGAAAGAAGCAGAAAGUGAAAUAAUAGAAUAAACUUCUUGUUGUUUAUUCAAAUUUGCCUACCUCUUAAUUCUUAAUGUACAGUAUAUAAAGACUAUCUGAAUUGAGUAACAACCUCACUAACUGACUAACUACUUCUAUUCUCUAAUAAUAGACGUGUUUGAGUGACACAAUUCCCUAUGUCAUGUUUGUUAAUAUAAAUUGUAAUUACAUAGUUACAUUAUAAAAUUUUUGGUGUUAAAUUUCGCAAAAUUCUGAUAAAAUAGUGAGGUUAACUGAGAAGCGAAUUUAUUAUUUUUGGAGCUUGUUAUUAUUUUUGAAAUUUUUAGUUAUUAAUGGGUAAUGAUGUCGACUAAGAAUCGAAUUGGCCCAAGGGACUAAAUUGAAAGAGGAGUGAAAAGGGAAAGUUUUUAAGUACUAAUAAGCCCAAGGGCUUAAUGGCCAAUUGGCCAUAGUCUUUUAAAGCACUAAAAAUCACGUCCUUUCUAGCCCUUAUUUUCAACUUCUCUCUUUGGCCGUCUGUCUACACUUGCACCGUUGAAAUCCCUUCAAAUCCUCGCCACUUUGUGUCUAAAUACCAUCAUCGAUUGCCACCACUGAUAUCAGCUGCAAUUGCUCUAAUUCACUGCGGACAAUUGCCUUAAUUUGUAGAUGCUCAUUAUUCACAUUAAAGUUUAUUUCUCUAAUGGAAUUGAUGCUAUGGUUAGUCUUAUUUUCAAAGAUGAUUAAGUUUCAUUUGAUUAGAAUUAGUUGGAAUAUGUGCGGUUAACUUCUAAUUAAAAUUAUUUAGUUUAAGAUUCAUUAAUAAAUUAUUUUUACCGUGGUUUCUUUGAUUUAUUGCUGUAAUUUUUUGUUUACUUUUAUUUGUUGUCAAAGGGUAAAUUAUCUGAUACUUUUACAAUGAACUUAGAAUUAUUUUUGAUGAAUUCGAAGCGAAAAACUAGAUAAUUCGAUGAAAGUGAAGCUGGUUGUGAAUUAAUUGCUCCUAAGCUACAAACACUAAGAAAUUCAGUUUGUUACCUUUACGUUUUAAAAUAUCUUAAUGUUGUUAAAUUAUUAGCUUUGUUGUGAUUCUUGCAUGUAAAAUUUUACUUGUGUAGUUGUUUAUUAAAUUGUUUUUAAUGAUGGCUCCUAUUGUUAAAUUGAUAUUCUUUAUUAAUUGAUUAUUUUCCGAAAAUUAUUGUUAAAAGUACGAAUUUAAUAAUUGACUAAAUACUUGAUAAAGUUAGUUGGAAAUUCUUCGGAUAUAAUUAGCAUGUUGUAGAGUGUAGAGGUCUCCAUCAUUGUUUGUUGUUCAUUGUGUGGAUUGCCUUAAGCAUAUGGGAGUAUUGUCAUUGUUGCCUCUUUGCGCAUAUAGUGUGAUGGUAGGUCAUUGAUUAAGUUGCAUUUAUUACGCAAUGCAGUACUGUCAUUGUUGACGCUUGUGCCAUUUUCAUUGACCGUUUGGUGUUUGGUUGGACACUCUUUUGUCCGAAUGUCUUUCCUUCUUGUGUUACUUAGGCAAAAUAAUUAAAUGAACUUAAACAUUAAAUUGAAACACUAUCAUUAUUUAUUGAAUGUAUUGCUAAUGUUUCAUUGUUAUUUUAAAUUGCUACCUUGUGACUGACUUGUGAUUGUAUUGUGUCUUUGAAAAUUAUUUUAAUUAUACACUUUGGUAGUUUAAAAUGUAUUGGAUUACUACUAAGCUGUAAAAAGGCAUAGCACUUGGGUUUUUAAUUUCUUGUGCAAGUAAUAUUUGGAUCGCAUAGUUUGUGAUAUCGUGAUCGAGCAACAUCACCAAAGAGUUUAGCAUGUACUUAGGUGUUGUUAAAUUGGUCAACUUGUUUACUUUAGUUUUAUUUUAGAGCUUAUUGAUUGAUUGAGCAUUGUUAAAUUAUUUUAUUAUUUGACUUUACACUAAUGUUUAAAUUUUAUGAUUUUAUGUGAAAAUGAUUGAAUGAUUGAUUAUUUGGGUCGCUCAGGUGACCGUUGUGACACUUUCGAUCCAAUUGAACUUUUGAGUCGGGUUUGAGGUGUUACAAACAUAAUUUAUAUUUUUUAAAAAAUAUUAAUUAGUAUAAAAAUUAUUAGUAUGAUCAAAAAUAAUUUCUAAACAAAUUGUCAAAACCAUUUUUUUGUAAAACGGGGGUCGACUUUUAUUUUGAAAACGAAAACGAACACAGGAGUCGCCACCAAUCCUUUUUGAUGAGGUGUGAUCGGGUCACCUCGAAAAGUUUUUAAUAAACGAUUUGCUUUUAUUAAAAUAACGAUUUUUGGUCCACGAAAUAAAAAAAAAACGGGUUCGGGAGUCGGUUACGUACGAGGAAGGAUUAACACCCUCGUAAUGCCCAUAAUUGGUACCUAGUUGAUUAAUUAGUGUCUUAGUGUCGAAGAUUGAAAACUUUGAAGAGUUUUUAAAAAUACGAUCCUUAAAAAAAUCGAAUAACAUGGGUUGGAAUUUAGGAUUCUCUUGUUCCGAAGGAAUAUCACAUCCAGCACGUUAGGAUACAACACUUUAAACCCUCGAAACCAAGAUUACCUUAUGGUGUCCAAAACCCAUACUUUGAAAUUUUAAGAGGAUAUUUGACUAUUUGGUCGAACGAGAAAUCGAAAUCCAGCACGUUAGGGCACGUUUUCUCGAAUUUCCAAACGCAAAAUAUUGCCUUAUUUUUAAAAUUUUCUUUUUUACAAAUUUGGGUAAAAUUAAUGUAAUAGUUAAUAAGAUGUACUUUUAAUAUAUGCGAACAUGGUGUGAAGGUGAAAAAUUUUUUUUACGCAAUAUAUAGUACAAUAAUAAUGAAAUAACAUAAAAUAACCAUAUUAGUAGAAUAUUUAAAAAGUAAAUAAUAAAUAAUGGAAUACAAUAAUAAUGACGUAAUUAUAAUAAUAACACCAAAUAAUAAUAACAAUAAUCAUAUUAGUUACUAUUCUAAUACUAAAAAAAUAUAAAAAUGAAAUAAACACUAAUAAUGAUGAUGAUAAUAAUAAUAGUGAUAAUGAUAAUGAAAUGUAUAAAUAAAGGAAUAAAUAACAAUAUAAAUACUAAAUCAAGAAUAGUAAGGAAAUGGAUAAAUGAAUAUGUAUAAAUAAAUAAAACUGAACGAAAAAGAAUAAAUAAAUAAAUAAAAGCUUGAAAUUAAGCGAAUAAAGGAAUAAAUUGAGGUUAAAAUAAAAUUUUAAGUCUAGAUUAUAAUAAAAUGGAUGGAUAAACGUAAAAGGGACUGGAUCAAAUUUUGAAUGGAAUUUAAAGGUAUAAAUCGGAAUAAAAAAAUGACGUAAAGGACCACAUUGAAAAGCGCGAAUAACAUAGAGGGGCCAAAUGGGAAAAUAUUCCCGCCCUUCAAAACGCAUCACUUUACACGGGGCUAAAAUGCAAUAAAAGCAAAAUUCUAGGGCAAGAUCAAAAAAAGAACACAAAAAAAUUCAAAUUGAAGCGGGCCGAGGAAGCGGAAAGACUGAACAAGUAAAUAUCCCUUCCACUUAAAAAAACACGCGGAUCCUUAUCCUGGAGCGGGUUGGGUCAACCCAUUUCGCAUCAAAACGACGCCGUUUUGAUAAGUUAUAUAAACCAAAUUUUUACCAAAAGUUUUAUUUUGCCCAUUAUUUUAAAAAAAACUUUAAAAAUCUUUCAAAAUUUCUCUCAAGCCUUCCCGCGUCUGGCCAUAACUCCGACCAGUCGUCACCGUACCGUAACCUUAUCCUUUCGACCCUCCUAAAUCCAAAUCUGGGUUCAAAAUUCCCAAAAUAUUAACAAAAAUACCUCAAAAGCUCAAGAAACCUUUCGAUUUUCGGUCACCUAUCCUCAGAGGUGACUUCCUCAGCCAUCCACGGUGUUGAAAAACUCGAAUACAGGUUAGUUUGUUACUCCCUUUUCAUUUUGUUUUACUUUCGUAUGUGUAAAUAUGAUAAAAAUAAAAUAACAGUAGACCAAAAAUGAAACGAAGAUUUAGAAAAUAGCAGUAGAUGUAAACCUUUCGGGAUUUUUCUAAUUAUUUUGAGUUUUUCGAGUAUUCGAUCCCUUUUUUUAUUACAUUGAUUGAUGGGGCCUUUUAUAGCCGAUUUACAUGCUAUUUUUUGUUUGCUUUCGCUUUUGUUCUUGUUGAUUCUGUGUCUGUCUCUUUUUUGUUCUGUUUGCAGGUCUUGGCAAGGUCAACAGAUGUUGAAGGGAUAACCCCUGCCAUUUUCGUACAAGGCUGUAGACGCCUGUCAGGCUUCGGGCGACGAGUGCGCUAUAGGGGCACGAAGAGGGAGUGCGGCACACAUGGAGCACUAGGGUUUCUGUUUUCCUCUGAAAGCAGUUAGGUUGUGGGCUGAAUUGGGUUAGGUUUUCUUUUUUAUUUUGGGCCAUACCAGGCCUGGCAUGUAAUUAGGGUUUGGGUUUGUUAUUUGAGUUUUGGGCCCGGUCAAAAAUGGCCUAUUACAGCUGCCUAUCUUUGCUUAUUGUCGUGUAACGGGAAUGAAACAAAGACUUUAAAAGGGCCAAUUUUGCCCGGUCUUGCCGAGUCUUGACUCCUUUUAGUGUUUCUCUUUUCAAGUAGCUUCACUCUAUUCCACUGUGUCUUGUUGCUUCAAUACACUCCACUGUAACUUCAAAAAGAGAUACGACUUGUAGCUUCAAUCUACUCUGCCAUAAUUUCAGAAGGAUGAGAUUUAUGGUUUUAGUCUGCUCCACUAUAACGUCAGGGAGAUAAGACUUGUUGCUUCAACCUACUCUACUGCGACUUCAAGGAGAUAAGGUCUGUUAUGGUAGACUUAAUCUGACCUACUGCAACUUCAGAGGUAUAUGAUUCAUCGUUUUAAUCCGCUCCACUUCAACUUCAGGGAGAUAGGAUUAAUAGCUUCAAUCUACUCCACUACAACUUCAGAGAGAUAAGAUUUGUGGCUUUAAUCUGCUCCACUGCUCUACUGCAACUUCAGGGAGAUAAGGUUUGAUGUGAUCUGCUCUACUGCAACUUCAGGUUUCAAUCUGUUCCACUGCAGCUUUAAGGAAAUGAGAUUUAUAGUUUGUCUUCAAUCUACUCCACUACAACUUCAGGGAGAUAAGAUUGGUUUAUUUUUUAACCUGCUCCACUGCAACUUCAAGGAGAUAAGGUUUGAUGUGAUCUGCUCUACUGCAACUGCUCCACUACAACUUCAGGGAGAUAAGGUUUGAUGUGAUCUACUCUACUGCAACUUCAAAGAGAUAAGAUCUGUAAUUUAUAGCUUAAAUCUGUUCCACUACAACUUCAGGGAAAUGAGAUUUAUAGCCUGUCUUCAAUUUUCUCCUCUACAACUUUAGGGAGAUAAGAUUGGUUUAUUUUUUAACCUACUCCACUGCAACUUCAGAGAGAUAAGGUUUGUCAAGAUCUUCAAUCCAUCCCACUGCAACUUCAGAGGCAUAAAAUUUGCCGCUUCACUAAUCUAUUAUGCGGUGAACUUGACCUGUGGAAUCCAUUUCAUAGACCUAUUUAUGCCUAGUGAUUAGGAUGUCAUAAAUCAGAAUGAAUCAAAUGCUCCUAACUAGGUGUGUAUGAAUGAUAUUUGCAUGAAUGCAGAACAUCAUUUUUUGAGAAUAAUCCCUCUUUAAUGUUUGGGUUAUCAUUGCUCAUUGUUCAUCAAGGUUUUAUCGUUAAUGCAUUACCCUACCUUCUUGUUCAACUGGUGUCUUUAACAGAAAAUCCAAAGAAAUAGUCACAAUUUAGACUAUUCUUUUUCAAAUGUUUCCAACCCUCAGGUUUGGUUAGUUCUAAACAAUAAUCCUGUUUCGAGUCCUCGUAUCAUUUAGAAGCUUUCAGAGUAAUAUGCAGAACUUCUUUUGCUUGAAUAUUAUUGAUCCAUUAAUUAUUAUUUCAAUGAAAAAUGCUUGGAAAGAAUUAUCACAAUGGACAAGAUGGAAUUUCAUUAGGAGCAAAGCUCGAACUGAAUGAAUUAAUCAAGAUAACAAGUUUUUUCCAAAAUUACAAAAUGAGAAUCAAGACAACGUAUUUUGCCAAAAUAAAAAAUGAAUGAAAUGGAAUAGGUGCCUUAGAUAUCGUAGUAUGAACUUCUCUGCACAAAGCCUUUGGAGGACCACUUUAAACUUGAUAGAUGUCCAGGAGGUCCGCAGUAUUUCGUUGAUGUCCCAAGACGCAUAAUCUCUCUUUCUUGUUAAUUCAAGCAUAGUAAAAAUUGUCGCAUGCCCCACCUUUGAUCACAAUUUGAAUUGCCCUUUUUCCCCAGGUUUUCAAUUCAAAACCCCUUUGGUCUCAAAGUGCCCUUCAUGGGUUUUCGCCUUGGCCUCUCCUCUUUUGUUUUAGGCGAGGUACUUUUUCAUUGAAUUCGAAUUCACAGGAUUAGGCAGGAUUUUUCCAUCCAUCUCAGUCAAAAUUAACGCUCCUCCAGAAAAGGCCUUCUUUACUACAUAAAGUCCCUCACAGUUUGGCAUCCACUUUCCUCUAAAGUCUUUUUGUAUGGGAAGGAUCUUCUUCAGUACCAAAUCCCCUUCAUGAAAUUCCCUAGGACGAACCUUCUUAUUGUAAGCUCGUAUCAUUUGCUUCUGGUACAUUUGACCAUGACGGAUAGCUCUCAACCUCUUUUCUUCGAUCAAGUUUAGCUGAUCAUAUCAAGAUUGGAUCCAUUAUGCUUCGUCUAACAUUAGUUCUGAAAAAACUCGGAGAGAGGGAAUUUCAACCUCAAUUGGCAGUACUGCCUCCAUUCCAUAAACCAAAGAGAAAGGCGUUGUCUCGGUAGAGGUCCUGACAGAUGUUCGAUAAGCAUAGAGGGCAAAUGGUAACUUCUCAUGCCAAUCUCUAUAAGUCUCAGUCAUUUUUCCCACAAUCUUCUUGAUGUUUUUAUUGGCUGCCUCCACUGCGCCAUUCAUUUUCAAGCGAUAUGGCGAUGAAUUGUGGUGCUUGAUCUUGAAUUGACUACAGACCUCCGCUAUCGUGUUGUUGUUCAAAUUCAAAGCGUUGUCAGAUUUAAUCCUUUCGGGUAUCCCAUACCGACAUAUGAUCUCCUUUUUUAGAAAUUUACUGACGGUCGAUUUUGUGAUGUUGGCGUAAGAAGUAGCUUCUACCCACUUAGUAAAGUAGUCAAUUACUACGAAGAUGAAUCGAUGCAUGUUUGAAGCUUUUGGUGAUAUUGGUCCAAUGACGUCCAUGCCCCACAUGGAAAAAGGCCAUGGAGAAGUCAUGACAUGAAGAGGUGAAUGAGGCACAUGAAUUUUGUCCCCAUAAAUCUGGCAUUUAUGGCAUUUCUUAGCAUACUUGAUGCAGUCCCUUUUCAUGGUGGACCAAUAAUAUUCGAAUCUCAUGAUUUGCCUGGUCAUUGUAAAACCAUUAACGUGUGUUCCAUAGACACCAUCAUGAACCUCUUCUAAGAUUUGCUUAGCCUCAAUAGCGUCCACGCAUCUUAGCAACACUUGAUCAUUUCCUCUUUUAUAUAGGAUCUCUCCAUCCAAGACGUAGUCAUUAACCUGCCUUCUUAACGUCCCCUUGUCAUCCUCGCUUUCUUGGUUUGGGUAUUCCUGACUCUUCAUGUAUUGUAAUAUAUCGCGAUACCAAGGGUGAUCACCCUUUUCCUCUUCUUUGUCGACAUUGCAACAGUGGGCUGGUGCUUCAUAAAUGCUCAUUCUGAUGGGCCUCACAUCCUUUGUUUAUUUACUUUGAUCAUAGAAACCAAAGUAGCCAAAGCGUCGGCCAUCUGGUUUUCUUCUAGCGAAAGGUAAGAGAAGGUGAUGUCAUCAAACUCGUCAAUUAGCCCUAUAACCAGCUUUCGGUAAUUGACUAAUUUGCGAUAUCUUAUCUCCCACUCCCCUUUGAGCUGAAAAACCACCAGUACAGAGUCCCCAUAUACCUCUAACACUUUAAUCUUAUGUUCCAUGGCUGUACGAAUCCCCAUAAUACAUGCUUCGUACUCGGCCAUAUUAUUUGUGCAAUCAAAACCCAAUUUACAGGUGAAUGGAUAAUGAUCUCCGCUUAGGGAUACCAAAACUGCCCUAAUUCCGUUGCCUACAGCAUUUGAAGCCCCGUCGAAGUUUAAUUUCCAAGCACCGCUUUCUUGAGUGUAUUUUUCAACAGUUCCCACAUACAUCAGAUCCUUAUUUAGGAGAUCAAAGUUCAAAGGCUCAUAGUCUUCUAGAGCUCGACUAGCUAGAAAAUCUACUAUCGCGCUUCCUUUUAUAGCUUUUUGAUUCACAUAGACUAUGUCAAAUUCAGACAGUAGAAUUUGCCAUCUGGUCAUCCUUCCAUUUAGAGCGGUUUACUCCAUCAUGUAUUUCAGAGGGUCUAGUUUCAAGAUUAACCAAGUCGUAUGGUACAACAUGUAUUGUCGCAACCUCCGAGUAGUCCAGAUUAAGGCGCAACAUAAUUUUUUGAUUGGGGAGUAUCUUGUCUCACAUUCGGUGAACUUCUUACUGAGAUAGUAUAUUGCUUUUUCUUUUCUUCCCAACUCAUCAUGUUGGCCGAGCACGAAUCCGAUGGAGUUUUCAAAUACUGUUAAAUAUAGUAUCAGGGGCUUGUCUGGGCAAGGCGGUGUUAGUACUGGAGCGUUGGACAAGUAAUACUUGAUCUUGUCAAAGGUUUUCUGGCACUCCUCGUCCCAUAUGCCCGGAUUAUGUUUCUUAAAGAGACGGAAGAUAGGGUCACAUUUUUCAGUUAACUGUGAAAUAAACCGAGCAAUGUAGUUUAGUCUUCUUAGAAAACCCCGGACUUCUUUCUGAGUGCGUGGUGAAGGCAAUUCUUGUAUGGCCUUGACUUUGUCUGGGUCAAUCUCAAUUCCCCUUUCACUGACUAAAAGUCCUAGCAACUUUCCUGAUCUAGCCCCGAAAGUGCAUUUGGCUGGGUUAAGUUUUAGCUGGAACUUCAUUAACCUUAGGAACAGUUUUCUCAAUACUUGCACAUGUUCUCCUUCUGUCCUAAACUUUACAAUCAUGUCAUCAACACAGACUUCUAUCUCUUUAUGCAUUAUAUCAUAGAACAAAGUUACCAUGGCUCUUUGGUACGUUGCCCCUGCAUUCUUUAAUCCGAAUGGCAUCACCUUAUAGCAAAAUGUUCUCCACAUAGUUACAAAUGUGGUCUUAUCCAUGUCUUCAGGAUGCAUUUUUAUCUGAUUAUACCCCGAGAAGCCAUCCAUGAAGGAGAAAAGUGAGUAACCUGCUAUGUUGUCCACCAGAGUGUCGAUAUGGGGUAACGGAAUAUUGUCUUUUGGACUAGCUUUGUUCAAAUCUCUAUAAUCUACGCACAUCCGUACCUUCCCAUCUUUCUUAGGGACAGAGACUAUGUUGGCUACCCAAUCCGAGUACUUGACCACUUGUAAGAACCCCGAGUCGAACUGCUUCUUGACCUCUUCUUUUAUUUUUAACAAAACAUCAGGCCUUAUUCUUCGUAGCUUCUGUUGCACCAGUUUACAUUCUUCUUUUAUGGGCUGUCGGUGUACUACAAUAUCAGUACUUAGGCCAGGAAUGUCUUGAUAGGUCCAUGCAAAGACAUCUUUAAACUCUUGAAGUAAUCCAACGAGGUCUCGUUUUGUUUCCUCAGUAACGCAAGCGCCAAACUUUACUUCUUUCUCUUCUUCUAAACCCACUACUUCCACGGAUUCCUUAUAAGGUAAGAUUUGUUUCUCUUCUUGCUCCACCAUUCUUAACAAAUCAGGAGAUAAUACGCUGUCUUGGUCAUCUUCAAAACCCUGACGAUCAUCCGUACUCAUGUCUUGUUCAAAUAGGGACUUUGAGUCAGUAACAGCGUCGCUCACAUCAUUGAUAUCUGAAGACCUGUUAUUGGGAGAAAGGAAGGUCCAAAGAAAGAAGAAUCUAAGCAUAAUUGUUUACACAGUAUGAUUAUAAAUUGAAUGAAAAGAAUAGAAGAAUAUUUGCUCAAAAUGAGACUGAAUGAUGUGUUUUCAUUGAAAUAAGAUUUUGGACAUGUGUCUUUUACAAAAUAUUCUUAUUGCCCCCAGGCUUAGGGCAACAAGUGUUCUAGAUAUUACUCUGAAUUAGUUCUAAAUGUUAUAGGGAUCUCUUCUGCAGUCUAGUUGUCUAGAACACUUCCAGGUUCGUAAGGGCGGAUGCCUGAUACACUUCCUUCUUCGAGUUCUUUUUUGAAUAUGGCAUUGAUGUUCAGGUUUUCUAACAUUUCCUCCGUAGUAUCCCUUCUUGGUGUCCUUCGUUCAGGAUAAAUAGUUCCCCCUGAUAUAAAGGUCCUAGAUAUGUGGGGGAAGGUCAUAGGUUCCCAAUCGACUUCUUUUCCACUCAAACGCGCCUUCCUCUUCUCUUGUCUUUUUUCUAACUCUUUCCUUCUUUACUUCGCAUUUGGCUUAGAUCCUAAACCAAAGCGGUCUCGUUUAUCUUUUAUCAUUGGUACCUCUAUCCUUCAUUGAAGACAUCUUCCGAAUCCUCUCCCAGACACUGCUCCUUUUCCAAUCGUCAUUUGCAGUCCCAUCCUCGUAGUUUUGGAUAUGCUAGGCAUCGUGAUCUUAUUCCCCUCAACAACAAAAGUUGCGUUCACGAAUUCUAAGGAUCAAAAGGAACAUUCAAUCGCCUCAUCAUUCGUUUCUAAAUAUGGUGUGUCGCUGGUUACCGAUGCAAUAAUGUCUUCUUUAGCGCUUAUAGUAACUAGUCGGCCUUCUAUUACCAAUUUCAACUUCUGGUGCGAUGAUGAAGGCACUGCUCUAGCUGAAUGAAUCCAAGCUCUUCCCAACAAGUAAUUAUACGAAGGUUUGAUAUCCGUCACUAGGAAAUCUACCUUGUAUGUAUUCGGGCCAAUCAAGAGAGGUAUUUCUAUUCUUCUCGUUACUUUUCUUUCAGUGCCAUCAAAUGCUCUCACUAUAUUCUGGCAUGAUUUCAUGUGAGAGUUAUGCAUCGGUAACCUGUUUAAGGUGGAUAAGGGUAAGACAUUCAAGGCCGAUCCAUUAUCAAUUAACACCACCGGAAACGUGUAUCCCUUGCAGCGAGUGGUGAUAUUUAGGGCUUUGGUGGCUCCUCUCCCCCCCCCCCGAUGAUAUUUCAUUAUCAUUAAAGAAGAUGAAGUUGUCGGCACUUAUAUUGUUAACCAAGCAGUCUAACUUGUUCACCGAGAUAUCGUUAGCGACAUAAGUUUCAUUUAGUACUUUUAUCAACGCAUUACGAUGUGUCUCUGAACUUAGAAGCAACUUAAGCACCAAGAUGCAAGCUGGUUGCUUAUGUAGUUGUUCCACCACGCUAUACUCACUGUGCUUUAAGAAUUUUAGAAAUUCUCUAGCCUCAUUUUUAGUUACCGGCUUGUUAACAUGCGAUUCAAUUCUAAUCGUUUUUGCUUCCCCUCGCUCAACCGCUAAGGUUUUUCCUUUUGUGGUUUCCACUCUUGCAUUUGUCGAAUCGUAGCAUUUUUCGCUUCGUGUAUAGAAGCCUAUAUCAUCACCCUUUUUUGAAGUAUUUAUUGGGUUCUCUUCUCCCGGGAUCGUCACGUUGCACUCGUAAUUCCAAGAAACCCAUUUGCUAUUCUUAUAAAGAAAUUAUAUGGGUUUUUAGAUUAUGACCCUUGGCGCUAUUUCUAUUCCAGAUUCUGUGCUCCUUGGCCUUGAAAUAAUCACCACUGAGUGAUUAACCCUUUGGGCUUCCCCGUAGAUUCUUCCUCCGAGGUGUAAAUUUCCCCUUCUUCUAAUCCUUCAACCUUUUCAUAAAACUUCAACUCUUUGUUAUCCAUUAAGUUUUGCAUCAUGGUUCUGAACUCGGUGCAUUUUUAAGUGUCAUGGCCCUCUUCAGCAUGGAACUCGCAAUACUUCAUCGUCCCUUUGGGCCUCUCCGUUGAAUCUUGCUUGAUAAAACCUCCCUCUAUCAUUCGUUUCCAAACCCAUUUCAACGGGGUUUUUAUCUCUGCUACGUCAGCUUUAACUCUCCUUCCCCACUCUCGAUUAUUGCGUUUACCUCUUUAUCAGAAUGAUUGGUUAACGGAUUCCCUGCUACAUUUGGUUCUGGUGGGUCGUCAAACUUUACAAUCCCCAUCUUAAUGAAUCUUUCCACCAUCUUCUUAAACGCAGUGCAGUUCUCAAUCGAGUGUCCCGUUAUCCCUGCUUAGUAUUCACAUUGGGUAUUCACGUCGUACCAUUUAGGGUAUGAAGGUUGCAUGGGUUUCAGAUAAAAUGGAGACACGACGUGUGCAUCGAAUAGAUUCUAAUACAGUUCUCUAUACGUCAUUGAGAUACGUGUGAAUUGGGGUCUUUCUACAUUCGACCUUGGAUGGGAUUCCUGCCUUAAAAAGCCUUGAUGGCUAGUGGUUAUUGCUCUUGCUUGUCCCACCGUGAUUGGUUUAGAAUAGCCUUUGUUAAACAUACUUGCAUUGUUUAUCUCGUGCUCUUUCUUUCUUGGGGCUGACCUCUUGGCACUUUCCCCCGCUUCUAUCUUGCCGCAUAUUAUUGUAUUCUCUAUCAUUUCUCCAGACAUCACUAUGUCUGAAAAGCUUUUAGUGGCGCUGUCUAACAUGUGAUUGAUGAACAGAGCCUUCAAAGUAUUGAUGAAAAGCAUGGUUGUCUCUUUCUCCAGAAGUGGUGGUUAGACUUGCAUUGCUAUUUCUCUCCAUCUUUGGGCGUACUGUCUGAAGCUCUCACUAGGCUUCUUUUCCAUGUUCUGUAAUGUAAUUCGACCGGGUGCUAUAUCCUUCACAUGACUGUACUGCUUCAUAAAAGUCUGUGCCAAGUCCUUCCAUAAAUUGACUUUAGUCUGGCUCAAUUGGUUGUACCAUUUAGCCGCCGACCCGAUCAAGCUGUCUUGGAAAUAGUGCAUCAAUGUUGAUCAUUAUUGAUGUAUCCUGUUAUCCUUCGACAGAACAUAGUGAUAUGAGCUUCAGGACAGCUAGUCCCGUUAUACUUUUUAAACUUUGGCAUUUUGAACUUAGGUGGAAGCACCAGAUCAGGAACCAAACUCAAGCCUUUGGCGUCAAUUCCACAAUGGUAGUCGGCGUUCUCCAUGGCUCUAAAUUUCUCCUCUAUCCAUCUACACGAUCCUCAAGUUGUUUUGGCAAGUCCAUUCUUACCUUUUCUAUUUCUGCCACGUCAUCGAGAUCAGGGACCACGGGAUUGGUAGGGUUAUCCCCGGGAUUAGAACCCGAGCUUAUUGGAAAGUUCAUUGACACUAGGGCCCCAACCUGAUAUUGGGAUCUGAUAGUGACAGGUACCCUUCAUGGGUACACGUCCGGUUGCGCUUAGAUGUUAGUUAGGGUAAAACCUGGAGGAUAGGCAGGGUCUUCAUGAUCAUCCCCAGAAUUGACCACAGGGCUCUUCCCUUUAUCAUUUUCUCCAGCCAUUAACUGUGUUAACUAGCUCAAUAAAUUUCUUUGGGAUUCUUACAUGUCUUGUUGCAUUUUAGCUAGUUUUUCCUGCAUCUGAACUUGCAUCUCUUUUCACAAUUGUUCCAAUCUUUCUAAUAUCUGAUCCAUUACUUUUGUCUUGCGGCGGGUACCGUAGUGAUAUAUAGUUGGCUGAUUUUUGUUGGUUUCCAAGGUAACUGUCAUAAUUUUAAUUAAUUAGGGCUCUUUUUUGAAACUUUAAUGCAUAUGAUGAGAUGUAAUGCAAAUGAAUCAAAGCAAAAAGAGGCAUUGAUUCUAAUUCAAUUUCAUUAGAAAAACUCGAUUAGAAAACAAAUUUCUUUACAUAAAAUGGAUUACAUAUAUGGCUUCGCCUUUAUACUCAAAGCCUUAACCCUCUUAAGGAGCCAAGCUAACUCUCAACCUCGGCUUGAUUCUGAUUCAUAUUUUAAACUCAAUACAUCAGCCUGAACUGCUAAGGUUUGCAGAUGAUCAGCUACUUCCUGCACUUAAGUUACAACUUCACCCAUAAUGUAAUCUUUAUCUCUAAUCUGACUUUGGGAAUGAUGGAGCUGUUCUUGCCACUGUUCGUUACGCCUCUCAAGAAGUUCCACUCGUAAUUCAGAGUUUUGCAAUGCGUCUUCGAGCUUUUCUAUUUUCCCCUUCAAUUUUUCGAUCUUUCCUAAACUUGCUCUUAACUUGAUCAUUGAGUUGCGACUACGGUACAGGUGAAGCGACUUUUCUAACUAUACUACCCGAGCUUUUAAUCUCGCUUCUUCAUUUCAACAUUCUAACAAGUUUUUCUCUAAAGCUCUCUCUCGAGCUUGGGCGUCUUAAAAUUUCUUUUCCCACUGAUCAGCCAUGGUCUUUUCUUCCUUGAUCUCCUGUCGCCAUUACUCCGACGUUUUACCUAAACCGACAGUUCUUAUUGACAAACGCAGCUUCUUAUAAUCUAUUUUUAGACUAUCUAAAUCCUCUUCAGCCUUGUUCUUCCCUUUCCUUAAUUUUUCGAUUUUUAACUUGUGGAUAUCGACAUCUAGUCCCAAACGCAUCUUUUCCUCUUCUAGCUGCUCUAUCUUCUUUCCUAACUCUGAACUUCUUUUUUCAAAGUCCUGUUUGAUGAUCUCUAAUUCUGAUGGAACUUCUUGUAGAUGGUCCUCUAUAGAUCGAAUGCAUUCUUUUCUCGACCCGGAGAUGUUGUUAUUGACCCUCUUACUCCAACACCCAUAAUAUUCGAAAGUUGUCAUUGCUCUUACGGUAAAUCUUUUCAUCCGGUGAACUUGUUUCCAAGCGCUAAACAUUUCUCGAAUCUUUCUCUUGUAGUUAUCACCCUUAUAAGAAAACUCACACUGAGUCAGCCCUUAUGUUGUCGGUAUGAACUAUCUUGAUUUAUAUUGUCUUAAUACGAGCAAAGGGGUAUAUUCGACAGCUCUCCAAAUUCUAAGUAAAAGGACCAAGUCGAAGUUUUCACAUCGAUAUAGGAUAUCGUCGGGCACCAUCCAAUGAGCUUUCCAUUCAACAUCUUUCUCUUGAAGAGUUUGGAGAAUCACCAUCCAUUUCUCUUCUGUGAUGUCGUUUCAUCUUGGUGUAGCCACUAGUUCCUUUAAUGGGGAGUAGUUUUCUAAGAAUACCCAAUAGGAGACCUUUUUCCACUUUCCAAAAGUGUCUAUGGAACCACACCAAUAAUAGUUGCGCGCAUCCGAUGAACCUUCCUUCACCCGCUCUUCGACACGCAUUUAGAGAUCUAAAAGUUUCAGCCAAUAUUGCUGAGACCGGUGUGACCCCCUUGUCAAGCCUAUCAAACAGAUCUGAAACUGCUUCAUCCACAUGCCCUAAUGCCUUGGGGAAAAUAACUAAACCAUAAAUGCUCAAGACAAAGAUAUCAACUCACUUGGUGCAAAAAUCAUGAAAAACCAGCUUGAAUAAACCCUUAGGACGUUUUUGGCUGAUGAGAAUGCAGAAAAAUAAAGAGAAAUCUAGAUAAUUCCACUUUAGUCCUAACUUUUAAAGUAAAUUUUUGCAAUAUUCUAAUUUUACCCUUAAUUCUCCAAUUCUCCUUAUUUUUCUCAGCUUGUGCCGCCCAAAAUAUCUUCUUUUGGGCUUAUUUACAAUUUAUGUCCCUCCUUAUUUAACAAUGGAGCUAUUUAAUCCUUCUAGUAACUUUUACACCUUUUUUAAUUUAGUCCUUUUCACUUAAUUGACUGCCCAAACAUUAAAAUUUUCUAACGAAAUUUUAAUACCAUAUUACUAACAUUUCAUAAAUAUUUAUAAAAAUAUUUUUGACUUGGUUUUAUGAGAUCGAUGUCUCGAUACCUUGUUUUUACCCAAUUUCUUCAAUAAUUUCUUUUUCUAACUAACCACUAAAUCGGUAAAAUUUUUCUAUCGAUAUUUUCAUACGAUUUUCUAUCAUAUCAAUAUUCAUGCAAAAAUAUUAAAAUAAAUUUCUUUUAAAAUCGGAUUUUUGGUUAUGAAACCACUGUUUCGAUAACCUUGAAUUUAGGCCAUUACAACUCUCCCCCCUUAGGGAUUUUCGUCCUCAAAAAUCUUACCAGUAAAGAGGUUCGGGUAUUGUUUCCUCAUUGCCUCCUCUGAUUCCCAUGUCGCUUCCUUAAUCCCGUGCUUUUUCCAUAAUACUUUCACCAAAUUUAUCUUUUUAUUUCUAAGCUCAUUUAUUUCCCGUGCUAAUAUCUUAACCGGUUCUUCACUAUAAGUCAUAUCCGGCUGAAUCUCCACUUCUGUCAGAGAAAUAACAUGUGAAGGAUCUGAUCGAUACCGUCGUAGCAUAGACACAUGAAAAACAUUAUGAAUUCUAUCGAGUUCCGGUGGUAAUGCCAAUCGAUAAGCGACCGCGAGUUCCGGUGGUAAUGCCAAUCGAUAAGCGACCGGUCUAAUUCUUUCUAUAAUUUCAUAUGGCCCAAUAAAUCUUGGACUCAACUUACCCUUUUGACCGAAUUGGAGAACUUUUUUCCAAGGAGACACUUUUUUGGAAUACCUUAUCACCCACCUAAAAUUCAAUCUCUUUUCGUUUAAGAUCAGCAUAUGGCUUUUGACGAUCGAAAGCUGCUUUUAGACUAUCUCGAAUCAUCUUGACUUUUUCUUCUAUUUCCCGGAUCAAAUCAACCCCAUGUAUCUUCUUUUCACUAAGCUCUGUCCAAUAUAAUGGUGUUCUACAUUUUCUACCAUACAAAGCUUCAUACGGAGCCAUUUUAAUACUGGACUAAUAACUGUUAUUAUAAGCAAAUUCAAUCAAAGGUAGAUACCUCUCCCAAUUACCUUCUAACUCUAAUAUACAACAUCGGAGCAUAUCUUCCAAUACCUGAAUUACACGCUCAGAUUGGCCAUCUGUCUGAGGAUGAAAUGCAGUGCUGAAAUACAAUUGAGUACCCAAGGCUUCUUGCAAUUUGUCCCAGAAACGAGAUGUAAAUCGGGGAUCUAUAUCUGAUAUAAUAGAUAUUGGCACUCCAUGUAGCUUGACAAUCUCAGAUAUAUACAGUUCAGCCAAUUUAUCUAAAAAAUAAUCCAUAAGUACUGGGAUAAAAUGUGCUGAUUUUGUUAAUCGAUCAACGAUCACCCAAAUGGCAUCUUUCUUAUUCGGUGACAAUGGUAACCCAAAUACAAAAUUCAUAGUAAUUCUUUCCCACUUUUAUUCCGGUAUAGUGAUUGGCUGAAGUAACCCCGAAGGUACCUGAUGUUCAACUUUAACCUGCUGACAUAUUAGGCACUUUGAUACAAACUCAGAAAUAUCACGUUUCAUACCUGGCCACCAGUACAUCUUCUUCAAAUCAUUAUACAUUUUAUUACCUCCCAGAUGUACGGACAUAAUACCACUGUGUGCCUCGUGUAAAAUCUUCUGUACAAGCUCUGAAUUCUUCGGUACACAUACUCUGCCUCUGAAUAAUAAACAACCAUCAGUCCCAAUUUGAAAUUCUGAAUCAUUACCUGACUCACAUUGUACCCAUUUAGCCUGUAGCUUUUCAUCAUUUUUCCGAGCUUCAUAUAUUUGUUGUAGAAAUGUCGUUUAACUCUCAACUCAGCUAUGACUGAACCAUUAUCAACCAAAGACAAUCGGGUAUUCAUAGCUCGCAAAGCAAACAAAGAUUUUUGACUCAGAGCAUCAGCUACAACAUUAGCCUUACCCAGAUGGUAAUCAAUAACCAAAUCAUAGUCUUUUAUCAGUUCAAGCCACCUGCGCUGUCUCAAAUUCAAAUCUUUCUGUGUCAUCAAAUAUUUCAGGCUUUUAUGAUCAGUAUAAAUAUGACAUUUUUCACCAUACAAAUAAUACCGCCAUAUUUUCAAUGCAAAUACAAUAGCAGCAACUUAGAGAUCAUGUACCGGGUAAUUUCUUUCAUGUGGCUUAAGUUGUCUUGAAGCAUAGGCUAUUACUUUACCUUCUUGCAUCAAGACACAGCCUAAACCAUUUAAUGAUGCAUCACUAUAAAUAAUAAAUUCUUUACUCGGUUCAGGUUGUACCAACACAGGUGUUUUCGUCAACAAAUCUUUCAAUCGGUCAAAACUCUGCUGGCAUUUAUCAGUCCACUCAAAUUUAACAUCUUUCUGUAAUAAACGAGUUAUCGAAGAAGCUAUCAUAGAGAACCCCUGUACAAAUCUCCGAUAAUAACUGGCUAAACCCAAGAAACUUCUAACUUCAGAUACAUUCUUCGGUGGACUCCAAUUGACAAUAGCUGAGAUUUUACUCAAAUCUACCUUGAUGCCUUCUGCGGAUACAAUAUGUCCAAGAAAACCCACUUCUCGAAGCCAAAAUUCACAUUUACUGAAUUUAGCAUAUAGCUACUUCUCUCGCAGAAUUUGCAACACAAUUCUCAAAUGUUCUGCAUGCUCAUUUUCAUCUUGGGAAUAGACCAAGAUAUCAUCAAUAAAAACUACCACAAACCUGUCUAAGUACGGUCUAAAUAUCCGAUUCAUCAGGUCCAUAAAUACUGCAGGUGCAUUAGUCAGCCCAAACGGCAUAACAAGAAACUCAUAAUGCCCGUACCUGAUUCUAAAAGUUGUUUUCGAUACAUCUAACUCCUUUACCCGUAACUGAUAGUAGCCCAAUCGGAGAUCAAUCUUUAAAAAUACAGUGGCACCCUUCAACUGGUCAAACAGAUCGUCAAUCCGAGGCAAUGGGUACUUAUUCUUUAUAGUGACUUUAUUAAGUUGUCAGUAAUCAAUACAUAAUCUUAAGGACAUGUCCUUCUUUUUCAUAAAUAAAACUGGAGCACCCUAAAGUGAAUGACUUGGUCAGACAAAACCCCUGUCAACAAGUUCUUGCAACUGUGUCUUUAACUCCUUUAAUUCUGUAAGAGCCAUACGAUACGGAGCUAUAGAGAUUGGAGUAGUUCCCGGAAUCAGAUCUAUAGAAAAUUCCACUUCUCUUUCUGGUGGCAACCCUAGUAAUUCCUCUAGAAACACAUCAAAAAAUUCACAUACAAUUGGCACUGCCUGUAUAUUUAAUUGGCACUGCCUGUAUCUUUAACUCAGAUACCUUAGUGUUUAACACAUAUGCCAAAUAAGCAUCAUACCCUUUUCUGACACACCUCUGAGCUGUCAUAACCGAAAUCACAUUAGAUAAUUCUUCUGUCUGAUCAAAUUUAACCCGAAGUAAUUCUCUAUUCUAACACUUCAGCAUAAUAUAUUUCUGUCUACAAUUUACUACUGCAUCAUGCUGAGUUAGCCAAUCCAUACCCAAUAUCACAUUGAACUCAUCAAAAGGCAAUAACAUCAAGUCAACAGGAAAACAAAUACCUUUUACCAUCAGUGGACAAUUUUUACAAACUUUAUCCACCAUCAUAAACUGGCCCAGUAGGUUCGAGACUUUAACCACAAAUUCAGUAAGUUCAACAGAUAAAUUUUUAACAAAUACUAAUUUUGUGCAUAUGUAUGAAUGUGUAGAGCCAGGAUCAAUUAAUACAGUAAUAUCAGUAUCAAGUAAAGAAAAUGUACCAGUAAUAACAUCGGGUGCUGAGGCAUCUUCUCUAGCACGGAUGGCAUAUGUCCUAACAGGUGCUCGUGCCUCAGACCUGCCUGCAGUCUCUUUCGUAACUCCUCAGCUACCACUAACAUUACCAGAUGGUCGAGGUGGUCUACCCCUCGAAACUGGAUUACUCGGCUUCGAUGUAUGUUUAGCUUCUUUUUCACCCCUUUCUAGACAAUCUCUGAGGAAAUGAUCGGAAGAACCACAUCGAUAACAAGCCCCACUCUUUAAUCGACAUUCACCAAAAUGAGUUUUAUUACAGUACUGACAUCUCGGCUUAGGGGUACCAACACUACCAGCACUGGUCACUGAUGGAGUGGAAGGUCUUGGAUUAGUGCGUUGAAAACCUCGCUCUCUAAUCGAAUACCCACUGGCUGAGGUUGAACGAUCCUGGUAUUUCUUCAAUUUCUUUAAAGUAAAAAACUGGGAUUUUUCCAUAGAUGUUUUACUGAAAACCCGAGCUUCUCUUUCAGCUUGUUUCUUUUCUUUGCUCAAUUUUUUUGCUUUAUAAGCUCACUCUGCAAGGGUAGUAAACUCUCGAAUUUCAAGAAUUCCGAUCAAUAGCUUAAUUUUUUCAUCCAACCCUUCUUCAAAUCUUUUGCAUAUUCCAGCUUCUGAUUGUACCCAUUCCCAAGCAUAUUUACUCAAUCGGACAAAUUCUCUUUCAUACUCAGAUACUGAUCUGUUAUCCUGUUUCAGCUAAAAAAAUUCUUUUCUCUUCCGAUCGAGGAACCUCUGACUGAUAUAUUUCUUUCUGAACUCGGUCUAAAAGAAUUCUCAUUUAAUUUCUUCUUUUGGAACCACCGAAGCUUUAGUGUUUCACCAAUGAUAAGCUGUGUCUUUUAACAAUGAUACUGCACAUUUCAGACACUCUUCUGGCGUGCAAGAUAAUUCCUCCAAAACCCGAGUAGUAUUCUCUAACCAAAACUCAGCCCGUUUGGGAUCAUCAUCAACUGCAGCUCUGAAUUCUUCUGCCACAUAUUUUCUGAUUUUAUCAACCGGAGCUUUCCCUUUUUUGCUAGGUUCAAUACCUGUACCCUGUGAAAUCUCGGGAAUCGGUGGAGGAGGAGGAGGAGGAGGAGGAGCUUGAGCUUGCUGCACUAUAGGGUUAGUUUUUAUAUAUUGAGUAAAUCAUUCAUUCAUCAUUUGAUAGAAGGCAAUUUUAGCCUCUUCACUUUGGUCCCUUAUCUCGGACCUUCUACUACUAGUAGCUUCAACUUCUCUUUGUUCUGAAGCCGGAGCAUGACUCUCGGCUUCCUUGGGUUGAACUUGGUCGGCAGACAUUUACUAUAAGAAAAUCACAUUUCAAAUGGUCAGGAGAUAUCACACUAUCAAUAAGAAUUUAAAUCCCAUGUAUAGCUAAUCCAGUAUUUUCUACAUCGGUCCGAGAACUGACUAAAUCGUAGCUCUGAUACCAACAAAAUGUAACACCCCUUAACCAUAUCCGUCGUUGAAAUAGGGUACGAAGCAUUAUCAGAUUUUAUCGAAUUAAUUUUCUAUUAUUACGAGUUAAAUACUAUUCAUUUAUCGAAACAUGUCAUGACGUCCCUUGAAUGGGCCUCCGAAGCCCAAAACAUACAUCGAGACCAAACCGGGAUUAAAUCGAAACCAUAAGAAAUUUUUCGCAAAAUCCCAAAGUUUUUUUUUUAAAACUCAAUACAACCCCUUUAUAAAUAUCUAAUCUUCCCUGCAAUUUUAAACCAAGACCAAUCCAACACAACCAAUCCAUUUCAACAUACUUUCAAAAUAGAUUUAACAUAUUCAUAAGAUAACCUCAUCACAUACCAAAACCAAAAUUUGUUAGCCAUACCAAUGGCUAACCAUUCAUUCAUUUCACAUUAACAUUUACUUUACUAGCUUAUACAUGCCAUUGAUUUCUAAAAUAAAGUUUCUUUAUAUACCGAGAUCUUGAGGUUGAUAGUGUGAUGCGUCUCCGACCAAAUCCGACCUCCGAGCUCUUAACACUACAAAACAGGGGAAAAGGAAACAGGGUAAGCACUUUGUGCUUAGUAAGCUCAUGUAAUAAGAAUUAUACUUACCUAAUAUUUUCAAUACAAUACAAUACAAUACAAUAAACAUUCAUACAUCCAUUCAAUGCAUUAUUCCCCUAACAUGCACGAACUCAACAUUCAAGUUAGUUCAGUAAUUUCCAUGUAUCAAUAAUAUAUAUAUCACGAUUGAUAAGCUCAUCAAUUCCAUGAUUUCCAUUCCCUUGUUAUUUUUCCAUAUUUAUCCCGUUGAACUACUUGGAAUUUCGAUGGAUUUUCAGGGGUACACCUAAGUGUACAAAUCUGGGUUCGUCAAUUCAUAUUCAUGUGCGCACAUUUUCAUUUCAGAGAGCACACUCCCGUGAACCUCAUCCUUACAGCGGGAUUACCAGUCCAGGCUAAAUCCCCUGUAAUAUAAACUCAUAGAAUAUUGUCGGGAUUACCAGUCCAGGCUAAAUCCCCUGCAACGACAAUUACUCUAAUGAGCUUGGAUUUGAAUUACCAGUCCAAGCUAAAUUUAGACCCUAAUUUGGAAUACCCGUCCGGGCUAAAUUCAUUUUCCACAUAUUCUUUGAGAGGGCUGUAUCAGAAUAGGAUCACCCAUCCGGGCUAGAUCCUUUUUACCGUCAAUUCCUUUUCAGAGAUCCAUCGAAUUUUCCUUUCAUUCAACCGGGAUUUAUUUUCUCUUUUCAUCAAGAAUAUCAAUACUUCUUCAAUUAUCAUACAAUAAACAUCCAAAUCAUAUUCACAUCAAGAAAAAUAUAUUUCAAGCAUUUAAGAAUAUAAUUCAAGUUACACGAACUUACCUCGAUACUUGUUCGUAAAUAAAAAUCUACUAAUUCCAAACUUUUUCUUUUCCUCGAUCUAGCUUUGUAUUUGAAUUUUCUAGAUCUAAAUAAAUAAAUUUAAUCAUUAAUCUAAUACAUUUCAUGUUCAUAUGUAACAUUCUCUAUAAUUCCAUUAUUAUUUAUAGUUCAUUCAAAGCUGUCUCAUUGAGUCAUAGUCGCUAAAUUAUUUAUAUCUUGAGCUACGGAAUUCCAAAUUAAGAUCUGCUAAUUUUUCCCAAAACUAGACUCACAUAUCUUCUUACCAUAAAAUUUUCAGAAUUUUUAGUUCAGCCAAUAAGUACAGUUUAUUCUUUAAAGUUUCCCUUGUUUCACAGUUCAACAGUUUCGCCCCCUCUUCACUAAAAAUUAAUUAUCUCAUUGUACAGAAUUUGGAUGAUGUUUCCAUUUAUUUAUUCUAAAAAUAGACUCAUUAAGGAUUCUAAGCAUAUAAAUUAUAACUCAUAAUAAUUUUUUUACAAUUUUUAAUGAUUUUCCAAAGUCAGAACAGGGGAACCCGAAUUCAUUCUGACCUUGUCUCACAAAACCUAUUAUAUCUCAUUAUUUACAAUUCCAUUGACUACACUAUUUCUUCUAUAAGAAACUAGACUCAAUAAGCUUUAAUUCUAUAUUUUUUUCAUCCUCUAAUUCAAUUUACAAAAUUUAUGGUGAUUUUUCAAAGUUAACCUACGCAGCUGUCCAAACUGUUUUAAUGCAUGAUAUUAAUUACCAUUUUCCCCUAAGCUUUCAAUAAAUGAUAAUUUCAUCCUUACUCAAUUAACCUCUCAAUUGAGCUGAUUUUUCUCAAUUAACACAUUAUUCCAUCACUUUAAAGUACUUUAUAACCUUUGGAAAUCAGAAUUUUAGCACUAGACUUUAAUUCCAAACUUUUUCACAAUUAGGUCCUACAAAUCAAUUUUUAUUGAAAUUACCUAAUAAAAUCAUCUCAUAAACAAAUUAAAGCUUUAAUUUCAUGCUAUAUCAUCAUAUAUUUCCAGCACAUAUUCAUAGCAACUUUCAAUUUAGUAAUAGGACCUAGUUGUAAAAGUCUUAGGAACAUAAAAAUUACAAGAAAAAAAGCAAGGAUUAACUCACUUGGUGAAAAAAUCAUGAAAAACCAGCUUGAAUAAACCCUUAGGACAUUUUUGGCUGAUGAGAAUGCAGAAAAAUAAAGAGAAAUCUAGAUAAUUCCACUUUAGUCCUAACUUUUAAAGUGAAUUUUUGCAAUAUUCCAAUUUUACCCUUAAUUCUCCAAUUCUCCUGAUUUUUCUCAGCUUGUGCCGCCCAAAAUAUCUUCUUUUGGGCUUAUUUCAAUUUAUGUCCCUCCUCAUUUAACAAUUGAGCUAUUUAAUCCUUCUAGUAACUUUUACACCUUUUUCAAUUUAGUCCUUUUCACUUAAUUGACUGCCCAAACAUUAAAAUUUUCUAACAAAAUUUUAAUAUCAUAUUAAUAACAUUUCAUAAAUAUUUAUAAAAAUAUUUUUGACUCAGUUUUACGAGAUUGAGGUCUCGAUACCUUAUUUUUACCCAAUUUCUUCAAUAAUUUCUUUUUCUAACUAACCACUAAAUCGGUAAAAUUUUUCUAUCGAUAUUUUCAUACGAUUUUUCUAUCAUAUCAAUAUUCAUGCAAAAAUAUUAAAAUAAAUUUCUCUUUAAAUCAGAUUUGUGGUUACGAAACCACUGUUCCGAUAACCUUGAAUUUAGGCCAUUACAACUCCGACCAGUCGUCACCGCGCCGGCCGCCGGUCACCAAUGACGGCGCCGCCGUAUUCGGUGGCUGAAAAAAGGUAAAACCUCCAACCCUAUCCUUUCGACCCUCCUAAAUCCAAAUCUGGGUUCAAAAUUCCCAAAAUAUUAACAAAAACGCCCCAAAAGCUCAAGAAACCUUUCAGUUUUCGGCCACCUAUCCUCGAAGGUGACUUCCUCAGCCGUCCACGGCGUUGAAAAACCCAAAUACAGGUUAGUUUGUUACUCCAUUUUUCCUUUUGUUUUACUUUCGUAUGUGUAAAUAUGAUAAAAAUAAAAUAACAGUAGACCAAAAAUGAAACGAAGAUUUAGAAAAUAGCAGUAGAUGUAAACCUUUCGAGAUUUUUCUAUUGAUUUUGAGUUCUCUGAGUAUUCAAUCCCUUUUUUUAUUACAUUUAUUGAUGGGGCCUUUUAUAGCCGAUUUACAUGUUUUUUUUUCUUUCGCUUCUGUUCUUGUUGCUUCUGUGUUUGUCUAUUUUCUGUCCUGUUUGCAGGUCUUGGCAAGGUCAACAGACAUUGAAGGGAUAACCCCUGCCAUUUUGGUGCAAGGCCGUAGACGCCUGUCAGGCUUUGGGCGAUGAGUGCGCUGCAGGGGCACGAAGAGGGAGUGCGGCGCACAUGGAGCACUAGGGUUUCAGUUUUCCCCUGAAAGCAGUUUGGUUGUGGGCUGAAUUGGGUUAGGUUUUUUUAUUUUGGGCCAUACCAGGCUUGGCAUGUAAUUGGGGUUUGGGUUUGUUAUUGAGUUUUGGGCCCGGGCAAAAAUGGCCUAUUACACAAAUAAUAAAAAUUAAAAUCAAAUCAUCAUAUUUAUUAUAUUAGUCUAAAAAGCAACUGAUAAUAUAAUUGCUAAUAAAAGCUAAAAGAAAAAUCAACAUUGUAUGCAAUUUUAUCUAAUUAUUCUAGUGCAUAUUUGUUGCUUUAUUCCCUCUUCAAAAUUUAACAUAUGCUCCUUAUUAUCGUCUGUUGGUUUUUGAUCAAAUUCGUCAUCACCAAAAUUUGAAUUUGUAUCAUUAAGAUUAUCAAGAUUUCCUUCUUUCAUGUACUCUUUGAAGUAUGGAUCAUCUUGAUUCUACUUAUAAUUCAAGUUAUGAAAUAUGCAAUAUGCUAGUGUCAUGGGGUUAGACCUUUCAUCUCGCAAAUUGUGUGGCCUUAGACAAUUUCUUCGCUUCAAAUGUGUCUAAGUCAGCCUAACUUUCGCAAAGUGAGAAUUCUCGCAGAAUUCCUCUCUAAGGCAUUGAAAAUAUAGUGGAAGCAAUCUCAAAGACAAAAGAAAGCUAAAAAAAAACAUAAUAGCCACAAAAAAAGUAAAAGUACACCAAGUUAAAUGUUCUCAAUUAGUAUUUACUAAUAAAAAAAUGAAAUACAAUGGAUGAUUACAAAUUAGGGGAGGCUCUCUAUUUAUAGUUGAGUUCUCCCAAAACGGAAGAUAUAGAUUGAGUUACAUCGACGGAUGAGAUCGAAGCAUAUCUACAAUUAAGAGAUAAUCCCCAAGAUUACAAAAUUAAAUCUUAUCAUAUUACAAAUCUUCUAAGAUUUAUUUCCCUAUUUACCAAGGUAACCCUAAUUUUCCAUAAGUGCUUUGUUAGGCCACCAAGGCUUUAAGUAGAUGGGUUUCGUCACUUGUUCUUCAAAUUGGACCAAUUCAAGUGGGUUAAAUGAGGCCUAUUUUAUAUGUAGACCUCAAUAGGAUGCUCUUUGUGCCUUGGUCACGAGCUUUGAACCGUGGCCUGUGACACUAGUAUGAUCCAAUCUUUUUUUUUUAAAUGUUAUAUAAAUAUGAAAAAUAUUUUUUUUAGAAUAACAAAUGUCUUCUCAACUAAAAUUUGAAGUAGUGGUGGAUCCUAGGACAAAGUUUUGGGGUCAAAAAGAUCUUAGGAGUUUAAUAAGGAUUUUUUUUAAAAAAAUUUGGGAACUAAUUAAAUUUUUUUGAGAUUGAUGAGAAUUUUCAAAAUUUUGAGGGGGUGUGAUUAAAAUUUUCUAACAAUUUCAAGAGAGAAAUGAACAAAAAAAAAAAAUUUCUUCCUUUUCUUCUAUGUUGCAUCCAUUGAAAUGAGCAAAAAGGAAUAAAUCAAUUUUGAUUUUAGGGUUCCAAAUCUUAAAUGAAAGUAAGAGUUUGAAAACACAAAAUAUUAAUUUCCUUACUACAGGUUGAAAUUACGUGGAAUUAUUAUAAUUAGGUACCAAAAUGAAAAAGAAACCAUACCAAUAUUUCGUUAACAAAUUAAUAAAGAGUGGUUAAAAGAUAACCAAAUGAUAAUAUUAAUGAUGAAAGUGAAAGUUUUUUCGUAGUUCGAUGAUCAAAAUAAGAAAUGCUAAUAAUUAAGUUUGGAAGUAAUAAUAUUUAUAUGAUAAUAAUAAAUUUCAAAAGAAAAUUAUUUUUAAAAAAAUUGUAAUUAUAACAAUUUAAAUAUAUAUAAAAAAAGCAUCCAACAAAUAUAUCGAAAUAUUGCAAUAAAAGGAUGAAGAAAUCAUAAUAUAACCAUACAUGAAUUAGAAAUCAUUUUAUUUCAAAUAUAAAUGAAAUUUGAUAAUGAAAUAAAUUAAAUUAAACAAAUUAUAAAGUAAGAUAUGAAUAUAUAUAUAUAUAAGUUGUGAAAAAUUUUAAAAUAAAAUAAAAAAUUGUUCUAGAAAUCAUUGACUCUCACGUUCCACCCUCUUUUAUUUAUUAAUUAAUUAUAUUUUUUACUCUUCCACGGUCCUUUAUUUUUUGAAAGGAAAUCUCAUUUGGCUUGACACAAAAGUCAUACAUAAUAUUUGUUGUAUAUAGACUUAUUUCAAAUGUUUGAAUUUUCCAAAAACACACACACACAAAGUCGAUGUGGAAUUAAAAUUUUGGUGCCAAGGUCCACUACAUUUUCCACAACCACUAUAAUUAGACUAGAAUUAUCUCUCCGCGUACACUUGGGUUUAAAAUUUUUAAUUAAAAUUUAUUAUAAUCUUAACAUAGAAAUUAAAUUUGUGAUUAUUUUUAUAAUAGAAUAUAAAGUCUUAAAUUAUAAUGACAACAUAGUUGAGAAAAAUAUUUUAAUUUUAAAAAUGUAUAAAAACUGUUAAUUUUUUUAUUUAUUUUGGGACUAUUUGACAAAAAAACGUAAAUUUAAGGGCUAAAAAAGGUAAAAUAAAUAAAAAUAUAUGGAGACCUAAAAUGAUUUUUUUUAAAAAUAAAACUUUCAUAUUGUUAGUUUAAUGACUAAUGUUAUAAUUUAACCUUUAUUUUUGAAAGGGAAUCUCACUUAAAACGAUCCCACCACUUAGACUACAGUGGCGAAACUAGGACUGGUAAGGGCCCCUUAAAAUGAAAAUUUUUUCAUAUAGUCCCUUUAAAAUUUUUAAAAUUUUAAAUUAGUAAAGGUAAAAUUGUACUUUGGUCUCAUUUAAAAAUAUAAAAAUUUGAUUAAUAAACCUUUAUAUUAAUAUGUACAAAUAAUUUAUAAAUUAAAAAAUUAUCUUUUUAAAUAUAUAAAGUAAAUUUAUAAAUUAAAAAAUUUAUAAAAGAUGGAAUUACUUAAUAUAUUUAAUUUUCCUUUAAAUGAAACAAAUUAUUUGUUGACUUAUUACAUUUAUUCCGUAUGAUUUAAUUUUAAAUUUUAUUUUUUAAUCUUCACAGAAUUAUUAGAUACUUUAAGCAACUUAGAGAAGCUUGACACGAAUCGUAAUGAGGUGAAGGAAUUUGUGCCCAUAAAGAAUAAAAAUAUAUGCAUCAACUAAAUAAUAUAAAUUAUUUAAAAAUAAAACACUUUUCAUUAUUUGAUAGAUUCAUUGAUUACCAAAUAUACGAUAUUUCAAAAAAAAAACAAUUAAAGAAAUCCAGCACUUGAAAGUGCUGAUAGAGCAAUAAUUUGAAGCAGUUAAGAAACUUGUAGGAAGGGUAUAGAAAGAAGGUUGGAGGCUUGACGCCAAAAGUCACCAUAGUGGUCUGCUUAGAUCGUUUGGGGCGACUGAAUUUUCCACAUUGAAAACGAAGCCACUAUUGCUACGAAGACCCUUGAAUUUUCCACAAAGAAUUUAUCCCAUAAAUAGAAUUUAUCAUUACAUUAUAUCAAAUUAUGAAUAAUUCAGAGAUUUGCACAUGUACCUUUUUAUUUUAUUUUAUUUUUUCUUUUUUAUUAUUAAAUUCUUUUGAAGCAAAUAAAGAUAAAUUUAUUAUUUUAAAAUUAAUUAAUUAAAAUACUCAUAUUUUUAAAAUGUUAUCAUGGAAGGAGACUCUUUCAUUGUCAAAAUCCAAACAAAAGGAGGAAGAUUUCAUAGAUGGACAACUAGAACUAAACCUGUUUAAUUAUAAGUCGGAUCAGGCCUGCUCAAAAAGUGAGAGGGUUUGAGUAAAAUUAUAACCUUAAAAAAUGGGUUUAGACAAAAAAAUAAUGUCUGUUUAAAAACGGAUCAGACUUCAGGUAAGGCAUUUUUCACCCGAGUCCAAUCCGAAUUCACAAAAUGACAAAAAAAUCUACUAUUUUUUGUUAUUUUAAUUCUAUUUUCUUGUUAUUUUCUUCUUAUUUUGUUACCAUUUCACUAUUAUGUUAUUACUAUUUUGUUGUUAUUGUUUGGAUAUUAUAUAACACUUGUUUUAUUGUUAAUUUUGUUAUUCUUUUAGAGGCAUUUGUUUGUUAAGUUGCAUCUAUCUUAGUGUUAUUUAAGUAUACGUAUUUUUUAAAAUUUAUUUUUACUUUGUUGGAAAAUAUUUAAUUUAAUGUUUUUAGUAUUUUUGAUGUAUUAUAUAUAUUUAAAAAUUAUAUAAAAAUAAUAUAAAAAAUUAAUAUGGGCAGGUUGGGCCCGGGCCUAAAUUUUUGUUUGGGCCCAGUCGAACCCAACCCAUGAGCAUCUCUAUGGAGAAGCAAGAAAUGAAACUUUAUUGAUAAGUGUCAAAAGUAACAUAUUUUAGUCUCAUCCUUAAUAUUUUUUUUAGGUGAUUAUGUGACAUUAAUUGUGAAAUAUAUAUUUCUAAUCUUUUAUAUUCAUGUUUUGAUACUUAAUAAGGCGCUUGAAAAUAAUAUGAGUGAUAAAUAGUGGAAAUUAGAACUUUGAAGUAUUCCAGACGCUACGCACAUGCAUCAAAUUUUCACACAAACAAUUUAUGAUUUUUAAGUUUUUUUAGCAUUCUAACAACAUAUAAAUAAGGAAAUAAGAAGGGAGGAAGACAACCACGAAAUUACCUUCAGAACAUUAUUAAAGCCUAUUAAAUUAAAUUUUCUAACUCCUUUUGAAUUUGUAUUAGCAAAUUCAAAUAUAUUUACUCCAAAAUUAAAUUCGUCGUUUUUCUCUUCUAUUUUAUUUUAAUUUCUAACAUCUUAUUAAGUCUUUACAAUCUUGUUAUUAUUUUUCAAUCCAUAAUUUGUUAUUGAUGGGUGUCGAUUCCACCAAUAUAAACCUACGCCUAAUUUGCAAAUUUAAGCAGUAUAGGAAGUAGAGUUGAUCCCUUAGAGACUGGGUUUACUGCAAAUUAUUGCUCUCUUGACCAGAUUUAUAUCGGGGCAGUUGUCGUGCUCAAGAAGUUCGGGGGGAUAAAAUUUGAAACCUGAAAUAAAUAAAUAAAAUGCGUAAAAAGUAAAAGUUGAAAAUAAAAUAAUAAAAAGCAGUUAAAUAAAUCUGAAGAAAAAUGAAUUAAACUAAGCUCAGCUUUAGGCACGGGUUUUUCUCGUCUUUGAACUGAUCCUCGAAAUUAGAUGAACUCCUCUUUUCCAAUAAACUAGUUAUAGCUACCAAGGACGCCUCGGACACCAACUCUUCCUUGUGUAAAUUAGUUAAGAAACGUCCAAUAACUAACCCUUACCGAUCGAACAACCAACGAAAUGUUCAUGAUUUAGAACUCCGGCAGCUUUGCGUUCUAGAAGAUUCUAGCUCGAACCAAUGCCCUCAACCGCGUGGGACAUUUAAAUCUGGUUACUACUUCCCUUAACGGAACCAAACAGCAAUCCCCACUUGGCACGCCAAUGUGUUCACAGAAAACCGAUUAGACAAUCGAUCCUUUCGAAAUUCCAACUGUACGUCUAACCACACUAACUCAAACGACGUCUUUUUUGACUUAGUGUUGAUUUGACUUUGUGAGUUGACGAAGUCAUACUCUUAAUCCGGAGAAAUAAUAAGUACUGGAAUUUAGGAGUCAAAUUGCUCGGGUUCGUAACUCACGGAUCUUAACGAAGUUAACACCGGCCUAAAGCUGAAAUGGAUACUUAAUAAAAAAAUUGGUAAUUAAAAACUUGAUUAAUGACUUGAUUCAAGACUUGAUUCCUAAAUGAACAAUGUAGCCCCCUAUUUAUACUAGUGGCUUUGCUAAAUUAAGAGCCACUAGCCAUAGAGAAUCAAGGAAAUAAAAUAUUCCAUCAUAUAAAAAUCCCUACAUAAUCUCCCACUAAUUAAGUCAACAAAAAUUUCAGCUAAUUAUAUCUUGGAAAAUUUUUGCUUUGGCCCGCCUUCUUUGCUCUUUUCUUCAAUCUAGCCCAAUUGCUUCUCCUUUUUCUCUUUUGACCCCAAAUUGUACACCUGUGUAAAAUUUAAGUUAAACAUGGAAAAAUUAGUGGUGCACUCUCGUAAAUUAACCAAUUUAAUUACAUAAAAUAUGUAAUUUUAGCAUUUAAUCAAAUCCCUCUACUUAUUUAAUGCUAGUCCUCGAGCAUUAUGCAUGUAUCUACAAAAGGAAAAAUUUCUUCUAAAAUAGGACUUGACUCCCAUGGUUUGCACAAUUCAACAAUUUAAUCCUAGCACAUUAACAUCUCAAAUAACCUAGCCUAAGAAGGAAGUAAAUAUAUUUCAGAAUUUAUUAGAGCUUGAUAGACUUACCUUUCAUUUUAUUAUUUUUGUACUUGGGACAUUUUCGAAUUUUUUGACGCGAGACAUGAUGACAACCCAAGCACCAUGUUCCGGUUACUUGAUUCGGAUGUCUCUAAGCGGGAUAUUUCACCCUACUCGUGAUAGCUUGUUAGCGGAGUGAGUGCAAAGAAAUUGGACAGCCACAUGAACCUUUUUACGUGAGAUGUGAUGACAACCCAAGCACCACGUUCCGGUUACUUAGCCCGAUGUACAACCCCAAUUUUUCACUCUUAACAUUCGUAUCAGAGGAGUAUUAUUAUUCAUUUUUUCUUUUUUUUUUCCUUUUUUUUAAGACAAGAAGACAGAAAAUUGACAUGUGAUAUAAGGUAGGCAGUCAAGCAAACUCAUAAUUCGUAAAAAUUUCUUACCCACUAAGUCUAGGUUAUUGAAAAGUUUAUGUGUAAAGAACUAAAUGGCUAAAUAGGUCAAACCAUAAGUGUUCCAUCCCAAUUUAUCAAAAGAAAAAAUUUUACCUUUCACGGAAAACAUGCAAAAACAGCGACAAUGGAUAAGCAAAAUAGAACCAAUAUAUGUUCCUUUCCCCCUACUUGUUUUACAUUGUCCCUAAUGUAAUUUGAAUUGAAUUAAAUGAUAAAAAGUAAAGGUAAGUAGGGAAAGGAAAAAGAAACUCCCCAUGUAUUUCAACGUCAUGGAGGGUUGCCUCGUAGGUGUGUCCACGGUGUUAAAUAGUGGGUAGGUGGAUUGGGCCUUGGCUGAAAUUAAAAGAAUUUUAUGGGCUGACAUGGGAGAUUUAAUUUUGUCUUGGAAUGUCUCCCAAGUCUUCCCUUAGACAGAACUGAUCCUCGACAUGCAUUUUCAUUUUCCGUUUACCAAAAAUUUUAUUUGCAUAAAGGGAAAAAUUUGGGUUGCCUCCCAACAGCGCUUUGUUUAACGUCGUUAGCUCGCCGAUCUGUUAUUCAAAUUCUGGGCUCCCCAAGAACAAUUGUAAGUGUUGCCAGUCCCCAGCAACAGCGCCAAAACUGAUGGGUGUCGAUUCCACCAAUAUAAUCCUACGCGUAAUUUGCAAAUUUAAGCAGUAUAGGGACUAGGGUCGAUCCCUCAGAGACUGAGUUUACUGCAAAUUGUUGCUCUCUUGACCAGAUUUAUGUCAGGGCAGUUGUCGUGCCCAAGAAGUUCGGGGGGAUAAAAUUUGAAACCUGAAAUAAAUAAAUAAAAUGCGUAAAAAGUAAAAGCUGAAAAUAAAAUAAUAAAAAGCUGUAACACCCCUUACCCGAGACUGUUGCUGGAGUCGAGCACGAGGCAUUACCUGACUUACUUACUAAUUCGGAGCAUAAAAUUUGCUUUUAAAAUUAAUUCAUUCACAAUCAAUCCAUAUGUCCCUAAAAGAACUCUCGAGACCCCAAAAUCAUGUAAUAAAAAUGGUUCGGGUCCAAACCGGGAACAUUUAUAAUUUUCCGAAUACUUAAUCAAAUUAAAACAAUUUAUUUCACUAUUCACAAUAAAACUGUCCACCUGCGCAGCAGUCACUUAUUUAAUUAUAACUCGAGUUACGAAACUCAAAAUUUAGAUUCGUAAAUUUUCCCUGAAACUAGAAUCAUAUAUCUUUUUCACUGUCCAGCCAAUUAGUACAGUUUAUUCUUUAAAUUCUCCCCUGUUUCACUGCUCGACAGCUCUGACCCCUCUUCACUAAAAAUUAAUUAUCUUAUUGUACAGAAUUCAGAUAAUAUUAUCGUUUGUUUCUAUUGAAAAUAAAAUCACUAAGGAAUCUAGGCAUAUAAAUUAUAACUCAUAAUUCCUUCUAUACAAUUUUUAAUGAAUUUUUAAAGUCAGAACAGGGGACUUCAGAAACCAUUCUGACCCUGUCUCACUAAAAUUCAAAUAUCUCAUAAUAUAUAACACUUUUUCUACUCUAUUUCUUUCAUGUGAAAAUAGACUCAUUCAGAUUUAAUUUCCUAUCUCACUCAGGUUCUAAUUCAAUUUAUUCUAUUUUUGGUGAUUUUUCAAAAUCACGUCACUGCUGCUGUCUAAAAACUGUUUCAUUGCAAAUUUUUACUCUCUUUUUUGGUGAUUUUUCAAAAUCUGAAGAAAAAUGAAUUAAACUAAGCUCAGCUUUAGGCACGGGUUUUUCUCGUCUUUGAACCGAUCCUCGAAAUUAGAUGAACUCCUCUUUUCCAAUAAGCUAGUUAUAGCUACCAAGGACUCCUCGGACACCAACUCUUCCUUGUGUAAAUUAGUUAUGGAACGUCCAAUAACUAACACUUACCGGUCGAACAACCAACGAAACGUUCGUGAUUUAGAACUCCGGCAGCUUUGCAUUCUAGAAGAGUCUAGCUCGAACCAAUGCCCUCAACCGCGUGGGACAUUUAAAUCCGGUUACUACUUCCCUUGACGGAACCAAACAGCAAUCCCCACUUGGCACACCAAUGUGUUCACAGAAAACCGAUUAGACAAUCGAUCCUUUCAAAAUUCCAACUAUACGUGUAACCACACUAACUCAAACGACGUUUUUUUUUACUUAGUGUUGAUUUGACUUUGUGAGUUGACGAAGUCAUACUCUUAAUCUGGAGAAAUAAUAAGUACUGGAAUUUAGGAGUCAAAUUGCUCGGGUUCGUAACUCACGGAUCUUGACGAAGUUAACACCGGCCUAAAGCUGAAAUGGAUACUUAAUAAAAAAGAUUGGUAAUUAAAAACUUGAUUAAUGACUUGAUUCAAGACUUGAUUCCUAAAUGAACAAUGUAGCCCCCUAUUUAUACUAGUGGCUUUGCUAAAUUAAGAGCCACUAGCCAUAGAGAAUCAAGGAAAUAAAAUAUCCGAUCAUAUAAAAAUCCCUACAUAAUCUCCCACUAAUUAAGUCAACAAAAAUUUUAGCUAAUUAUAUCUUGGAAAAUUCUGCUUUGGCCUGCCUUCUUUGCUCCUUUCUUUCUUCAAUCUAACCCAAUUGCUUCUCCUUUUUCUCUUUUGACCCCAAAUUGUACACCUGUGUAAAAUUUAAGUUAAACAUGGAAAAAUCAGUGGUGCACUCUCGUAAAUUAACCAAUUUAAUUACAUAAAAUAUGUAAUUUUAGCAUUUAAUUAGUUAUUUAUUAGUUUAGAUUUUUUUCUAUGUUGAAUAUAUUUUAGUAAAUAAUAUUUCAUAUUUAACUCUAAAUUUGUUUUUUUAAUAAUAUACACUAGUUAUUCAAUAUAAAUUAAUGUAUCUAAUAAAAUAUAUUUUAAAAUCUAUAUUUUAAAUAUUUUAAGAUUAGAAACCUAAUUUAAAUUUAUUCAAAAGGACAUUUUAAUUAUUAAGUAAUUUAAUUUUAUAAAUAAUUAUAUAUAUCUAUUUGAACAACAAAUACAUAGUAUAUUUAAAAUAUAAUUAAUUAAUUAAAAAUAUUAUUUUCUAUCAUUGUUUUUAUGUAUCUACUUAAAUUUAAAACUAAAAGGAUGUAUGAUAAUGAAUAAGAAAAAUAAUCAAUUAUUUUAUUGAAAAUAAUUCAACUCUAAUUUAAGAUUAAAUAAAGACAGAUGAAGGCUAUUAUAUUAGAAUUAACUUUUUUUUAGUUUUUAUAUAAUUGGAAUUUACUAAUAUGAAGUAAAAAAAAUGCAUUUUAAUAUUGUAACAUUCAUUUACUUUAUAUCAACAAAAUGUUCAACCUUGAAAACAUUAGUUAUGAUUUUUUUUUUGAUAUAUUUACUCAAAUGAUAAAAAUAUUAAUUGAUGUAAAUAAAUAAAAAAUGAUGCAUUUGCAUUUGGUAAGAUUUAAUUAAACAAUAAAAUGUUUUUUUUAUUCUCAUUGAAUAAUUUACUUAUAAAAAUAAUUGUUUCAAAACAUGAAUAUCAGAUCAUAUCUAAUUACCUACAAUAUGAAAUGAGAAAAUUCAUAAAUUUAUUUACUUCAAUUGAAUAAAUUCAAAAAAAAAAUAAACUAAAUAUUCUUAUAUAAAACAUUUACUUUAUAAUUUUUUAAUAAAUUUCAUAUAAUUAUUUGUAAUUAAAUCUAAUAUAAAUAAAAAGACAAACCCGCAGAGCGGGGUUAUAUCCCUAGUAUAGUAAUAAAAUCAAUGCAAUGGGACCCAACUUUUGGAAGAAGAGAGGAUUUCAAGUUGUCUAUAUAGGCUUUGGUUGAUUGAAAUGCAGGAAGGUAUCAAGUGAGUGGUUUGUUGAUUUAGAGAAGAUGGAGGCUAAAUCGUUGUGGGUACUACUCGCUACACUUGUGUUUAUCAUACAAGGGUGGCCACAGACUGAGGGGUGCUUGGAGCUGGAGAGAAUUGCUCUCUUCCAACUCAAAUCUAAUUUCUUCAAUCACCCUUCAUAUUUGAAGGACUGGGUAGAUGUGAAGGGUUCGAAUUGUUGUCAGUGGGAAAGAAUUGAGUGCAACAUCACCAGUAACCGAGUAAUUGGUCUCUAUCUUUAUUCUGUACGUCAAAGUGAUACAUAUGGGUAUCUCAAUAUCUCUUUAUUUCUUCCAUUUGAAGAAUUAAAGAAUCUUUAUUUGAGUGACAAUAAAAUUACAGGUCUUGUGAAUAACCAAGGUUUAUUGCUUUUCUUCUCUCCAAUGACUGAUUCAUCUUUAAAAUUUGAUUUAAUGUUUUCUAAUUAAUUCGUUUAUUUUACAGAUGAGAAAGUGCAAUCGAUGAUGAAUCUGGAAGUGCUUGAUUUGUCUCGUAAUCUCUUGAAGAACAAUGAUGUGGCAUUUCUUAAGGGGUUAGCUAGUUUAAAGUCCUUGAAUAUGGGAGGAAACCAAUUGGAAGGGUCAAUAGGUAUUACAGGUAUGUAAAAUUUCGUAAAAUAAAAAUAACAAGCUAUACGUAAAUUACAAUUUCAUGAAUCUUUUUAACUAUUAAAAAAUUAUAUCCAAAUAUAUUUCCUUCAUAUAGGUAGUAAAAUAAAGGCAUAAUGAUUUUUUUGACCUUCCAACUUUAUAAAAAAAAAUCAUUUUUAGUCCUUAAUUAAAUUUUUUGUCUAUUUUAGUCUUUACACAUGUUUUUUUUUUCAAAUCACGCCAAAAUAGAUGGUUGGUAAUGUGGCAAACAUGUGGAUUUCCAUGUAACUGACAGAUCAUUUAAUUAAAUUUUUUUAAAAUUUAAGUUUUUUUAAAUUUCUAUUUUUUAAUAGUUUUAAUGAUGUUUAAUUUUUAAAAAUACUUUUUAUAUUUUUUUGAAUUUUUCAGUUUAAAAAAAAAUUAAAUGCUGACGUGUUAUCCACAUGACAAUCCAUGUGUAUGUAAUGUCAACAAAGUUUUAAAAUGUUAAUUUUUUUAUUCACUUUAAGAUAAUUUGACAAAAAAAUACAAGUUUAAGGAUUAAAAACAUGAAAAAUUAAAUGGAAGCAUAAAAUAAUUUUUUUUUAUAAAGUUGAAAGGUUAAAUAAGUUAUUAUGCUUAAAAUAGAAUGUAUUUGAUGACUUUUUUUUAUCAAGGAAAGUAGUUGGAUUUCAUGAACCAAAAUUACUUAAUCUUUGUCAUAUGACUUUGUUUGAGUGACAAAAAAGAUAUUUGAUUGAUUUGAAUAGUAUUGAAUAACUUGACAAAGCUAAAGGAGUUGGAUUUGAGUGGCAAUAAAAUUGAGAGCCUGAAAUCUCCUCACGGUAUGUGUUGAUUUACUUUACUUUCUCAUAUUCUCGCAUAUACAUUCCAAUAUCUCAUUUAAAAUUCUAUUAGUAAUAAAUUUGCUUAUCUAAAUGCUUUGUAGAGGGGCUAGUUAAUUUGACUAAUUUAGAAGAACUUAAUAUGGAUUACAACUACUUCAAAAACAACUCAUUGGCAUAGCUUAGUGGGUUUUCCAAUCUAAAGUUAUUGAGUAUAAGCGAAAACCAGCUUAAAGGAUCAAUAAAUAUUAAAUGUGGAAUUACUUAAUAUAUUUAAUCUUCCUUUAAACAAAGCAAACUAUUUGUUGAAUUAUUGUCUUUAUUAUGUGUGAUUUAAUUUUAAAUUUAAUUUGUCUAUUUUUAUAGAAUUAUUAGAUGCUCUGAGCAAUUUAGAGUCACUGAGAAAAAUAUUUUAAUUUUAAAAAAUGUAUAAAAUUUAUAUAUUAUCUCUUGAAUAAUUUAAAUUAUAAUGAUAUUUUUAAUAUAUUAAAAUUAAUAUAUUAUCACUUUUACUAUUAUAUAAAAAAUUAUAUUAACAUAUAAAAAUCAUUUAUAAAUUAAAAAUUUAUCUCUCUAAUAUAUUAAGUAAUUUAUAAAUUAAAAAAUUUAUAAAAAUUUUGAUGUUGAGAGACUUGGUAAGUGUCCAUAUAUUUUACUUUAUCAAAUUGCUACAUUUAUUAUACUAAUAUCUAAAUGCUUUGUAGAUACAAUUUAAAUCUCAUUAAUUAAUUUUUUAUUAAUAUAUUAUAGUUUUUUAAUUUAAAAAUUCAAUCUAAAUAUUAAAUGUUGUUAUAAGUGUAUAACAAUCACUUAUCUAUAACAUCCAAUAGUGGUUAUACAAAAGUUGACUAUAAGUGAAUUUUUGUGACUAACAAAAAAUGUAUUGAAUUUAUUUGGAUAGUAUUGAAUAAUCUGACAAAGCUAAAGCAGUUGGAUUUGAGUGACAAUAAAAUUUGAGAGCCUCCAAUCAUCUCAUGGUAUGUGUUGAUAUAUUUUACUUUAUCAUAUUCUUACAUAUACAUACCAAUAUCUUAUUUAAUAUUCCAUUAGUAAUAAAUUUGUUUAUCUCAAUGCUUUGUAGAUGGUGAGAGGCCACUUAAUGUAACCAAUUUAGAAGAGCUUAAUUUGGAUUCCAACUCCUUCACAAACAGCUUAUUGGCACAGCUUAGUGGGUUUUCCAAUUUAAAGUCACUAGAUAUAGGGUAUAACCAGCUUAAAGGAUCAAUAAAUAUUAAAGGUGGAAUUACUUAAUAUAUUUAAUCUUCCUUUAAAUGAAAUAAACUACUUGUUGAGUUAUUGCAUUUAUUCUAUGUGAUUUAAUUUUAAAUUUUGUUUGUCAAUUUUUACAGAAUUAUUAGAUGCUUUAGGAAACUUAGAGGAGUUAGACAUGAGCGGGAAUGAGGUGAAGGAAAUUGUGCCCAUAAAGAAUAAAGGUAUAUGUAUCAACUAAAGGAAAUCUUACUAAUUGUUUUCCAUUAGAUAUCAAGUGAACUGAUUCCAACCACUAAUUUGACUCUUAGACAAUGGAAGUUUGGGAAAGCUAAAGGUUGCUACAUUAAACCGUGUGUUCACCGAUGGAACUGCUUCUCUAAUACAACUUCUAGAGACAUUCUCAUCUGUUAAUACAUUAUAUUUGAGUGACAAUUACUUCAACGACACCUUUUCUACUCAAGGUAUAAUAUAUAUGUAUGUGAAUAUAUAGUUUUAUAGUUUGGUUCCAUUUAAAAAUAUUAUUUACUUAACGUCAAUCAUCUAAAUAACUCUUAUAAAUUUGUAAAGAUAAAUUGCAUGUGUCGAGCAAAAUUGAGGAAUUAGUACUAGAUCAAUCAUCUCUCAACAACAACAUUCUUCAAAGUAUUGGUGCAUUGGCUUCUCUUAAAAUUGUCUUUGAGUGGUUGUGGGCUGUCUGGGACAUUACCUACCCAAGGUAAAUUAAUAAUUAUGACAUAAUUAUUUAGACAAGCUCUUGAUUAAUUAUUUUUUAUCCUCCUAGAAUAUUUAAAUAAUUUGUACAAAUUUAUUUUACAGGAUGGUGUGAUUUACGGAAAUUUGAGGUGUUGGAUCUUAGUGAAAAUGCUCUUAAAGGAACCCUCCCUUCAUGUUUGGCUAACUUGUCAUCACUUCAUUAUUUGGAUAUUUCCGGUAAUCAAUUCGUCGGGAAAGGUGCCUCCACUGCCUUAGCCAAUCUCAAUUUGCUUAAAUUCAUUUCUCUUUCACGAAACCUUUUCGAAGUUCCUUCCAUUUUCAUAUCUUUUGCCAACCAUUCACACCUCAAAGUACUCUCCAGCAAUCAAAACAAGUUAGUCGAAGAGCCUACCAUUCCAACAUGGGUCCCAAAGUUCCAACUAAAAGCCUUCCGUUUGUCAAAUUGCACAACAAAGGAACUCCACAUUGAACUUUCGAAAUUCCUCUAUUACCAAAAUAACCUGAGUAUUAUUGAUCUUUCAUAUAAUAAUUUUGAAGGAAAGGUUCCUUUUUGGUUGUUAGAGAACAAUACAAGAAUGGAAGCAUUUUUAAUGACGGGUAACUCUUUUAUGAGUCAUCUCAAUCUUCCAUCUCAUCCGAAUCCAAACAU